RNAcentral lists this long non-coding RNA (169220 nucleotides) under Eucalyptus grandis. RNAcentral's name for it is "long non-coding RNA (EGRA_LNC005492)". The record is from RNAcentral. Lineage: Eukaryota; Viridiplantae; Streptophyta; Magnoliopsida; Myrtales; Myrtaceae.
UCCACUUAAAUAUGAAAUCCGGUAAUUCCUUCAUUGCACAACAGUAUUGUAAAGAGAAGUGCUCUAGAUUUCGUAGGUCCCCAAUUUUUUUAGGCAAACCUUCAAGGUAAUCACAAAGAGCAAACUGUAAAUCUUUCAGAUCCUUUAACUUCCCAAUAGAGCCAUCAAUCUUCCUUAAGUUUUUGCAAGCCAAAAAAGUCAGCCUCUCUAAAGUUGAGCAUUUGGAUAAGUCUGGUGUUCUGGUUAUGCCAUAACAAUUAGCAAGACUAAGAACUUUCAAUUUUCUUGCCCCCUGUAAAAAGUGAAUGCAUUAUCCAAUGGAAGAGCAGUUCAAAUGUUCAUUUUAAGGACAAAGAAAGGAAAUAAGCAUAUGACACACCUUUAUUAACUGCAAUAAUUUCUGAUCGUCUAUAGUGGGAAUGCUUGAAAAUUCAAGGACAACCACAUUCUUUAAGCACAUAUUGGUCAGCUCACAGUGUAAAAACAGAGAACUGCUCCAAUAAAUCCAUUUUAGUUUGGGAAAACAAUCCAUUAGAUCGCCAACAAAGGUUCCAUCAUCUAAUCUAAGGAACCUUAGUUCUUUAAACCUUCCAAUCUCUUCACUUUUGAUACGUAUGCAUUUGUGAGUUACUUCCAUCGCUUGAACUUUUUUCAUCUGCAAAUGAGAACAAGAAAGGAGUAGCAUUCAGCAUUCCAUUUUAUCAGGGAAAAGUAUUAAAACCAAGAAGCAAAAAGAGAAUCUAUUAGUUCUCUCAUGUAGUGUCCCACCUCCUUUGUCUUGAUUGUAGUGAGGACUUCAUCUCGAAUCCAUAACCUACUACGCCCUUCAAGAAUUGUUCGAUUUUCUUGACGAACAAUUUCCCUUCCAAGAUCUCUAAGUUGAUCGUGCAUCAAAAACUCAUUGUUCACUCCAAUCUUUAUCAAGGACUUGUUUUUGAGGACCUCAAUUCCACUGAUUGGGAAAAAUUCACAAUCUGUCCACAUAUAAAUUGGGUUUGUCAUUUCCUCACCAAUGAAAAAGCAUGCAAUAUCCAGAAAAAUUUGUUGAACCUCAGGAGUCAAUGCAUCAUAGCUAAUCCUCAACUUUUCGAAAACACCUUGUGGAGGUGCUUUGUGUAACUUGUCCAAUGUUUCUUUCCGUAGGUCUUGUCUUUUAUUGUUAAAAAAUGAACCAAUUACUGCAAUAGUCAAAGGAAGGUUUCCACUAGCAUAUACAAUUUUCUUUGAAAUAUCAUCACGGUCAUCUGAAGGAGAGUCCUUGUUAAAUGCAUGUCUGAUGAAAAGCUGAAGUGCAUGAUCACUACUCAUCACCUUCAUUUCAUAGGGUAAUAUAUUGUACUCUGGUUUAGUGAUUUGCAACACAUCCUUGUUUCUAGUAGUAAUCAGUACUCUAGACCCUGAACACAAAGUACCUUUUCCAACUAAUUUCUCCACUUGUUCGCUUUCAUCAACAUCAUCCAGUACAAUUAAGACCUUCUUAUUGCGAAGUGUUUCUCUAAUCCUCUCCAUUCCAUAGUCAGUUGUGUUGGAGAAAUCUUUCCAGAAUAUUUUGAAGUUGACAAAACAUUUCCAUCAGUCUAGUCUGGAUAUCGAUAGUUUAAAGUCUCAAGACUUUGUAGUCUCAAGACUGAAGACUGAAGACUCAAGACUCAAGACUCAAGACUCAAGACUAUUCUCACUGACAGUCUUUCAAAUCCAGUGGAGAAGGAUAUCCGAAGCCGAAGUAUAUGGUUGGGGAUUCGAUCUAAUCCUCUGGAAAAGAUACCUUGGUUGGAUAAUCAUUUCGGAUUCUUUGAUUUUUAUCUAAGAAUAAUUGAAGAUCCGAUGGUCGACGAAACAUUCUUGGAAUGUUCUAUUCUUGGAAACCAAAAUCCUGAUUGUAUGGGCGAACAGGAUUGAUGGGCUAUCAUCAGAUUCCUUAAAUAGCUCGGAUGAUCUUCUUGAUUGAUUCCGUCCAACGGGUAGAUUGGAGGAAUUCCUUUGGUAAGUGCCAACGGCUAUGAUGGCAUAAAGGAGUAUAAAAGGAAGACGUUCUAGUUGUUUUGUGGGUGUGAUUGAUAGAAAAAUUCCAGAGUCUGAAGAACCUUGAUUGUUAGUCGAUACAGUUCGAGUGAAAUUGUAUACACAGAGAGUGUUCAUACUUGGUGACACCUUGAGCGAGUGUAGUAGAUCAUCUACAUCUAGAAAUCAAGGAAGAUCAACACUGUAACAUCUCUUUGUUCAUAGUGGAAUCCAGCCAAUCGGCUGUUAGUGCAGAAGAGUGGACGUAGGCUUGAAUCAAGCCGAACCACUAUAAACCUCGUGUUUAAUUCUCUCUUUCCUUUACUCAGUCUUAUGAUUGAUUUUAUUAUUCCUUUAUCUGUCUAAGUAUUGUGCAAUAUUUAAGAAAAUUUUUAUAAACCUAUUCACCCCCUCUAGGUACUCAUACUAGCAUUAUCAAUUGGUAUCAGAGCCUGCGUUCUUACUUUAUUUGAAGUGUUUUACUUCAGAGUAAAAGAUCCAUGGCUAGUAUGCUAGCACCAGGGCUGGUGGAAGGGCAAAGCAAUACCAGACCACAUUACUUUGAUGGAAAGGAUUACAAUAUCUGGAAAAACAAGAUGAAAGCUUUUCUACGGUCAAAGGAUCCUAUGGAAUGGGAUGUGGUGGAAAGAGGAAUUACUCCUAUUGCUGCAUCAGCAUCAGAAAGAGGAAAAGAAACUGCUGAUACCAGCGGAAUGUCUCAAGAAGAGAUAAACAAGAGACAAGCACUCGACGCAAAAGCAAUUUACUCUUUAUACUGUGCUUUAUCACCAACUGAAUAUAACAGAAUAUCUUCUUGUGAUACAGCAAAAGAAGUCUGGGACAGAUUACAUAUCACUUAUGAAGGGACAGACCGAGUGAAGGAGACCAGAAUUAACAUUCUCCUUGGUCAAUACGAAUCCUUCAAAAUGAAACCAGGAGAAUCUAUAACUGACAUGUUUAGCCAUUUUACAGAUAUUGUCAAUGGCCUUGAGAAUCAAGGACAGAAAAUUUCUGAUCCUAUGAAGGUGAACAAGCUACUGCGUGGACUCUCCAAGGAUUGGAAUCAUAUAAAGACUUCAAUAAGAGAGACGCAAAGAAUUAUGCCAUUAUCUGUAGAUGAGCUGAUUGGAACUCUUCAGUCUUACGAAGUGGAACGAAUUAAUGAAGACGAAGAUCCAAGAGGUAAGAAAUCCAUUGCAUUAAAAUCUAAUGAUGAUUCUGAUGAUACAGACUCUGAAGAAGAUCUGGACGAUGAGGAGCUUGCUCUAAUGAUUAGAAAGUUCAGAAAGCUGAAUAAAAGAGGAAGAAGGUUCAACUCAAGGAAACAAAGUCUUCAGAAAUAGCAAACCAAGUUUAUUGAUAAUGAGGAACCAAACAAAGAUGUAGUUUGCUUCGAAUGUAAGAAAAAGGGACACAUCAGACCAAAUUGUCCUCUCCUAAAGAAGAAGAGGGGAAAAGCUGAAAAGUCUCGAAAAGCUCUCAAAGCCGAAACUUGGAGCGAUACAGAGUGUGAAGAAAGUGAUGAGGAAUAUGCCAACCUGUGUCUAAUGGCACAAUCAGAUUCAGAUUCUGGAUCAGACUCAGACAGUGAAUUUGAGGUAAGUGAUUAUAAAAUCCCUGUCAAAGUCUCUAAAUACAUUGAUGAACUAUGUUUUAGUCUUAAGACUUCUCUAAAAAGGAUUUCCGAACUUAAAAAGGAAAAUUCAGUUUUAAAACAAAAGGAAAAUAUUUUAGAAGAAAACGUGAAAAGCUUAGACUUGAAUGUUUCUACUCUUAAGGAGAAUGAAGAUAAACUUUCAAAAGAAAAUGCUUUCUUAAAAACUGACUUAUCAAAUAUUUUAAAGAAAUUUUCAAUAGGGUCUGAAAAACUUGAAAAAGUUCUUUCAGUCCAAAGACCUUAUUUUAACAAGUCUGGUUUAGGUAUGACAGAAGAAACAAUUCCUUUGAUUGAUUUUCCAAAAGUAAAAGAAAGAAUUAAAAAAGACCGUCAAAAGAGGCUUACAAAAAUCAUUUCAAGAAAGUCUUUGUAAAGUCUGUAGGUCGAAGUGCUUUAAGGUGUUCAAAGUGUAAUAGUCAGGAACAUUUUGAAAAAGAAUGUCCUAUGGUUUGGAAGCCUGUUAAGAAAAUAUGGCCUAGUAAUGCUUAUUCUACUAACGACAAAGGACCCAAGAAAAUUUGGGUACCAAAGAAAGCUUGAGACUCUCUUUUGAAUGCAGGUCUCUGUAAAAAAGAAAGUUAAGUGGUAUCUUGACAGCGGAUGUUCAAGACACAUGACAGGAGACUCAAAUUGCUUCAUAAAACUUGUUCAAGUGAAUGGUGGAAAAGUCUCAUUUGAAGGAAACAAUAAAGGAAGCAUUGUGGGAUUUGGAACUGUGAAAAUUGGAAAUCUCACAAUAAGCAAUGUUUCUCUAGUGGAAGGACUUAACUACAAUCUUCUAAGCAUUAGCCAAUUGUGUGAUACUGGUUUCAAGAUCUCCUUUCAAGAAGGCAUAUGUUUUGGAAUUAGCAAAGAUUCAACUCAGUCUUUUAUGGGUCGAAGGCAUGGAAAUAUUUACCUUCUUGAUGUAAAACCAAAUGAAGCACAAUGCUUAAUCUCAAUUCAAGAUGAAGCAGUCUUAUGGCACAGAAAGCUUGGCCAUGUCAACAUGAAGCAAUUAGCCAAAAUCUCAUCAAAGAAGCUUGUUCGAGGUCUACCUAAAUUGCCAUACCAAAAGUCUGAUUCAUGCACUCCAUGUAUUCUGGGAAAGCAGAUAAGAAAUUCAUUUAAGCAAAUAAAUCAUGUCUCUACUAAUCAUGUACUACAGUUGCUUCAUAUGGAUCUCUUCGGACCAACCAGAACUCAAAGCAUUGGAGGUAAGAAAUAUUGCCUAGUAAUUGUGGAUGAUUAUUCCCGCUUUACUUAGGUGUAUUUCAUUGCAAGUAAGUCAGAAACCUUUUCGUAUUUUGAAAAAUUUGCCAAAAAGGUUCAAAAUGAAAAAGGAUGUGCAAUCUCAAGCAUAAGAACAGAUCAUGGGAGUGAAUUUGAAAAUCAAGAGUUUACGAAAUUUUGUGAUAAAUCUGGUUUUAAUCAUAUGUUUUCCUCUCCAUAUACUCCAGAGCAAAAUGGAGUUGUGGAAAGAAAGAAUAGAUCUCUUCAAGAAAUGGCUAGAACACUUUUAAUUGAAAGCAAAAUCUCUUCACGAUUUUGGGCUGAAGCUGUUUCAACAGCAUGCUAUAUUAUAAAUAGAGUCUUUUUAAGACCGAUUUUAGAGAAAACCCCCUAUGAAUUGUUCAAAGGUAAAAAGCCUAUUGUUUCAUAUUUUCAUGUGUUUGGUUGCAAAUGCUUUAUUCUGAAAAAUGCAAAUGAUCGAGUUGGUAAGUUUGAAGAAAGAUCAGAUGAAGGCAUCUUCCUUGGAUAUUCUACAACAAGCAAAGCCUACAGAGUCUAUAACAAGAAAAGCCAGUCGGUGGAGGAAUCAACGAAUGUUAAAUUCCAAGACUCAAUGCAAGAUGAAUCCAGCCAGAGUCAGUAUGAAGAGUCUGAACCUACUCCAGAUCUUCCAACGCUUACAACUCAAGAAGCAUCUCAAUCUCUGGAAGUUCAACAUCAAGAAGCACAUGAAGAUUCAAACAAAGAAAGAGAUCAUCAACCAGGCAGAUCAACCAGUAACUGGAAGCAUAAAUCCAGUCAUCCCAAAGAUCUCAUUAUUGGCGAAAUCAAUGAAGGAAUUCGCACCAGAUCAAAAAGGCGUGAAGAAUCUAGUGCUGUGGCUCUCAUUUCUGAAAUUGAACCAAAAAGCAUAGAAGAAGCUUUAUCUGAUGAAAGCUGGAUUGAAGCUAUGCAAGAAGAACUCAGACAAUUCAAUAUCAAUGAUGUCGGGGAAUUAACAUCUAAACCAAAAGGUAAAACUGUUAUUGGAACCAAAUGGGUAUUCAGGAACAAGAUGAAUGAAGAAGGAAAAGUCGUAUGAAACAAAGCAAGACUCGUGGCCAAAGGAUAUACGCAAGAAGAAGGAAUAGACUAUGAUGAGACUUACGCUCCAGUAGCAAGGUUAGAAGCUAUUCGCCUACUACUUGCGUUUGCUUGUUAUAAAAAUUUCAGGUUAUUCCAAAUGGAUGUCAAAAGUGCAUUUCUAAAUGGAUUCAUCCAUGAGGAAGUCUAUGUGGAACAACCACCUGGGUUUGAAGACCCAAAGAAGCCAGACUCAGUCUUCAGACUGAAAAAGGCCUUGUAUGGUUUAAAGCAAGCACCUCGAGCUUGGUACGACAGACUAAGUAAGUUCUUAUUACAGAAUGGUUUUGUCAAAGGUAAAGUCGAUACUACUUUGUUUAUCAAAAAGGAAAGCAAAAGCUUUUUAAUUGUUCAAAUAUAUGUGGACGAUAUUAUUUUUGGAUCACCUCAUGAAAGUCUAUGCAAGAAAUUUUCUAAGUCUAUGCAGGAUGAGUUUGAAAUGAGUAUGAUGGGAGAGUUAACAUUCUUUCUUGGACUCCAAGUGAAACAAAUGAAGGAAGGAACUUUCAUCCAUCAAGAAAAAUAUGCGAAUGAUCUUGUCAAAAGGUUUGGAUUGGAAAAGUGUAAAAAGACCGACAUACCAAUGUCAUGUUCUCAGAAGAUGGACAAGGAUGAAGAAGGGAAGAAAGUAGAUCAAAAGCUGUACAGGAGCAUGAUCGGUUCACUUCUUUACCUUACUGCUUCUAGACCUGAUAUUUUGUUAAGUGUUUGCAUCUGUGCUAGGUUUCAAUCAGAUCCUAGAGAAUCCCAUCUCAGUGCUGUAAAACGUGUUAUCAAAUACGUUGCCUCAUCUUCAAGCAUCGGUCUCUGGUAUCCCAAGAAGGGAGACUUUACUCUUCUAGGAUACUCAGAUGCAGAUCUGGCCGGUUGCAGAGUUGAUAGAAAAAGCACUUCUGGAACUUGUCAAAUGCUUGGAAACAGGACAGUGUCUUGGUUUUCGAGGAAGCAAAGCACUGUUGCUCUCUCAACGACAGAAGCAGAGUAUGUAGCCCUUGGAAGCUGCUGUUCGCAAAUUCUAUGGAUAAAACAAUAGCUACAAGACUUUGGGAUUGAAGACUCAUGCACAGAAAUCAGAUGUGACAACACCAGUGCGAUCAAUCUCACCAAAAAUCCAAUCCUUCAUUCAAGAGCAAAGCAUAUUGAGAUUCGACAUCACUUCAUUGGAGAUCAUAUUCAAAAUGGAGAAAUCUCGAUUCAAUUUGUUGAUUCAAAGAGUCAACUAGCGGAUAUAUUCACAAAGCCCUUGGAGAAAAAUCAAUUUGACUUUAUCCGUUCAAGACUCAACAUUUUGAAGCCUGAAGAAGUUAAAGUCUAGAGACUCACCAACUCUAAGACUCUAAUCUUUCAGACUUUAAAUCCUCAGACUCAGACAUUCGUGGUUAUAGACUGUAAGUUGUGUUUCAUCUAAGAGGUACGAAUUUUCAUUAUUUUAACUCGAAAAGGUACGUUUUUUUCAGUUAUUCUAUAAUCUGCAUGAGAUUUGAAGACUUAUUUUUAAAGGAAUAAUUUUAGCAGUUAUUGAUUUUGAAAAGAAGUGAUCGUUCACUUUCCUUGCACCGAUUGAACUUCCCUUUUCAAAACUGGAUUAUAUAUACAGCUUUUCUUUUCCCAAUCUUCAAAACCCUAAAAGGCACUCUCCUCCCGAUAUUGUCUCUACUGCUUGUUCGUCGAGAAAGUGGUCAUUUUACCUGGGAAAGCAAGUGAAGGAAUCUUCCAAUCGACAAAGAAAGAUGUCUUCUUCGAGGAAAUCAUCAAGAAUCGCAAGCAGGGGACCACAAAGAAUGGAGAAGGGACCGACUCACUUCGAUCUCACUGAGGAAGAAGACUUAACAAGUCAGCGACAAAGUCCGAUUCGUUCUCAUCCACGUCACUCAACGCCUCCUGCCCCACAAGGUGCAAGUCAUAAUCUGGAAGAAGAGAUAAUCGAGGAUGCCGAUCCAAUAAGAGUCCAAAAGCCCUCCUUUAUCUAUAAACUUUAUCGUGCGUUGAAAAGCACAUGUACUCCAUUGAACUAUAUAGAUGACUUCCUUAAGGACAAAAAUUAUGGGAAUGAGUAUCUUUUUUUGAAGAAAAUGGAGGAAUUGGGAAUUGCCCCAAAAGGAAAAGCAGAGGACGCACUUGCGAACAUUCCAAGUGAUCCUCGUAUGCCAAGACAAAAUUUAAUUGAAGGGAACGAUGAUGACAGAAUGUUCCUUGAAUUUCAACCUAAAAUGGGAGUGGCAGCAAAGGUGAAAGGAAAUCGGAUGGAUUUGUUCAAAUCCAAAGAUCAAGAAAAAGUGUAUUUUAGGCUGUUGAAAAGAGGGGUGAUAAACCCUAGAAGUGUCGAUUUUGACUUCCUGGACGCCAUCAACAUAAACUUAAGAGAAAAGUUGAAUUUGUUUCAACUUGAGAAUUUUUGCUCUGACUCUACGGACGAGUAUGCUCAUCUGACCGCUUAUUUCUAUUCAAAUCUUAGCUUUCUAGAUGCGAAUAGAAUAUCAUUCAGUAUACGAGACCAAGUCUACGUGGUAGAUGUGAAUAUGUUGGCUGACAUUGUUGGAGUUGAACGAGGACGCUAUCUACCAAUCAAAGUCUCACCUGCUCGCACUACUCUGGAACUGGUCAAAGAUAGGGACGCAGAGAAGAAAGUUACCUAUUCCAGGAUGAAUGCCAUCAACAUUGUGCUUCACAAGAUUGUGAUCAACUGUCUUAGACCGAAGUCUACAUCAAAGACUUCCGUGUCUCUUUCUGAAGCAAAGUUGAUGUACGCGAUCAACACAGGAAGGAAGUUCUCUCUCCCGCACACUAUUCUCUUCCAUAUGUACAGAGCAAUGUCGAAAGACAAAGGACAAUUGCCUUAUCCUGGUCUGGUGACCAAGAUCUUCAGACACAUGAAUAUUGAACCACCUCAAAAUCUUUGUGUUCAACCAUGUGAUAAGAUGGUGGUAGGAUUGAAGAUGUUAACAAAAAUGCGUCUGCAAGAACUUUCCAAGGCAAUGGAAAAAUUCAGAGUGAAAUCUCCAGUUCAGUCUGCUUCAAAGAGAAAAGGAAAGGAGGCUAUUGGAGCCCCAUCGAAAAAGAAGAAAAGAUCUCUCAUUCUAGAGAAGAAGAAGAGCAGAAAGAGACGGAGAAAGAAGCUGAAGAAGAGAAAGAAAAGUCUGUUGAAUCUGGAGAGAAGGAAAAUCUAGAGCAUAAUCAUCACUCUUACCCUUUGAAUGUCCUAGAGACAGGGGGAGUUGGAGAGCAAGAAAGGUCUACACCUCAUGCUGCGAAUAGUGAAGGUCCAAGACAAUCUCCAGUAGACCCAGAAGAAUUUCAGGCUUCUCAAUUGCCUGAAGAAGGUGAUACGUCGACACCAAAUCUGCAAGACUAUACAGAAGCGCCAUCAUAUACUCUUACUCCAUCUGAAAAAGCUCAUGCCAGUACGCAAACAGAUAAUUCUACAGAUUUUCAUUGCAUCAUGGAUAUUCUUCUGGAAAUGCGUGGACAGAUAUAUGCUCUGGAUUGUGAAAUUCAAGCCUUGAAGAAUGCUGGACAAGCAUCUUCAGUCAGCCUGGAGGACAAGAUGAAAGACCUCGCUCUGCAAAUCCAAGCCAAUGCCAAAGGAGAGGAGGUAGCUCAUCUAAGGGAGGACUUGAAGAGGCUAGAAGGCGUAGUCCAGUCAAUGGGAGAUUUCCAGAUCGUGCGCAUUCCCAAGCAGACAUGACUCCUUUCUCACCCUCUUUUUAAUGAUGAUAAAAAGGGGGAGAACCAAUUUGAACAAACAUUAUUUUAAAAUUUUGACUUUUGUGGUUAUGUUUAUUUUUGAGUUUGACUUGAGAACUUGAACUUGGGUGUGAGACUGAAUUGGCUGUGGAUUUUGAUGCUUGACUGGUUGCAUUUAUAUCAAGUAUUGUUAUAUGGUAUUACUCAUGAAAGACUAACCAAUUUUGAUGUGGAUGCAGAGUCUGGUUGUUUAUUAAUCUUUAUGAGUUAGCCAUAUUGCUUGAGAAAUGUUUUUGCAGGUCAAAGUUGUUCAAAUCUACAAGAAAGUUUUGUCACCAUCAAAAAGGGGGAGAUUGUUGGAGAAAUCUUUCCAGAAUAUUUUGAAGCUGACAAAACAUUUCCAUCAGUCUAGUCUGGAUAUCGAUAGUUUAAAGUCUCAAGACUUUGUAGUCUCAAGACUGAAAACUCAAGACUCAAGACUCAAGACUCAAGACUCAAGACUAUUCUCACUGACAGUCUUUCAAAUCCAGUGGAGAAGAAUAUCCGAAGCCGAAGUAUAUGGUUGGGGAUUCGAUCUAAUCCUCUGGAAAAGAUACCUUGGUUGGAUAAUCAUUUCGGAUUCUUUGAUUUUUAUCUAAGAAUAAUUGAAGAUCCGAUGGCCGACGAAACAUUCUUGGAAUGUUCUAUUCUUGGAAACCAAAAUCCUGAUUGUAUGGGCGAACAGGAUUAAUGGGCUAUCAUCAGAUUCCUUAAAUAGCUCGGAUGAUCUUCUUGAUUGAUUCCGUCCAACGGGUAGAUUGGAGGAAUUCCUUUGGUAAGUGCCAACGGCUAUGAUGGCAUAAAGGAGUAUAAAAGGAAGACGUUCUAGUUGUUUUGUGGGUGUGAUUGAUAGAAAAAUUCCAGAGUCUGAAGAACCUUGAUUGUUAGUCGAUACAGUUCGAGCGAAAUUGUAUACACAGAGAGUGUUCAUACUUGGUGACACCUUGAGCGAGUGUAGUAGAUCAUCUACAUCUAGAAAUCAAGGAAGAUCAACACUGUAACAUCUCUUUGUUCAUAGUGGAAUCCGGCCAAUCGGCUGUCAGUGCAGAAGAGUGGACGUAGACUUGAAUCAAGCCGAAUCACUAUAAACCUUGUGUUUAAUUCUCUCUUUCCUUUACUCAGUCUUAUGAUUGAUUUUAUUAUUCCUUUAUCUGUCUAAGUAUUGUGCAAUAUUUAAGAAAAUUUUUAUAAACCUAUUCACCCCCCUCUAGGUACUCAUACUAGCAUUAUCAAGUUGCAUCAAUGCUUUCUGUUCCUGCGGCAUUUCCUAUUUCAGAUAUUAACUUCUUUUGCAAUCCAAUUAAGCCAUCCAAUCUUGACGACUUUUCUCGAACAUCUUCAAGAAAGUAGCAAUGCUUUCCAAAGUGGGUAGAAAGUUCAUUAAACACGACCUUGGCAAGAGUUGUUUUACCGAUACCCCCCAUGCCAUGAAUUUGAAUGAGCCGUCCACCUCCAGAGCCUUCGUCUAACAAAUUUUUUAUUGCUACCACUUGAUCAUCGAUUCCAAUUAAAUGUUCAGUCACAAACUUUUGCUUUAUCUUCAACUUCUUCACAACCUCUUCAACGAACAACUGAAUGAGUUCCCCUUGGCUGUCAUGAAGGAAAACCAUUUCAAUAGGGGAAAAUUACAGGGAGUAAAAAAAAAAAAAAAAAUCUAAAUUUCAUUCGUGAAACAAUUCCAUUAGACUUCAACAGAAUCUCCUUUUUAUUUUGUUCGUUUCCUAGCAGUUGAUGUUAUUCAAUUACAUCUGCUUAACUGCGCAAUAAUUCAAUAACUAAUAUGACAUCAACAAUCAAGACGUUUCUUCUCAAAUUUUGUACUAAAUGUAAGGUUUUCUUAGUUAUCACUUUUGAUAACUUAACAUUUGUAAUUUGAAGUGUUGUGCAAACCUUAUGUGUACUUGAUCUUGUAAAAUUCCAAAAUAACACCAAGCAUGCAUAAAACAAACAUUUUGACGAGAGUGAUGGAAUUGACCUUGAAGGAUUUCAGAUUUGAUUUUUCUAGCUAAUUCUAUGUAACCAUAAAAAAUAUGAAUCUACAUCACUUUCAAAGACACUUUUCAUUCACAUUGCUAGGUGCCACGAGUUGCAUUGUGUCAUGAUGAAAAUUGACGAUCCCAACAUGUGAUUAGCAAUCCUCAAAUUAUGUUAAUCUUCUUUGUGCAAGAUGAAUGUACAAUUAUUUAUGCAUCGCGAAUUAGCAUUUUAUCAGUUAUAUUCAUGGGACAACCUUAGAAGUGGUACAUAAUAUGUUCAGGAGGACAAAUGUUUGAUGCAUUAAUUGAAAGAUCAAAUUAUUAGACAGGAACGUGCAUGGUACUCAAUUAUUCCACUUUUAGCCUAUUAUAUAAAAUACUUCCUUUUCUAGCGUUUUCAAUUUUUUUUUUAUACACGCAUACCAUUUAGUAUUACUAGUGUAAGUUCCACCUCAAUCGUGGUGAUACAUCAAUGUUAUUAAGUUUCAAGUAGUAGUUCUAGAAGAAUUAGAAUUUUACUAAGAGUUGCUUACUAAAUGACAGAGGUGAACAAUGGAACAAAAUUUAUAUAGACCAUCAAUGAAAGGAAAAAAAUGAACUUUGUUUUCUAUUUUUAGUUCUUCAUUAAAAUUAGACAUAUGAUAGCGCUUCCAGUGAAAUCAAGAACACUAACAAUUUUAAUAGCUCUAGCAUGAUUUUUAUGCUCUUGGAUUCUCUUCUCCUACAUUUAGUAUGUUCCUUCUUUCUAUGAAUUAUUUACUUAGUUUUUGCAACCAGGAAAAAGAAAUUAGGGAAAAUAAGGAUCUUAGAAUGCAGCAAGCUCACCCUUUGUAUUUCUUGGCUUCCCAACCCUUUAUUGCACCAACCUCCUUCAAAGCAUCUCUCCAGGAAUCUACUUGCUCAGUGCUUAGCUUCUUCUCGCGCUCCAAAUUGAGAAUAGCAUCCCGAUACAAUGGGGUUUUCAGCUUGACAUCGUCAGGUUUCACGUCAAAGAAAAUAUGUAGGAUCUCUUUAUUCCCAUUCGACUUAGAGGUGUUAUCCACAAUCUGCCUGAGCUCACGGAGACACCAGUGGCUUGAAGCAUAGGUUCGAGAGAAGAUGGGAAUGUAGAUCCUAGAGUUGUCGAUCGCUCUUUGGAGUGCUCCAUCGAUUCUUUCACCAACACGGAGCUCUUCAUCAUCUCGAAAGACGUAGAUGCCAGCAUCGGCCAAGUUAUGGUAGAGGCAAUCAGUAAAUCCAUGACGAGUGUCAGUUCCUCUGAAGCUCAAGAACACUUGAUAGAUGCUUCCUGACGAUGCUUUUGCCUCUGAGCUCCCCAUUUUGAACUUUAGCUUUUGCAACUCUCUCCCUCUCUCCCCUGUGGGUGAACAAGAUAGGCCUUCACCCUUGGCUGAUUGAAGGUGUCAACCACAAACAUAUCGCGCAAAUAUAUCAUGAGUGAGGUUACCAAUGAUCAGAGAAAAGCAUAAAAAAAACCUAUCGCAGACUAUUAUAUAAUUUUCUUUUUUUUUUUUGGUAAAGCAGACUAUUAUAUAAAUUCAGCUACAGAAUAACAAAAAAGAAGCACGUAAUUCCCGCAUUAUAUUCAAACUCCCAAUAAUCCAUAUGAUUUGUAAGUCAAAUUUUUGGAAAGGUUGAGAUUAGCCCGCAAUCUUCUCAUAAAUCCACUUGUCUAUUCUUGUUAAGAAGCUGAUCAGGGAGACUCUGAUCCAAUUAUACAGGAAGGAACGCAAUAAAAAUACAAAUUGGUAUAUCAGUCCCGACGACCAGAUCCGUCCUCGAUCGUGGACACCGCACUCAUUCUGAGCAAGGUUUUCAUGAAACCGAACUCUUCAAGGAAAAUCCAGAACAAGUCAGAAGAGAAUCGUACCGUGUUCGUGGUCACUACUGCCGGGAAAGGGCUUCGUGAAGAUGAAUAUCGAUGGCUUCUGGUACCGGCUAGCUGAUUCGUCGGAGGGGUUCGUUGCCGGAGUCGCUCGGGACGACCGGGGGACGUUGAUUGCUGGGUUUGAGAAGAAGAUCGUGGCCUCCUCUCCCCUGCACGCGGAAAAACCAGCCUUCAAGCGAUCAGAGAAAGAACCUCGAAGACUUUUAAGUCUUCCAAGCGAUCAGAGAGUGCCUUCAAGCUGUAUGUACGGUGCAUGGGCCCUCCGGUGUUUCAUUUUAGACAAUUGAAUUUUCUUAAAUUGUUUCUUGUCGAAAACAAAAAGUAUUUGCGGCAAAAUAAUAGUUGCUAAGGAAAAAAGAAUGUCUAGGACACGGAAUUGAUCUUAAAGAACUAUUCCUACAGCACCUAACCAAAUCCACCUACGUUAGAAGAGAUAAUUAUCAAAUGAGUAAUAGAUUUUAUUAUACAAAUAUUAAUUCAGUACCAUUUUUUUUUAAUUUUGAUAAUAUAACUUUAAACUUUUGUACGAAAAAUUCUAAACUAUACCUACUGCGAUAUAUUUAUUUUAAAAAAAUUUUGACAUCAAAAACUCCCAAUUUAUAUUUAUUUCACACAUUAUAUUUAUCCCAAACUUCUUCUUGUGACACUAAAAUUUCAAACUUCUAUAUAUGUAACAGGUUUACCCCAAAAAUAUGGUUUCGCAAAAAAACUUUAGGAUUUUCUAUGUCAGAAAAAAAGAUUUGAGGUGAGUGUGUCACCCUAUGACACAUGUUUUAGAAAUUAUCUGUAAAAUUUCUAUGCAUAGAGUAGCUUGCUUGAUGUGUCAACUGUUAUUGAGCACAGUACUUGGAUGCGACCCUGAGAAGGAGAAUAAUGCACUCGAAAAGGGUAAAAAGAAACACCAUGGAAACCCUCGCAUGUGCGUACUUUAUGGAAGGGAAGCAAAGCAAUAGUCAACAAAAAGUUGAAGGGAGGCAUGAAGUUUCUAAAAAAUGCCAAACAACUUUAUAGAAACUAGGUCGGAAGGUGCCCUUGCUUUUCCUAAAAUAAAUAAAUAAAAAUAAAAACCAACCUGCCUUUUGAGGCAAGCACAUAAAAUUCUAUAUGUAGGCUUGUUCCAUUUUUCAAUUCUAACCAUUAGAAAGGGCAUCCGGAAAACACAAACAUAAUUCAAGGAGGUGGCUUAUAUUUUGAAUAUAUCUCCGUGCGUGCAUAUAAUUUAGGCAAUGUGAUUAUAUCACGAAUCAUGAAAUUGAUUGGAUACUCUUAAUUACUCAAUACUCGAUAUCAAUAGGAAACAACAUAUAACCUAUUUUCUAUAUAUCUCCAAGUGUGCAAAGAAUUUUGAUUCAAGUUUAGCUCCCUACAUUUUCUAGCACAAGUUGAUCUCUUUGAAAGGGAUUAAAAUGAUGACUAUAUAGGUGCAAACACUUUAGAAUCUUCAAAAGAGCGGAAGAAAGAAUAUAGUCAAGGGCUAUAUCUUAAGAAGGAACAAGCUCAACUCGUGAUUAUUCCCGUUAGUUGAUCUACAUCUCUGAUAGGAGGUAAAAUCUCUCAUUUUCCAUAAGCUUAUUCAAUCGACACAAAAGGAGAAAAAUAAAUGAAGUGCAAGCUCUGUUGAUGUCAUGACGAUUGUAAGUGGGGGCAAUUCCGCUGUUUUCAAAUUCUCAAGCAACCCUUAUCGCCGGUUCCACACCCUACGAAUUUCUUCUUUUCUUCAGUUUUUGUCUCCUUUUAUUUAGGUUUUCUCUGGUUUUUUAAAUAAUUUCUUUGGUCUUUCUUCGCCUCAUUAGCACCAAUGUAGAAAGAGAUUGCAAAGCGCCACAUCCAACUUUGGAAUCUACGUUAGCAAAUUUGGUUAUGAAUCCAUCAUAAGGAUUAAAUUGUACCCAACAAAAAACGUUUAGGACUUGAUUGCACAAAUUCAAAAUUUGGGACUUGACUAAAUAUUCGGCCAAACAUUAUGGACUUUUUGGUGUAAUUUUCAUUUAUAAGAACCUAAAAUGAGAAUCAGCAUAGUGGAUAGCAAAUAUUCUUAUAAGAUAAUAACAAAUAAGGGUUACUCAAAUAAAAAUUCAUAGUUUGAUUCCCAUCCUACAUUGAUCUAUCCCACCGACAAGAACUCUGCUAUUGACGGGUUUUCCAAUGCAUCUCUUACCUUGAUUUGGCCUAUCCUUCCACAACUGUAGAAUAAACUUGUAGAUUAGCAGCAAAAAUAGCAUUUGGUUGUGAGGACAGAUUUUCACGCCGACAAGCGCAAGGAGAGGGAAAACGCGUGGAAUGGGGUCGCUGUGUUCCAGUCAUGACCGUGUAAUGAACACAUGAAGUUUCAUCUCUAUAUCCUUGUGAAACCCCCUAUGUAAACGCAAGAAAAAUUGAAAACGCGUGGCAUGACUAUUAUAUGUUGGCAAAAGCAAAAGGGGAGAGAAUCGUGCAUGGUUGUUAUCUCUUUUAUGUUUUUCCACAUUUUUAUGUUUGUCUUUUUGACAAUUCGACUCAAUCAUGAAUAAGUCGAUAAAGGAUACAUAAAAGAUAAAGAGAGGAAAGAGACGAAGAGGAUAGGAGACUUUUGCAAUGGGGUCGAAACUUUUUAAGGCUUCUUUGUUGAUGGGAUGUUAAGUUGAAAAUGAGAGAAACUGAGUUGGCAGGUACCUAUGCCUGUUUUGUGACAUCCUAAAAUUCGACCCCCUUUCGAUAAAAUGAAAUGUGCAUUUCGUCGACGUGCUUAUGGUCCUUUUUCUCUGAGCUGAUCACUCACGAGUUAGCUAACCUAUUGGGUGAAGCCAUUAAGGGAUAUAACCACGGUAAAAUCCCUAAAAGCUACCUAAUUGGUUGGAUUAGACUAAAAUCGCGUCCGGUUGAUUUUAACCAUGAAAUUUAAUUCGGUCUUGGGAAAUCGAAUAUUCGAGCGUGUCACAAUUCAUUUUUAGGACCGUCUCAUCGCCUGUCAAUUUAUUGACAAGUUCGAAAUUUCAAGAAAGAAAUUAUCGGAGGAAAAAUCGAAGACCGGAAGAAAAUAAAAAGGGAAAUGGAAAGAGAAAAGAAAAUUUAGAAUAGUAUUAUUCUUUUUUCUUUUAUUUUUCUCUCUCUUCUCUCUCCUCUCCCCUCUCUCUUCGUGCGGACACACCCCCCACCGAACACUCCCCUUGCCAAUUUUAAAUUGGCUUCUCCUCCGUCUUCUUUUCCUUUUUGACCGGUCAAACCCUCUCCCUUAUCUCUCCUCUCUCUUCUCCCUCAUCCCACGUGACCGACUUCUUCUUCUUCCUUCUUCUUUGUGCGAACCAGCCCAAAAUCAACAAAGAAGAGCAGCACCUCGCCAAAGCCAUCGCCGCCGCACCGGAGCUCAACCGCUGCCCGCGCAUGCCAUGUGCUCCGCCGCCUCCCACCCGCGCUCGCCAUCCUCACCGUGCGCCGUCCAGCCCCUGUUCAGCCUCUGCUCAGCCCUUGUUUCGCCCCGUCCGACCACCUCUGGCCGCCGUUCGACCCCGCCAGACCUCCACCGGCCGUCCCCCGUGCCUUGCCGUGCUUGUGGAAGUGGUUUGUGGUUGUUUUGUGUCUGUUUUCAGCCAUUGCAGCCACCCACGAAGUGGAUUUCCAGCCCCUUUCAGGCUCGUUUUGGGCCGUUUCCGGGCCCUGAACUCGCUUUGGAGUUUGUUGUUCCUCGCGCGCCGCCCCAGUCGAAUUGAUCCGAUUUGCGCGCGAUUUGGUGAGUAAUCUCACUAAUCCUGGAUUAGUUGGCUAAUUAUGCUUAAGGUUGAUUUAGUCUUAAUUAAUUAUGUUUAGGUUGUUAGAUUAGAAUAAAUUAGCAAUUAUUAGUUAAUUGUGAUGCGAUUUAGAUAAAUGGAUUGCGCAAUUAGCAAGUAGACGUGGUCUACUAAUUAUUGGAGUGCCUCGGGAUUUUUUUCCGACCCUUAGUGGGCUCCAAUUAGGCUUUUCGGGCCUAAGUGGAAUUUUUAGUAUUUAAAUAUUAAUUUUCGGAAUUUAAUUAAAUAAUUAUUUAUUUUCCGAAAAUUCAAAUGAGAUGGUCCGAAAUCGGAAAAUUAUGCUGAUGACCGUGGUGAAGUCCGUUUAUUUAAUCGGGCUUUAUUUUGAGCUAAAAUGAAUUUUUAAUAUUAAUUAUUUAAUUUUCGAAAUUAAUUAAUUAAUUAUUUAUUUAUUUUUUAGGAAAUUAAGAUUUUGAUGGCCGACGACCGAAAUCUCAUGCUGAUCAUCGUGGUGUAGUCCGUUUAUUUAUUUGAGCUCCACAUUGUAUGGAAUUGAAUAAAUUGUGAUAUUUUAGGGAUUUACCCUAAAUUGAUUAGAAUUGAUUGAGACUGAAUCGUUGAUUGGUAAAUGGCCAAGUAUAUUAUUCAUCAUAUAUAAUGCUUUGUUGAGUUGAUUUAAUUAUUUGAUUGAGAAAUCGUUGGGCAUUGGUUGUCGGUAUUGAAAGUAGACUGGUAAUCGCUUAAAAGAGGACAUGUGGGCUCGGUGAAUUGGAAUAUCACCUGGAGAAUGCACGUGAAUUCAGUGGUUGAAUAUGUCACUUUGGCGAAAAGGUCGCCUGAGAGAAUGCACGUGGCUCGGAGACUUGGUAUGUCAUCUUGGAGAAUGCACGUGGCUCGGUGACAGAGUUUGGCAUCUAAAAGGGCACGUGGGCUCAGUGAAUUGAUGCAUCACUUUGGUGAGAUAGCACCUAAGAGAAUGCACGUGGGUCCAGGCAUCUAAAAGGGCACGUGGGCUCGGUGAAUUGAUGCAUCACUUUGGUGAGAUAGCACCUAAGAGAAUGCACGUGGGCCCACACAUCUAAAAGGGCAUGUGGGCUCGGUGAAUUGAUGCAUCACUUUGGUGAGAUAGCACUAAGAUAAUGCACGUGGGCCCGGCCAUCGUAAAAAGGACACGUGGCUCGACGAUCUGAUGCGUCACCUUGGCAAUUGAGUGCCUUAGAGAAUGCACGUGGGUCUAGUAUUUGAGAAUAACAUUAAAAAGGGCACGUGGCUCAAUGACUUGAUGUAUCACUUUGGCGAAGAAGUCGCCUUAGAGAAUGCACGUGAGCCCAAGGUUCGAGGCACGUGGACUCGGAGACUUGGAAUGUCGUCCUGGAGAAUGCACGUGGCCUAGCUUUUAGAUACUCCUCCAUGGAGAAUGAUUUGUGUGACAUGUAAUCGACUGGUUCGAUUUGUUUUGAGUAAAUGGGUGCCUAUGUUGAAUUGUAUUGACUUGCAGGUGAGAUCUGAGGCUAAGGUAAGUCUUCUGCCCUGUGUGUGUUUAGGCAGCCUAUAGUAUAAUGGUUUACUAAUCGGGCUUAGUGAGGUAGAACUCGCUGAGACAUAGUCUCAUCCCGAUUUGGGGAAAUCAUUUCAGGACCCCGAUGAGGAGCUGAGGAGGAGAAGUCUAUGAAGGAGAACUCGGAAGUGAGAUAUGAGGAGAAGGAUUUUUGGAAGAAGAAGAUAGUCCCGAGAGGGGCCUUGAGUAUGGCCUGGAGGGAUUGAGAUCCUAUCUUCUUUUGAGAUCUCCAUUUUGAUGUGAAUAGUUAUGAAGUGAUUUGUGUUUUGUAUAAAAGUUUGGUUAUAAAUUUUAGUAUGAAAAAUAUGGCCCUGCUUUUCCAUCCCAUCAUUUUAUUGUCUGGGGAUUUUAACUGCUUCCGCAUGUGCUUAAUAAAUGAAAGGGUCGGCGAUACAUAGUCCUGGGAUAUCGCAUUAUAAAAUCGACCAAGUUGAAGGAUGUGUGCGUGCCCGAGGAUCGGGACGUGACAUGUUCUAAAUGAAAAAUAAUAAAAGUAACUUUUGGGUCAAGCACAUAAAAUUCUCUGGUGGGUUGUCACGCAUCUUGAAAACACAAACAUAAUCAUUGAGAGGUGCCACAAAAGUAAUCUAAGGUAUUUGGACUGUAUCACGACUCAUUGAAUUGGUUAGAUGCAUAGAGAAUUAAAUAUUUAAAAAAAUACAAAAAACAAAAAACAAAACUUCUUUUUGUAUAUCUCCGUGUGUGUAUAAUAUGCUUUAUGUUGAGCUCUCUCCAUUUUCCAGUAUAAGCUAAGCAAAUGAAUCACAAAAUAUUAAUAAAAUAUAUAACUUAUAGUUUAAUAUAGCUAAGCCUCACGAUAAAGGAAAUAAAAAUGCCUAAGUUAGACAAAAUCAUCAUCCGUUAAAAAAUAGGACUCGCGCGUAAACCAAAUUUGGUUGGAAAAUUUCAAUGCUAUAUAAUCAGUUUUUUUUGGCUCCGAUACCAAAUAAUUAGAGACAAUAAGGAGAAGUGAAGCGGAAGCGGAAAGGGGAUGCCGAGAUCAACAAUUGACAACAAAGAAGAGAAAGAAAUGAUUCGUGAAAUUGAUUGAUACUCUCAAAAAAAUCAGAUACUCAAUACCAAACAACAGAAGACUUAUUUUUCUUUUUUUUUUCUUUUAUAUAUCUCCAUGUCUGCAUAUAAUUUAGUUCAACUAUAGCUCUAUCCAUUUACUGGUAUAAGUUUAUCUAUUUGAAAGGGGAUAAAAUGCCAACUAUAUACGUAUAAAUAUCCCUGAUUGGAGGUAAAAUAUUUCAUUUUUCAUAAGCCCAUUGAAUCGACAUAACAUUCUAAAAAAUCAAACUAUAUGAUUUGAUAUUUGACAGGUUUGUGCCAACUAAAAUGAAUCGGAGGAUGAGGACAAAGAAAAAGAAGUGCUGGCUCUGCUCAUGGACAUUAUAGUAGGGGCAGUUCUACCGUCUCCAAAACCCUCUGACAGCCCUCGCCGACGGUUCCACUCUCUAUGACUUUUAGUUUUAUCUAGUCUUUGUUUUUUUUUUCUUAAAGUUUUUCUCCAAUUUUUUUAAUUUUUUUAAUAUUUGAUUUUUCCUAACAUGGGGCCACAUUAGCACCACAUUAGAGGCAUGUCUGUUAAAAGAAAUUACAAAAUGCCAAGUCAGAUUUUGGCAUCCAUGUUAGCAAAUUUGACCAUGAGUUUACCAACAGGAUUAUAUUGCACUCAAUGAAAACCAUUUAGGAUUUAAUUGCAUAAAUUCAAAAUUUGGGACUUGAUUGCAUAUUCGAUCAAAUGUUCUGAAUUUCGGUGUCUGACUUACAAAAGCCUAAAACAAGAAUCUAGUAAGACAAGAAAAUUCCAAAUAUAAGUACUGGUUGCUAAGAUAAAAAUUCUAGUUUGAUUGGAUCUUAUAUUGGUCUCGCCCACUAAGAGAACUCUGCUAUUGACGAGUUUCCCAAUGCAUUUCUUUCUUGAUUUGCCCCAUCCUUUCCCAGGUCUAGAAUAAUAAACUUGUAGAUUAGUAGCUAAAAUAGCACAUUGGUUGCCAGGCCAAAUUUUCACACCGACAAGCGGCUGGUGCAAAAUAUGAAUGUUACAAUAUGUGCUCUUGGUUGCAGUGUUCCGCCCGUUAAGCGAGAUCGACACUUUUUCUCAUUGAUUUUUGACUCACUAAAUCUUGCAAAACUUCCAAACCAAGGAAAAAAAAAAAAAAAACUCCAGCAAAACUUGAACAUGGCGCGCCCAUUUCUUUAACUUGUUAUUAUCAUAAGUCUCACUAAAACCAUAUUACGGAUGAAAAAACCUUCACCACAAUGUGAUCAAUGCUUUUGGCUCUAAUAUUAAAUAAUGCAAGACAAAUAUUGUUCUAAUACCAAUGGAUGAAGCACAUAACUAGAAGGAGAAGAAGAAUGAGAAGACGUCAAGAUUGGUAAUAGAUAGAAGACAAUAAAAAUAUAGGAGAGAACAUAAAAAUCAAUUUAGUUUAAUAUUCGAUUAGUCUUGUUUAAUUGCGAUCAUGAAGCUAGCUUUUGGAGGAUAUUGGGUAUCAUAGAUGUCUCUCGUCCAUGAUUGUCCAUGUUUAAACCUGUUAUGUUGAUAGAUAAGUUUCCCAUAAGCUCAAAUUAGUACAAGGCGAUUUAAAAUUGUGCAAGGUUAGCAAGCCGCCAUCAAGAUGGACAAUAACACUAGCAUCAGCUGAAUGGGACUGCCAAUUAGUCCAAAUCAAAGUUUUAUCCCCCUCAAAAAAGGAUCAAAUUGGAUCCAUCCGAGAGCCAACAUAGUUUUUACACACAUGAUUAAAAUGUAAGAGCUGAAGUUAAGGUGGAAUCCCAACAGAGAAGUGAAUUCUUCCAAAAAGACUUGAAAUGCAAGGGACAAAAUAAUGCCAAUCUCUUUCGCUGUAAAAGUAAUAAUAGGUCCCUUUAGUCAAGCCAUGUCCAAGUAAUGAACACUGGAAGCUUUCGCUCAACUCCUCGCGAAAGCCCCAUGUAAACGUAGGGAAAGUGAAAUGGGUGGCUCGACUCCAUUUUAUGUUGGAAGAAGCAAAAGGAGAGGCAGGUUUCUGACUUUAUCUUUCAUGUUUUUCCACGACCUUUCUUUUUGAAAAAGCAACUCAAUUGUGAGCAAGUGGAUGAAGUACACAUUAAAUAAGAAAGGAAAGAGACAUGACGAGGGCAGGAGACUCUUGCAAUGGGGUUGAAACUUUUUGAGGCUUCUUAGUUGUUCGGAAGUUAAGCAGUAAAUGAGAGGAAAUUGUGGGGCAGGUAAACACAACGAUUUUGCAUUCUCUUUUGCAACCGACUAUGACCUAAGUCCACUCUAUUUAAUUAUAUAUAUUUGCAAGACAAACUUUAAAGUAUUUAAUUGAUGGAAGCUAGAUUUUCACUUGAUCUAGUAGCAUCUAUUUAUAUAUAUAUCCUGAAAGAAGAUUCAAAAUAUAACAAGACAAGAGUCAUAUUUCCCUUCGUGAUUGAAGGAAAUUCUCUCGCCUCUUAUUAUUGGGUUAUAAGUCAUCGAUAUCCCUCAUAUGAAAACUUAACCAAAUAAGAAUGCAGGUGAUGUCUAUAUUUUUAACUCACCAAUCAUAGGUAUGGUUUCCUCCAACUAUAGAGAUAUGACAUCGUUUUAAUAAUAGUGUACAACAAUUUACUGUUGUAAUUAUGUAUUUAUCUCCACAUCAUGAAAAUGCAUCAGUCAUACCUACAAUAAUAGAUAGUAUGUGACCCAUCUAUUUCAUAAGAGUCGUUUUAUGUGAAUGUUUCGCAUCUCUAGCAAUGUUUUUGAAUUUUCUAGUUGAUUCCACUUGUCCUAUAGCCCCAAAAGGACACUUGAGUCAAUUAUCUAAUAUCACUCUUUAAAAAUUAUUCAACAUGAUUGUAUUAUGAAUUUCCUUGCAACUAUUUUAAUGAUGACAGAUAAUCAAAAGGCUAACGGUAUGUACAUUUGGAGGGGUAUGUUGAUGAAACGUCAAAUGUAUUGAUAAACCUCGAAAUUGAAGAAGGUAAACAAACUACAUGACAUUGUAUCACGGUCAAAGAGUUUUGAAUGUAGAUGUUCAAUUUGGAAGGACCUUGGUACAAGUAGUGAACAGACAAAGAGACAAAAUAUUGUCAAGAUAUCUUAGCAAAACUAUAGGCAUAAAGUGGACAAUCUACAAGAAAUGAUGGAUUUUUGUGGUACCCCUUGAUGGCCCCCGAUCCGUUAGGGUCGCCACAGUUCGCUUAUCUUUCACUUUCCUUAUUAACAUGUCACUCUGAUACCAUUUCAAUUGCACGGGUCCAUACAACAUAAGGGGUUUACACCUUUUUUUUUUUUUAUAGGUCCCUUGCGCAAUUCAUAUACGGAAGCACAUCCAACAAACUCCCUUCUCUAUAUUCAGAAAACGAUGCACACCUACUAAACAUCUUAUAUAAGUUAAAGCUGAACACGUUUAUUUACAUAAAGCAGAUGGACAUCUUUAAUUAGUACAUCGAAAUGCCAAUGUUUCUAUACUCGGCUAUACUUCAAAAGAUGACCGACAUAUCUUCUAAUAGUCAAAUACUUAAAGUCCAUCGAUUAGUGUCGGCGUCCAAAAGUUCCUCCCUUUGAUAUCUUCCUCUUCGCAAUCAUAUCCAACCACUUGAUUCAUCUACUGGUAGCAGUGGUAGCAGAGGGAUCUUAUCUAGUCUGAAAUGUUAUUCCCCAAAAGGGGUGAGUAUAACCACUCAGCAGGUAAAGGACCAAUAAACCACUCAAUACAUCAUGCCAUACAAUCAUCACAAUCAUAGCAUCACAUGUCAUACAAGCAUUCAUGCACAACAUACUAUGGCAUCAUGCACAUGUCAUCAUACCUCAUGUACCAUCAUCAUCAUAUAGACAUCAUCAUCAUCAUAUCAUACACUUACCAUCAACAUGUCACAUAUUGCAUCAUCCUUACCCAUGCAUCCAUGUGUAUAACAUCAUCAUCAUAUCACCAUAUCACAUGUACCAUCAUCAUUACCAUGCAUACAUGCAUGUAACAUCAUCAUCAUAUCAUCAUAUCACAUGUACCAUCAUCAUUACCAUGCAUCCAUGCACGUAACAUCAUCAUAUCACAUGUACCAUCAUCAUUACCAUGCAACCAUGCACAUCUCAUCAUAUCAUGCAUAUAUCAUCAUGCAUAAUUCAAUUUCAAUUUCAUUUUGGACCGUCACAUUUCUCUUUCCCGGGACCAAUGUUUGCAUCCCACAUUCAUCACUCGCGCCCAAUCCUGGCAUUGCGAGAAACCUCCGGGCAUGUAUCCAACAUACAACCGGGCAUCCGGCACCCCCACAUUCCGGGCAUCUCGUAUCCCAACUGGCAUCACGAGGAACCUCUGGGCAUGUAUCCAAGAUACAACCGGGCAUCCAGCAUUUACACUCCCUGGCCGGGCAUCUCGCAUUCCAACUAGCAUCGCGAGGCAUCCCCCCGGGCAAAAACCUCCGGGGCUUCCGGAAUUAUGUACCGACAUACCACCAGGCCUCCCCUGGAAUUACGUACCGUAUACCACCAGGCAUCCCGACACUCCCGGGGAAUCAUUGGCUCACACCUCCGAUGGCCUUCUCACUUAUCUCAAUUCACAUCUUCAAUUAUAGUUCAAUUAUAACAUGGCAUGUGAUGUGAUGGCAAUCAAGAUCAUAUUCAUCAUUGAAUUCAUACAUGCAUCUCAAAUCAUUAUCAUGCAUGCAGCUAGGCACCAUCAUCCAUCACAAUACAAUUCAUGGAGUCCAUGCAAUAUAAAAUGGUCCAUAUUUCAUGCCUUUUCAAAGUUUACAAAAUUCCAGCAUGUACCAUUUUUAGAAAAUAUUUAAAUUAAAUAUCCAUAUGCUUCUCAAAAAUCAUGAAAUCAAGGCACGUGAUAGACAAGACAAUAAAAUAACAAUUUCAUGAAAAAUACAUGCCAAAUAGAGUUCCACACAAAAGAUAUAAUUCACACAAAUACAGCAUGCAAAUUCGGAUAGAAACAGAAUGCACAGUUUCCGGAAUAAUUCGAUUAAAAUAUCCGAACGACCUCCAAAAAUUAUGAAAUUUUACCAGGUUAUAGUUAAGACACAAAAGUAUAUUUUUCAUGAAGACUUAUAGGCAAUAUUCGUUCUAUACAAUUUCCUAUAGUCAUCCGAAGCUUCUGGUUCUCACACCGAAACGUCCAGUGUAGUCAUCUCCGAAAUACCGAGUUUUUACCCACUUCUUCUUCUUAAUUUCCUCUGAAAUUUGGAUAUGUUUUACUUAAAGAGGUCCCCUACAACUUUCAUUAAGGGAUCUAAGUCAAAUUGUUAAAGAACAGUCACCAUAUGGGUCCAUGAAGUCUCGGGUGUCCAGUACCGCGUCUCCAGAUUUACCGUCUUCAAGAAUAAAUCGAUUCACUAGGCUACACUUGUUCAUUUUACUUCAAAUUUGAGUAUGUUAGUCUUUAAGAUGUUUUCUAAAAGUUUAAUGAAGAAGUCGAUGAGAUAUUCUUGAUAAAAAUCGACAUGCAACCACAGAUCUACCAAAAGGUCAGCAAAAACGUUCCAGAUCUAGUGUCUUCGUAGGAUGAGGGUUUGACCCCCUAAAUCUCCACCAUUUUGCACCAAAUUUUAGUAUGUUGUAGUUUAAGAUGUUGGAUGCAACUUUCAUGAAGAAAUCAAAGUCAAAAUCAAACUCAAAACAUGCAUGCAAGCUCUCACAAGAUUCUGGCUCAGGUGGUUCAUACGAAAACAGCAUGCAAACUCAAGAACAAGUCACAUUCUAGCUUCGGUUUUGCCUACUCUAACAUCCGAAAUCUACCACCAACAAAUCACACAUGCAAGGCACACAUGCAAGAGCAGAAAUCAGUCCCAACUUGCCUCCAAAACCAAGCAAACGAGGCACACCGGCGACGGACUUACGGCAUGCGGGCGGCGAGGGGUGGACUCCUUCUCUCGGCUUCCCCUUCUCUCUCGCCACUCCCUCUCUCUCGCAUCCUCCUCUCUCUCCCUUUGGCCAAAUUCUCCACCAGCCACUCUCUCUCUCUCUCUCUCUCUCUCUCUCUCUUUUUGGUUGUAUAUAUAUAUGCAUGCAUUCUUAGUUUGCAUGAGGGACACUUGUCCCCAAGGAGGAGAUAAGUGUCUCCUUUGUUGAAGACACUUGGAGGCCAUGCGGCUCCUCCUCCACCCCUCCAUGCGUCGACAAUGGGCCGAGCUUAUGGCCCACUUUAGGCCCAUCUCACUUGGGCCUAAAGUCCAAACUUAAAUGGCCCAAGUUUUUAUUUUUAAUAGUACAUUUUAAUCCUCAUUUAAAUAAAUACCUAAUUGCAUAAUAAAAUGGCCAAAAGACUUUGUGACAUUUAUCCAUCAAAUCAAAUCUAUAAAGUGCAUAGUCAAGAACAAAGUCUUCUUUACCAAUUUGUCCUAUAGCACCAACCUUGAUCAUCCAUUAACAUUUUCUACUUAAAUAAAUACCUAACUUGCAAAAAUAAUAAGGCCAUUAAACUUGUAGUCACAAAUCCAUAAAUUCCAAUUUAUAAAACACAUGGCCAAUGAUAGGAUUUUCUUUCCUAUCAAAUAAUUAUCCAUUCAAAGUUUGGCCAUAAAUCUUAUUGCAAAUUAUGGAUUAAAUGGCUAUAAAAUAAUUUAAUGGCACUUCCAUCACCUAUUCAUAGACUUUAAUGUAACUAGAGGUCGUCAUGAAUUUUGGGAUGGCAUGAUUUUUAUAACUAGAUUUUGAGCAUCCACAUGCUUGAUGAAGAAACUGAAAGGAAAAUGGGUAGGUUAGAGAAAAUGAAUUAGAUCUUAAUUUCAAGAAGUGUCCCAGGAGAAAAUGUAAAUUGCAUUGAAAUUGAUAUGUAUUGAAAGGAAAUACACGGAAUUGGAAAUUGACAUCACUGAAAGGAAAUUACACAGAGGUAGAAGUGCAUUAAAGUGAAAAUACAAGGAAAUUGAAAGCACAAACUCAGCGCGAGUCUUCAUGUUGUUUGUGAGUGUCCAAGAUUGGUCGAGUCCAUCUUAUUUUUCUCUAGCUCCCGCACUUCACAUUUUUGGUAACUUAUUAUGUCCUCAUGUUUGGUAAAUUCAUUCAACCCAGCUUGGUCAAAUUCAUACAUGACACGAUUAAAAUGGACACUUGUUAACAGUUGCAUAUAACACCGGAUUGCAACUUAGUCUAAGUGCAAAUAAAGAAAAGAUGAAUUAUGUAUAAACCCAAGUGAUGAUCUAAGUUCAGAUAAAGUAACUAGACCAAAGAUAUGAAACUCUUAUCCAUCAACUAGGAUUUUUCUUGGUGAGUUACAAGUUAAGCCGUCAUUCACAUGCAAAUUUAACAAAAAAUAAAAGUUGAUGAUGUUUAUGUUGGUAACCUCCUAAUCAAAAGACUAACUAGAAAAAAUUUCCUUUUUAAAGAGAAGAUAAAUCAAGUGAAAAAUCUUGAAAAUUAUCACGUUUUGUUAUAGUAAUUAUAUCAUACACAAACGACUGUAUAUACACUUCUUGGUAAGAAAACCCUCAAAAUCCCCUGUAAUUCUAAAAUCACUCCUGGGUCCAAAUAUGAGCCCGGAAGCUCUUUGCUUAUUGAUGACCAAAAUGUAAACCGGGCCAGUAAUCCUUAUCCAGAUGCUCCGGACUUUGUUAGGUUUCAACCGUUAUUUGGACUGCACCAAAUGUACAUGAUUUCUUCCUUUUUCAGCCCAUGGAGAUCACGUUGAUCUUCAAUUUAGCAUGUUCAAAAUUUGAGACACCAUCCAUUGGUGGAGCGUAUGUCAAACAAAUAGAAGGCGCGAUAGAGUUAGCAUCCUACCCAGCAUGGCCUUGUGUUGGGACCUUAUUCAGUAGGGUUACGCAUGUAUUAAAAUAAAAAUGAGUAUUGUUUUCAUACUAAGUGUGGAUAAUAUUUAUAUCUUAUUGAUUUCGAGAUUUUUUUUUUCUUUUGGUACUGUGAAAAGAUGUAAAACAUUCGGGGGUUGAUUAAUCUAUAAUUGUAAAUCAUGAAGGAGCAAACAUCAAGUGGGGUUGGCAAGGGCAAUCAGCUCCUUUGAGCGUUCAGUAUUUACUGCAAUUUGAAGGACCUAAGUGCAAGUAGUGAAUAGAUCAUGGGGCAAGGUAUUGUCAAGAUAUUGGAUGGUCUUGUAGCCAGAAAGUGAACAAUCUACAAGACAUAUUGGAUGGCUCUAAUUUGCAAAAGAGCAUCUAUAGGCUUGGUGAGAAGACUCAGCUUUAAAAUCCAUGGAAAGUAGGAUUAAGGCUUUGAAAUCCAUCGAAAGCACGCAAUNNNNNNNNNNNNNNNNNNNNNNNNNNNNNNNNNNNNNNNNNNNNNNNNNNNNNNNNNNNNNNNNNNNNNNNNNNNNNNNNNNNNNNNNNNNNNNNNNNNNNNNNNNNNNNNNNNNNNNNNNNNNNNNNNNNNNNNNNNNNNNNNNNNNNNNNNNNNNNNNNNNNNNNNNNNNNNNNNNNNNNNNNNNNNNNNNNNNNNNNNNNNNNNNNNNNNNNNNNNNNNNNNNNNNNNNNNNNNNNNNNNNNNNNNNNNNNNNNNNNNNNNNNNNNNNNNNNNNNNNNNNNNNNNNNNNNNNNNNNNNNNNNNNNNNNNNNNNNNNNNNNNNNNNNNNNNNNNNNNNNNNNNNNNNNNNNNNNNNNNNNNNNNNNNNNNNNNNNNNNNNNNNNNNNNNNNNNNNNNNNNNNNNNNNNNNNNNNNNNNNNNNNNNNNNNNNNNNNNNNNNNNNNNNNNNNNNNNNNNNNNNNNNNNNNNNNNNNNNNNNNNNNNNNNNNNNNNNNNNNNNNNNNNNNNNNNNNNNNNNNNNNNNNNNNNNNNNNNNNNNNNNNNNNNNNNNNNNNNNNNNNNNNNNNNNNNNNNNNNNNNNNNNNNNNNNNNNNNNNNNNNNNNNNNNNNNNNNNNNNNNNNNNNNNNNNNNNNNNNNNNNNNNNNNNNNNNNNNNNNNNNNNNNNNNNNNNNNNNNNNNNNNNNNNNNNNNNNNNNNNNNNNNNNNNNNNNNNNNNNNNNNNNNNNNNNNNNNNNNNNNNNNNNNNNNNNNNNNNNNNNNNNNNNNNNNNNNNNNNNNNNNNNNNNNNNNNNNNNNNNNNNNNNNNNNNNNNNNNNNNNNNNNNNNNNNNNNNNNNNNNNNNNNNNNNNNNNNNNNNNNNNNNNNNNNNNNNNNNNNNNNNNNNNNNNNNNNNNNNNNNNNNNNNNNNNNNNNNNNNNNNNNNNNNNNNNNNNNNNNNNNNNNNNNNNNNNNNNNNNNNNNNNNNNNNNNNNNNNNNNNNNNNNNNNNNNNNNNNNNNNNNNNNNNNNNNNNNNNNNNNNNNNNNNNNNNNNNNNNNNNNNNNNNNNNNNNNNNNNNNNNNNNNNNNNNNNNNNNNNNNNNNNNNNNNNNNNNNNNNNNNNNNNNNNNNNNNNNNNNNNNNNNNNNNNNNNNNNNNNNNNNNNNNNNNNNNNNNNNNNNNNNNNNNNNNNNNNNNNNNNNNNNNNNNNNNNNNNNNNNNNNNNNNNNNNNNNNNNNNNNNNNNNNNNNNNNNNNNNNNNNNNNNNNNNNNNNNNNNNNNNNNNNNNNNNNNNNNNNNNNNNNNNNNNNNNNNNNNNNNNNNNNNNNNNNNNNNNNNNNNNNNNNNNNNNNNNNNNNNNNNNNNNNNNNNNNNNNNNNNNNNNNNNNNNNNNNNNNNNNNNNNNNNNNNNNNNNNNNNNNNNNNNNNNNNNNNNNNNNNNNNNNNNGGCAAAAGGAAAAAUUAAAAGUAAAGUCAUUCCAUACAUUUAGGAACAUGUACAGUGAUAAACAACAUCAUACAAACCCUACUAUACAUACAAAACUAAUAUAAUGAGCACGAAGACUUUUGAAAAUCUUAUCCAUAGAAGCCUCCAAAAAGACAAUAUGCCUCGAUCUAGCCCUGAUCAAUCUGAGAAAAAAGAGGUUAAUAAAGGAACAAGCAAUUGCUACCUCAGCAAAUGAACUCUCAAGACUUAGAAUAGGACAUCAAGUGCCUUCUUAAAUGAAACCUUGCGAUUUAACAUAAUAAGCCGUGAACACAAAUAUAAAUGUGACAUGGAAUUGUCUCACUCCAAAUCAAUCACCCAACCGACAUGGAAGCUCAAGCAAUCACAUAUUAUAUCGCGAGACCAAAGUCUGUGAGUGUAUUUCAACUCGAUAACGGAGACAUCCCUGACAACAAGGCACUUCUUUGAGAGAGUUUUUUGUAUUGACUGAAAGUAAAUAUUUCAUUCAUAUCUCAAGAUGAUGUAUGAAAGGUCCAAAACAAAGCAAAUUUCAAAAUUGAAAAGUAGAAUAAUAAAGUAAGCACACUUUCAUCCCACAAGAAUAUAUCUAUCUCAACAUCAAAAUAGAAUGAACGGUGGCAGAUCACCAAUCUCACAUCAUUAUAAGUAAUGAGCACACACCGUAAUCUUAAUUCUCCAAUAGGUGUGGCUUUCCCGAUAGUUGAUACACGCUUAUGUUUAGUGUUCUCAAUGCCAUCACCGUACGGAGACACCAAAAAAAGGUUAAAUAGGCUCCCAAAUCUAGAUCUAGAUUGAGAGAUGUUGAAUGAGCACAGAAACACCUUUAAGUAACUCUCAAAAUAUAAAUAUAGAUUAAAAGAGAAGAGAGCUUUCAAAUCUAGAUCUAAAUCGAGAGAUAAGAACUUCCAAAACUCAAAAAAGUUGUAUAACCGCUUUGAAUGCAGUAUGAACUCAACAUAUUUCUCUUCAAUCCCAUUGUACUUCUUGGUUUGGAGGAUCCAUUUCCUAAUGAUGGAAGCUAAAGAUAUGCCCAGUGAGCAAAGAAGAGUAUCAACAGCCAUCAAGUUAUACGAUGCCCUCUCAGCGAAGAUCAAGUUAGUUUUCUCUCUCGACCCUUCUCAGAUAGUGAAAUUCAUGAUACCUUCUUCUCCCUAGCCCAUGGAAAGGCUCUUGGGCCAGAUGGGUAUGAAGCUGAGUUCUUUAAGAGCAAUUGGGAGCUGGUAGGGCUGUUAGUUAUUGAAGCGGUAAAGGAUUUUUUCAUCACAGGGCGCCUUCUCAAAGAGAUUAAUAACACCAUCCUAGUGUUGAUCCCUAAAGUGCCUAAUGCGACCUCAGUGAAUGAUUACAGACCUAUAGCCUAUUGCAACACAAUUUACAAAUGUAUUACCAAGGUGUUAGCUAAUCGAGUCGUUGCAGUUCGUCAUGAUGCUAUCAAUCCUUCUCAAAAUGCCUUUGUCAAAGGCCGACGAAUAUGGGAUAAUAUACUUCUUGCACAGGAAUUAUUUACGGGUUUUCAUUGUUAGCCGUAUAUCCCUAAAUGUGCGGUGAAAGUGGAUUCUCAAAAAGCUUAUGAUACAGUCGACUAGGAUUUUCUUGAAUUGGUUCUACGUGCAUUUGCAUUUCUGGACCACCUCACUCGGCUCAUUAUGGUGUGUGUGCGCACCCCGAAGUUUUCUAUCUCCCUCAAUGGGGAACUCCAUGGUUUCUUCCCUAGUGGCCGUGGACUUCAUCAGUGCGAUCCCAUGUCUCCUUACCUCUUCACGUUGGUUAUGGAGGUCUUCUCAGGAAUUCUCAGCACUCAUGCGGCACUACUGUGGCAUCCCAAAACUUCAUGACAACCCCUAGAUAUGCUAUGAACCAUGGAUAGGUGAUGGAAGCACCAUCAAAUUAUAUUGUAGCCUUAGACCCAUGAUUUACAAUAGAUUAAGGCUGAGCAUUUUAAUGGAUAAUUAUUUGGUUGGAAAUGUAUUUUAUGUCCAUAAGCGAUUAAGGAUUAUAUUAAAAGGAUAAAUUGAUAGGAAAAUUUUAUUCUUGGCCGUGCACUUUAUAGGUUGGAUUUUAUUGAUUUAUGUUGCAAGUUUUAUGGCCCUAUAAAUUGCAAUUAGGUAUUUAUAUAAGUGGGUAUUUAGGGUGGAUUAUUAAAAGAAGGAGUGGGCCGAAAUUUUUAGGCCAAAAACCAGCCCACAGCCCCACUGUUCGACUGGCCCAAGAAGCCCAAUGGGCUAUCGACCAAAGGAAGAGAGGGACCGGAUGGAGGAGUCGGCCCAAGGGAGGCCUGUCAUCUUGCAUGGCAAAAUUAACAAGUGGCUAAGGGGUUUAACCAAGUGUCAUCUUGCAUGCAAUCUAAUGAUUGCUAAUCAUUGUUGAAGGGAAGAAAAGAGAGGGAGAGGGGGCGGAGUGAGCGAGGAGUACCGGGAGAGCGAGAGAGACGUCGCGCGAGAGAGAGGGAGACCGAGCGAGCGUGUCAGAGAGGAAGGAAAGAAAAAGACCCAUUGCUGCCGUGAGUCCGCCUAGCUGCCGUCGUUGAGCCCGCCUUGCCCCGCCGUUGUGUUUGCUGUGACUUUCUUUGGAUUUGAGGCAAGUAGAGUCCUUUGAUCUACACUUUGCUUGCUGUGAUNNNNNNNNNNNNNNNNNNNNNNNNNNNNNNNNNNNNNNNNNNNNNNNNNNNNNNNNNNNNNNNNNNNNNNNNNNNNNNNNNNNNNNNNNNNNNNNNNNNNACUUCAACUUCUCAAUGAAAGUUGUAGAGGACUUCCUGGAGAGUAACAUAUCAAAAUUUUAGAGGAAAUUAACAAGUAUAGGUCGGGGAAACCAUUUUUCUUUGAAGGAAUUAGAUCUGGAAACAGUUAUGCUGACCUAGUGCGAUUCUGUGAAUUUUUAUAAAAUUAUCCGGUUGAAAUUUGAUCUUGUGUCCUUGAUGAAAUUUGUAUAGGACACUUUAAGGAGUAACAUACUAAAAUUUGAGAAGAAACGGACAUGUGUAGGUCGAUGAAACGAAUUUUUAUCCGAAAUGGUUAGAUCUGGAAAUUGUUGCCGAGGGUUAGGGACGGUUACGGUGAUUAUAGCUUUUAAUAUAUCACGAAUUUGACUUCUAGUUCUUCAUGAAACUUUUAAAUCUAGGUUUUUUCUAUAACAUAUUAAAAUUUCAGAAUAUUCGGAGCUGGUUUAGGGUUUAUACCGAAUUUGUGAAUGAAACUGUGCAAAGGUGAUGUUAUGAAAUUUUAAAGGCCGUGAUGUAUGGACUGUAGCGACUCGUAUGAAGCUCUUUCGACGUGGUUUUCUUCAUGAAAUAUCUUUCUCUGGAUCUUAUUUACAUCAUGUUAAAUUUUCAGAAUUUAUUAAGACCCUUUACUAAUUUUUCCGGAAUUUUAUCUAAAGGAGUCCAUUCUGUUUUAUCCGAAAAUUGCUGUAUUUUAAAAAAUAAAUGAAUUAUUCUAUGAGAUAUAAUGUUUUGAGUGGUUAAUCAUGCUGCAUAUGCGGGGACACUUAGCAUGUCAUGUAACAUCAAAAAGCUGGUUUAGACCUUUGACAUUGUUGCAUCAAAUGCCAUGUUGAAAAUGAGACAUAUAUGUAAAUACAUAUUGUGAUAAUAAUGAUAUCAUCGGAGGUGUGAGCCGACGAUGCCCCGGGAGUGUUGGGAUGCCCAGAGUGUGUGUGCCGGAAGCCCUAGAGAUGUGUGCCGGGGGAUUCCUCGUGAUGCCAGUUGAGGUGCGAGAUGCCAGUUGGUGUGCGAGAUGCUCGAAGGUGUGUGCUGGAGGUUCCUUGCGAUGCCAGGAUUGGGUGCGAGUGAUAUAUAUACGAGGGAUGCAAACACUAGUCCCUGGAAGAAAAAAAAUGAGAUCCUUUGAAAGUUAAAAUGGAAAUUGAAUCAUGCGCAUGUGUGUGUGUGCAUAUGGCAUGAGAUAUAAAUGUCUAUGAAAUUGAGUUGUUAUUAUAUGGCAUUGAUAAUGCAAUCAUGAUGGUAUUGAAUGGAUCUCAUGGGGAUAGAUACAUGAUGGUAUGGAUGAUAUGAAUCAUGCGCAUGCAUGUGUAUAUGACAUGGAACAUGAAUUGCUUGAGUGCAUGAAUCUCAUGGAAAUGCAAGCAUGACUACAUGAAUGAUAUGUGCAUUUCACACGAAAUUGUGGUUGUCUUGCUUGUUGCAUUGUGUAGUUUGAUGGAUCUUUACUGCCGAGUGGUUGUACUCAUCCCUUUUGGGGACUAACAUUUCAGAUUGAGAGAUGCCUCUAACACCUGUCACACGUGGUAUAUUUUAUGGCUUACUGUCUGAUGUUGAGGUCAAGUGCUCGGAGCACCCUGCGUUGGUGUUCAUGGUCUGGUGUUAUCGCGUCCGUGUUUUGGUUAUGUACGAUGUAGGCUACUUGAUGGUCCCAUAGUUCAGGAGUUCCUGUCUGUCCAUGUUCGUCGAGAUGGGAGGAUGAUGGGGAUGCUGCCGCCGCCGCCAACCGAUGCACCGGGCUGGGUGUGAUAGGAGCGUGUGACUGGUGGAGGUUGACACUUUUUGGAUGGCCGACACUGGGAUGAUGGAUUGAUGUAUAUGUCUGAUGUAGAGUCGGGUUCUUUUGGGUUAUAACCGAGCUUAGUUAAAGCUUUGGCCUUUUGUUGUACUGACUCAUGAUGUCCAUUAAAGUAUGUAAAUAAAAGUGGUUCGGCGUUAGCUUAUAUAUAUAUGAAAAGUGUAGUUGGUGUGCAUUGCAUUAUUUUAUUUAGUUUGUGUACGGGUUAGGGAGAUGUCGAGUAUGCUUCCGUUAAUUGAACUGCGCUGGGACCGAUUGAGAUGAUAUGAACCCCUAAGAUUUAUGGACCCACUACAAUUCAAAUGGUAUCGGAGUGACAUGUUAUUAGGACAAGCUAUGGGUAAGUGAGCUGUGGCGACCCUAACAUAUCGGGGGCCGUCGAGGGGUGCCACAGUGGGAUUGGUAUCGGACCAAUGGUUAUAGGUGGAGUGAUAAGGAGCCUCAUUUGGAAAUUGAGGAAUAUGAUGACAAUGCACACCAUAGGAUACUAACUAGGAUAGUUGUCUAGCUUUGAACAACGGGUGAUGGGUAUUCACUCGUAGAUCCUUAGUAGUUUAUUAUGAGUUGCUUUUAGGUGCCAGUAACAUGUUUAUGUUACUUAUAUAUAGUUGUAGUUGCUUUUAAAUAGAGACAUUGAGUCAUAGAUUAUUCUUGAGGCAAAUGCUUGGAAACUGCAGGAAAAUUAUGGUGAGAGCUAGAAGUGCUCAUCCAUCGAGGGCUAAAGCCUCUGCUGCAAGGGCUGAACCCUGAAUGGAAGACAUCCUACAAGCAUUGGCCAAUAUAGGAAAUUUGAUGGAAAGACAAGCGCAGCAACAACUCAGAGUGGAACGCCGCCCUCAAGGACUGGUGAAGCAAUUUUUGAAGCUAAAGCCACCUAAGUUUAGUGGAACAAGAAGUCCUGAGGAGGUAGAACAAUGGAUUGAUGGAAUGGAGCGAAUUUUUCGGUUGUUGGACUACAAUGAUGCUGAGAAAAUAACUUUGGCAGAGUAUCAGCUGGAGGGAAAUGCAAAGUUUUGGUAGAGAGCUUCAAGAUAUACGAUCUUUCCACCAGGUACUGAUAUAAAUUGGGAUGAAUUUAUUAGAGCUUUCAAUAGGAAGCAUUUUUUUGAUUGUGCCAAGGAUAAGAAGAUCACUAAAUUUGUUCAGCUAGAACAAAGGGAGCUGACAGUAGAUCAGUAUGAGGCAAAAUUUUCUAAAUUGUCUAGGUAUGCUCCCAGGCUAAUUGAGGAUCGUGAGGAAAAAGCUAAGAGAUUUCUGAAAUGGUUAAGGAAUGAUAUUAGGAAACAACUAGUGCCUUUGAAUAUAAGAGAUUAUAAUGAGAUUUAUGAAAUGGCACAGUUGGUAGAGCAGGAACUAGUGAGAGAGCGGUCAGAGUCUAAGAGAUAGUUGACCUUUAGUGAUAUUAGACGGGGUAAGAUACCUUAUCCUGGUCAAGGUCAAACCUGGGAUUCUAAGAAAAAGAGUAAUUUUGGAAUUUUUGGAAAAGCUAUGGAUGGCCUGAAUAUAGGGAAAGCACCCUAUCAGCAUGAUGUUUGUCGAAGAUGUGAUGGCAACAUGGCCCAGGACCUUGUAAUGGACAGCUGAAAUGCUAUGGUUGUGGACGAGUAGGUCACCUCAAGAGAGACUGUCCACAAGAGAGGCCGCAACUGAGUGUUGGCUCGGUGCGACAGGUGCAACAAAGUACUGGUGGACCAAAUCUACCAAGGAAUCAAUAGAGGCCACCAGCACAAGGAAUGGUGUAUACGGUCACCCAAGAGGAAGCGGAAGCUUCCAAAAAUGUUAUCUCAUGUACGAUUUUUCAUAAAUGGCAAGAAGGCAUAUGUAUUGUUUGACACGGGUGCUACGCAUUCUUUUAUAUCUGAAAGAUAUAGGCAAUUGAGUAACAUAGAAACUACACCUCUUUGUGUUUCCAUGCCUUUAAAUAAUAUGGUAUUAUCUACAAUGAUAUGUGGAAAAUGUAAGAUAACUAUAGGAGGGCGAGAUAUGGAAAUAGAUCUAGUUGUAAUGGUUAUGUAUGACUUUGAUGUUAUCAUAGGAAUGGACUGGCUCCAUAAGUAUAGGGCUAAGGUGGAUUGCUAUAGGAAAAUGAUCCAAUUCAUGUUACCUGGUCAGUCUAGUUUUAAAUCUUUUGGAGGUCAGACGAACCCUUCUAUAGCCAUUAUCUCAAUGGUAGAAGCUCGUGAACUACUUGACGAAGGAUAUCAAGGAUACCUAGCAGUAGUAAGAGAUCUUACUAAGAAAGAGGCUAAAAUCGAUGAGAUUCGAAUAGUCAGGGAAUUUUAGGAUGUGUUUCCUGAGGAGUUGCCUAGAUUACCACAGGAAUGAGAGAUCGAAUUUGAAAUUGAACUAAUGCUUGGAACAUGACCAAUAUCGAAAGCCUCGUAUAGAAUGGCCCUGGUGGAGCUGAAGGAAUUGAAGGUGCAACUACAAGAGUUGGUUGAUAAGGGAUUUAUUAGGCCAAGUGCUUCACCUUGGAGUGCACCAGUUCUAUUGGAGAAAGAAGGACGGAUCGAUGCAUCUAUGUAUUGACUAUAGACAGCUAAACCAAGUGAUUGUAAAGAAUAAGUAUCCCUUGCCUAGAAUUGAUGAUUUAUUUGACCAGUUGCAAGGAAGUUCAAUCUUUUCUAAAAUUGACUUAAGGUCAGGAUACCAUCAGUUAAAAAUAAAGAAAGAAGACAUUUCUAAGACUGCAUUUAGGACUCGUUAUGGGCAUUAUGAGUUCCUAGUUAUGCCUUUUGGAUUAACGAAUGCACCAGCCACAUUCAUGGAUUUAAUGAAUAGGAUAUUUAAGCCUUAUCUGGAUCUGUUUGUAAUUGUCUUCAUCGAUGAUAUCCUGAUAUAUUCUAAAGGACCUGAAGAGCAUGAAGGACACCUAAGAAUAGCAUUACAAACGCUAAGAGAUUAUAAGUUAUUCGCCAAAUUCAGUAAGUAUGAAUUCUGGCUAGACCAGAUAAUAUUUUUAGGACACGUGGUGUCGGGUAAUGGAAUUGCAGUAGACCCUGCAAAGGUUGAGAUGGUAGUGAAUUGGUCGAGACAGACAACACCAACUGAGAUACGAAGUUUCUUAGGGUUGGCUGGCUAUUAUAAGAGGUUUAUUGAAGGAUUUUCACACUUGGCAGGCCCUCUAACGAAAUUGACCCGAAAGAAUGAGAGAUUUAAAUGGAGUGGAGAAUGUGAAAGAAGUUUUCAAGAACUUAUAAGGAAGUUGACUACAGCCCCAAUUCUAACUAUACCAUUUGGAUCCGAAGGAUUCACAGUGUAUAGUGAUGCAUCUCAUAAAAGAUUGGGAUGUGUUUUGAUGCAGCAUGGCAAGGUCAUAGCCUAUGCAUUGAGGCAAUUGAAACCUCAUGAGUUAAAUUACCCAACCCAUGAUUUAGAAUCGCUUUGAAAAUAUGGAGACACUAUCUGUAUGGAGAGAAGUUUGAAAUCUAUACAGAUAAUAAGAGCUUGAAGUAUUUGUUUUUGCAAAAAGAGUUGAACAUGAGACAGAGAAGGUGGAUGGAAUUAUUAAAAGAUUACGACUGUGAAAUAUGAUACCAUCUAGGAAAGGCAAAUAAGGUGGCAGAUGCCCUUGGUUGAAAGUCGGCUAUGGACAUGGCUAGUCUAAGAAUAAUAGAGUGGAAUCUGUUAAAGUCAAUAGUGGAUUCAGACUUCAAGUUAGAAGUAGACCACCUUACUGGUAUGCUCAAUGCAUUGAAGAUUGAGCCAGAAAUUAUUCAGAAAGUUAAAUUCUACAAAAAUUUGACCCGGAGAUUUUGAAGAUACAAAACGUUGUGUCUUUAGGGAAAAGACUAGAGUUUCAAAUCUCUGAGGAUGGAGUAGUAAGAUGUCAAGGACGACUCUGUGUUCCUGACAGUGAGGAAGUAAGAAGGGAGAUCCUAUCAGAAGCGCAUACGAGUAAUUAUAGUAUUCAUUCGAGGAGUACAAAAAUGUAUAGAAAUUUACGCCAGCAGUUUUGGUGGAAUGGCAUGAAAGAAAGAUAUAGCUAAACAUGUUUCUCAAUGUUUAACAUGAUAGCAAGUGAAGUGGAACACCGCAAACCCGCAGGAUUAUUGAGACCAUUGGACGUGCCAGAAUGGAAAUGGGAGCAUGUGACGAUGGACUUUAUGUAAGGACUGCCAAGGACAUCAAGUGGUCAUGACUCUAUUUGGGUAAUAGUAGAUCGUUUGACUAAGUCUGCUCAUUUCCUAGCGGUCCACGUAGACUACUCGAUGGAUAAACUUGCUGAUAUAUAUGUAAGCCAAAUGAUACGCUUACAUGGUAAUCUUGUAACGAUCACAUCUGAUCGAGACUCUAGGUUUACUUCAAAUUUUUGGCGAAGUCUCCAAAAUGCCUUAGGGACAAAGCUUCAAUUUAGUACUGCUUUUCAUUCUCAAACAGAUGGACAAACUGAAAGAGUGAUCCAAAUUUUGGAAGAUAUGCUGAGAGCUUGUAUUAUUGAUUUUAAGGGAAGUUGGGAUGAAAAAUUGCAUUUGAUAGAGUUCGCCUAUAACAAUAGUUUUCAGAAAAGUAUAGGCAUGGCUCCAUAUGAAGCAUUAUAUGGAAGACGGUGUAGGACUCCUAUUUGUUGGAAUGAAGUAGGUGAAAGGAAAUUGACAGGACCUGAAUUAGUACAAAUUACUACUGAGCCUGUUGAAAUUAUCAGGAAAAGACUUAAAAUAGCCCAGAGUAGGUAGAAAGACUACGCUGAUAAGCGUAGAAGACCUUUAGAAUUUGAUGUGGGAGAUCACGUGUUCCUUAAAGUAUCCCCUAUGAAAGGAAUAUCUCGAUUUGGAAUGAAGAGUAAGUUGAGCCCUAGAUUUGUUGGACCUUUUGAUAUACUUGAAAGAAUAGGAGAUGUAGCUUAUCGUUUAGUGCUGCCUCCUAAAUUGGGAAAUUUGCAUGACGUAUUCCAUGUAUCGAUGUUGAGAAAGUAUCAGCUAGAUCCUGGUCACAUACUCGAUCAUGAAGCCAUCAAAGUGGAUGAGAAAGUGAGGAACAUUGAAGAGUCUGUGCAAGUGCUGGAUCGAAAGGAGAAAAUUCUUAGGACCAAGAAAAUUCCAUUAGCUAAGAUAUUAUGGCAACAUCAUGAUGUGGAGGAAGCCACACGGGAAAAUGAAAAUGAGAUGAGAGAAAGGUACCCUCACUUGUUUAAAGAGACAUAGGAAAUGUCUAAUUUCGAGGACGAAAUUCUCUAAGGAGGGGAGUAUUGUGGCAUCCCAAAACUUCAUGACAACCCCUAGAUAUGCUAUGAAUCAUGGAUAGGUGAUGGAAGCGCCAUCAAAUUAUAUUGUAGCCAUUAGACCCAUGAUUUACAAUAGAUUAAGGCCGAUCAUUUUAAUGGAUAAUUAUUUGGUUGGAAAUGUAUUUUAUGUCCAUAAGUGAUUAAGGAUUAUAUUAAAAGGAUAAAUUGAUAUGAAAAUUUUAUUCUUGACCGUGCACUUUUUAGGUUGGAUUUUAUUGAUUUAUGUUGCAAGUUUUAUGGUCCUAUAAAUUGCAAUUAGGUAUUUAUAUAAGUGGGGAUUUAGGGUGGAUUAUUAAAAGAAGGAGUGGGUCGGGACUCAUCGGUUCCUUCACCCACCCGGAAUCAAUCUAGCUAAACCAACCCCCUCGAGAGGGAGUUAGGCCUAAAACUAGCCCAUAGCCCCACUGUUCGACUGGCCCAAGAAGCCCAAUGGGCUGUUGACCAAAUGAAGAGAGGGACCGGAUGGAGGAGUCGGCCCAAGGGAGGCCCAUCAUCUUGCAUGGCAAAAUUAACAAGUGGCUAAGGGGAUUAACCAAGUGUCAUCUUGCAUGCAAUCUAAUCAUUGCUAAUCAUUGCUGAAGGGAAGAAAAGAGAGGGAGAGGGGGCAGAGUGAGCGAGGAGUAUCGAGAGAGAGAAAGAGACGUCGCGCGAGAGAGGAAGGGAAGAAGAAGACCCGUUGUUGCCGUGAGUCCGCCUAGCUGCCGUCGUCGAGCCCGCCUUGCCCCGCCGUUGUUUUUACUGUGACUUUCUUGGGAUUUGAGGCAAGUAGAGUCCUUUGAUUUACACUUUGCUUAUUGUGAUUGUGUGUGAUGAAUGGUGAGUUUCGGAUGUGGUAGAGGGUGAGAAUUUUCGAAGUUAUAGGAGUUGUGUCUUAGCUUAGUAUCCUGUUUUCUGGAAAAAAAAAAAAAAAACAGUCCGACCUUUGGUAAUUUCGUGAGCUGCAUGCAAUCUUCUAGUUGGAAUCUCACUUCAAAUUCUUGAUGAAAGUUGUAGAGGACUUCUUGGAGAGUAAUAUAUCAAAAUUUGAGAGGAAAUGAACAAGUAUAGGUCGGGGAAACCAUUUUUCUUUGAAGGAAUUAGAUCUGGAAACAGUUAUGCUGACCUAGUGCGAUUCUGUGAAUUUUUAUAAAAUUAUCCGGUUGAAAUUUGAUCUUGUGUCCUUGAUGAAAUUUGUAUAGGACACUUUAAGGAGUAACAUACUAAAAUUUUUUAGAAGAAAUGGACAUGUGUAGGUCAACGAAACGAAUUUUUAUCCGAAAUGGUUAGAUCUGGAAAUUGUUGCCGAGGGUUAGGGACGGUUACGGUGAUUAUAGCUUUUAAUCUAUCACGAAUUUGACUUCUAGUUCUGCAUGAAACUUUUACCUCUAGGUUUUUUCUAUAAUAUAUUAAAAUUUCAGAAUAUUCGGAGCUGAUUUAGGGUUUAUACCGAAUUUGUGAAUGAAACUGUGCAAAGGUGAUGUUAUGAAAUUUUAAAGGCCGUGAUGUAUGGACUGUAGCGACUCGUAUGAAGCUCUUUCGACGUGGUGUUCUUCAUGAAAUAUAUUUCUCUGGAUCUUAUUUACAUCAUGUUAAAUUUUCAGAAUUUAUUAAGAUUGUUUACUAAUUUUUCCGGAAUUUUAUCUAAAGGAGUCCAUUCUGUUUUAUCUGAAAAUUGCUGUAUUUUAAAAAAUAAAUGAAUUGUUCUAUGAGAUAUAAUGUUUUGAGUGGUUAAUCAUGCUGCAUAUGUGGGGACACUUAGCAUGUCAUGUAACAUCAAAAAGCUGGUUUAGACCUUUGAUAUUGUUGCAUCAAAUGCCAUGUUGAAAAUGAGACAUAUAUGUGAAUACAUAUUGUGAUAAUAAUGAUACCAUCGAAGGUGUGAGCCGACGAUGCCCCGGGAGUGUCGGGAUGCCUGGAGUGUGUGUGCCAAAUGUCCUCAAGAGUUUCCAGAUGCCCGGAGGUGUGUGCCGGAAGACCUGGAGGUGUGUGCCGGGGGAUUUCUCGUGAUGCCAGUCGGGGUGCGAGAUGUUCAGAGGUGUGUGUCGGAGGUUCCUCGCAAUGCUAGGAUUGGGUGCGAGUGAUAUAUAUACGAGGGAUGCAAACACUAGUCCUUGGGAGAAAAAAAAAUGAGAUCAUUUGAAAGUUAAAAUGGAAAUUGAAUCAUGCGCAUGUGUAUGUGUGCAUAUGGCAUGGGAUAUAAAUGUCUAUGAAAUUGAGUUGUUAUUAUAUGGCAUUGAGAAUGCAAUCAUGAUGGUAUUGAAUGGAUCUCAUGGGGAUAGAUACAUGAUGGUAUGGAUGAUAUGAAUCAUGCGCAUGUAUGUGUAUAUGGCAUGGAACAUGAAUUGCUUGAGUGCAUGAAUCUCAUGGAAAUGCAAGCAUGACUACAUGAAUGAUAUGUGCAUUUCACACGAAAUUGUGGUUGUCUCGCUUGUUGCAUUGUGUAGUUUGAUGGAUCUUUACUGUUGAGUGGUUGUACUCAUCCCUUUUGGGGACUAAUAUUUCAGAUUGAGAGAUGCCUCUAGCACCUGUCACACGUGGUACAUUUUAUGGCUUACCGUCUGAUGUUGAGGUCGAGUGCUCGGAGCACCCCAGCGUUGGUGUUCAUGGUCUGGUGUUUAUCUGCAUCCGUGUUUUGGUUAUGUACGAUGUGGGCCUACUUGAUGGCCCAUAGUUCAGGAGUUCCUGUCUGUCCAUGUUCGUUGAGAUGAGAGGAUGAUGGGGAUGCUGCCGCCGCCGCCAGCUGAUGCACCGGGCUGGGUGUGAUAGGAGCGUGUGACUGGUGGAGGUUGACACUUUUUGGAUGGCCGACACUGGGAUGAUGGAUUGAUUUAUAUGUCUGAUGUAGAGUCGGGUUCUUUUGGGUUAUAGUCGAGCUUAGUUAAAGCUUUGGCCUUUUGUUGUAUCGACUCGUGAUGUCCAUCAAAGUAUGUAUAUAAAAGUGGUUCGGCGUUAGCUUAUAUACAUAUAUGAAAAGUGUAGUUGGUGUGCAUUGCAUUAUAUUAUUUAGUUUGUGUACGAGUUAGGGAGAUGUCGAGUAUGCUUCCAUUAAUUGAACUGUGCUGGGACCGAUUGAGAUGAUAUGAACCCCCGGGAUUUAUGGACCCACUACAAUUCAAAUGGUAUCAGAGUGACAUGUUAUUAGGAUAAGCUAUGGGUAAGUGAGCUGUGGUGACCCCAACAGAUUGGGGGCCGUCGAGGGGUGCCACAACUACCUAAUUUCAAAUUUUUCUGGAGAUGUAAGGCUACAAGAUUGUCUCAUCUCUUCUUUGUGGAUUAUGUCUUUCUUUUUUUGCCAAGCGGACAUUCCUUCAAUCUCUCUCCUCAAGGAAGGUAUGGAUAUCUUCUCGGCAUGGAGUGGACUGAAGCCAAACAACAACAAAAGUGAAAUAUUUCUUGCUGGAGGAUCAGUGGUGACAAGGAAUGAGAUUCUUCGUAUCUUUCGAUUUGUCGAAGGUAAGCUAUCGGUACGGUACCUAAGGGUUCCUAUCAUAUCAUCGAGGCUUGGCAAAGCAGACUAUGUGUUGCUAGUUGAUUGCAUAACAGCCAGAGUCCAAUCUUUGAAUCAGAGAUUUCUAUCCUUUUCUGGCAGAUUGCAGUUAAUAAGGUUAGUUCUCCAUGCGAUCCAAGCUUAUUGGGCGAGUGUUUUCACCAUUCCUUUUGCAAUGUUGGAUUGUAUUGAGCAGAUCCUCAGACAGUUUCUAUGGAGGGGACCGACACUUGGGAAGGGUGGAGCGAAAGUUUCCUGGGACAACGUAUGCCUCCUAAAAGAGGAAGGGGGUCUUGGAAUUCGUAGGCUGAGAGACUGCAACAAUGCUGUAAUGCUCAAGCAUUUUGGAUUCUAUUCACGGACAAAGAGUCAUUAUGGUGCAGGUGGAUCCACUCAACCUUUCCUGAAAAGGGAAGACUUUUUGGGUGGUUGGGGUGUCGUCCCUUUGUUCUUGGGCUUGGAAGAGAAUCCUAUACCUAAGAACCGAAUUCCGGCUCUCUUUUCGCUAGAAGAUCGGAGAUGGCCAAUCAACUUCCCUUUGGUUUGAUCACUGGCACAUGAGAGGUCCACUUCAUCUUAUUUGCUCGGAUCCGGUGAUGAUGAGUUCAGGUUUAUCUUGACAUGCAAUGGUGGCUGAUCUUUUCUCAUCGGCAGGACAAUCCUUUAGGGUAGUGGUUGAAUCCUAGGAGCGGCUUUCCCUAUCCUCUCCAGGGCACCGGAUCAUUUUACUUGGACUGAUAGCACUUCUGGUCUUUUCUCGAUAGCCUCAGCAUGGCAUACUCUUAGAAGAAGGAAGGAUAAGGUCAGUUGGGCAUCCUUUAUCUGGAACAAGGCUAUCACUCCAAGAUAUCAAUUUAAUCUCAGGCUCAUUAUUAAGAAUCUUCUUCCCACCCAAACCUUGCUUAUGUCGCAUGGCAAAAUUGGGAAUGAGGUUUAUGCUUUUUGCAAGCUAACGUCGGACUCCAUCAACCAUCUCUACUUCGGGUGUUGUAUUACGGCCAGCAUGGCUUUUUUUUUGGGCUGCCAGAUGCAAUCUCCCCUGAUGGAAUAGGACCUGGUCAGAGAACCUUCAAUGGGCUAUGAAGUUUCUCUUUGGUAAAGACUUUUAUCACUCCAUUGCCCGUUUUUCUUUUGGUGCUCUUUGCCACAUUAUCUGGAGAUACAGGAAUGACGUCCUGUUCAUAAACCACUUUGUCGCGGUCGCCACCGUAAAAAAUCAUCUCAUCAAAGUGGUCAAGGAUAAAACUUUAAUGUUCAGAAACGUGGAUGAUAAUCAUAGGAACAGAAGACUCCAAUGUAGUUGGGGGUUAGACCCUUGCAUUUUCUCUCCUUAUUCAACGCAACCUUAGACGUCUGUGGAGUGGUUUGUAGACUGCUUUUGGAAAGAGUCGGGUGCUAAACGGCAACACGUCUGCUAGUCGUCUUCAGCAUUGGACCUGUUUUGUGGUCUUUGUUUCUUCUUUCUUUUCUUCUUUGCCGGUUUGGUUAGUCUAGGAGUUUUUUGGCCCUAUGGGGCUUUCUCCUUUCUCCUCUAUUCCUUUGCCUUAUUUUGGCUAUUCUGUGCUUUGUUCCCCGUUGUUGCAGUGCUUCUCUUGCAUCCAGUUCCCUUUCACUCACGCUGACUUGUUUUCUUGCUAAGUGUAAGUUUUGUGGCGCUGGAUUUUGUAAUUAUUGGUUCAAAGCUCUAUAUAUUAUUAUUUCUUACCAAAAACAAAAAAAAACAAAAAACAAAAAAAUUAUUUGCAAUGGGCUAUUCUAAGGGUGAUAUCAUAUAAAUACAAUCAAGUACGGGUAAUUAGUCAUAUUUCCCAAAAUAAACUUAGUCAUUGAUGGGACUUUAAUCACUACUCAUUUAUAGUCUUAGUAAGAAAGUUUAAUAAAAGUUGGAAAUAACGAGAGAAUUCUUUUUUAUCAGCAAUUAGAGAAAUUGGUAGCUUUUAAUUAUAAAAAAAAUAUGGGUAACUAUUGACAUAAAGUUAGUCGGUAAUACACAGAGAAAGAAGGUUGGUAGGUAAGGCAAAUAAAGAAUGGUAAUUCAAUGGGAAAAAAAUGAAUGCUUUAGCAUGACUAAAACUUUUCCCGUUGCCCUCUGCUUGCGUACGUUAUUCUGUGGCCUACCAAUGAUAAGGGCAUUUCUCUGCAUAGAACAAUUGUCUGCUAUAUAUCUAAGUUACCCGCAUAAAAAGCAUGAUCUACUGUCAGUUGCAGCAUCCGUUAAUAUAGAACAAUCACGUGCUACAUGUACAAUUUUCCUACAUAGAAAGAAUGCGCUCGUACUGACAAGCGAUUUGUUUCCUACAAGUGUUAUAAGAGCCAUUGUUAUUUUGAUUUCUAGACUUUCUUGGCCAAUUAUCGCCUCUUCGUUUAUUACCACUUUGAGUAAGCUUUCUGUUGGCGUGUCAAAGUCGUUUUAUUUACGAAUAAACCUGGUUUAAUCGAAUCUUGCUUAAGGUUUCUACUUGAUUUUGAUAUGCAUUUUUUACUUAAUGAUAGGAUUUGGAGUUUUUCUGCUCAACACAAUUUUCGUCAUUUGGUUUUCCAAUGUUAGAUCUGGCAAGAGGGGCCUCGCCAAUGUUCACCUCACCUAAGUGCGGCCUAUCGAGAUCAACUCUCGCCUGGGAGAGGCCAGCCCUCACCGACCAUGGCCUAAGUCGCCAGCCACUACAAAGAGAAAAGGGAAAGAAAAACAAGAAAAUUAUUAAAAAUUUAAAAAUAGUUAAAAAAUUAUUUAAAAAAAUGUCCAUAACAAUGUCAAUCGUGUCAUGAAAGACGAAUGAUGUCUAUGUUAGUAAUUUUGGACCUAAAUUGAUCAGAUGGACAUGUGAAAAAAUUAAGCAUUAAAUUAGGUUAAUUGAAAAGUUUAGUACUAAAUUGGUGGCAAUGCCAUAGGUCAGGACUUUUUGGCACUAUUUCUUUAAAUAGCAUAUUAUAACACAACAACUAGCAUAACUAUUAAUUGGCUACAUAUCAACAGCCAUGCCCGAUGGUUGGUUAGUCAUAGUCCGUUGUCCUCAAUGAUAUACUCGGUGGAGAUUAAUAAUAUUUUCUCUGUUGAGUUACCAGAAUUUUUCUUUGCCAAAGUUGUCAAAUGUUUCACUUGUUUAAAUGGACAAAUACCAUUAAAGACAACUUUAAAAAAAAAAAAAUUCACCAAUGCCUUUGCCUAGUGAGUGGCUCGCUGGCUCUGGCUUGUCUCUAUUCAUCAGUGGUGUCAUUUACUGUGGUUUUUCCUAUGUUCUUUUGGUCUUUUGGGUUCGGCUUUUUUGAUAGCUAGGAAUUUGAGCGAUUCAGGUUUCUUGACCGGUGAAUCAACUCGACAUCCUUAAAAUGUAUUUGCUGAUUGUCGAUUGUGAUGUGAAUGGGUAUGUUCUGACUUGCUUUGCAUUGAUUCCUGCAUUUUUUUUCUGCCUUGGUCUCUUUUCUUUUUCCUUGCUUUGCAAGUUUUAACCUCUGUUAGUUUCCUAAUAAAGUCCAGUUUCCUACUUGAAUUAUGGGGUUUUACCCCGCUUUUUCUUCAUUCCAAUUCGUGCAGAUUACGUGAUCUGAGUUCCAAUUAUCGUUCAUAUUAUGCCUCAGUCACAUUUUUAAUGUCCUAAGAAUUUGUUCAGAGUGAGGGUUUGAACUUUUAAGAGCUUUGUCUUUACAAUAUCGUGUUGGAUUUUGCUUGGAGGAGUCUACGUCUAUUUAUUCAUGGCUUUGCCUUUCUUAUUGUGGCAAUUUUCUGUUAUGUUUAUGAUUUUAUGAGAUAUUCUCGUAACCAUUCGCUUGCGGGGAAUGAAGAUAAUAUAUAAAUUAGAUUAACAUUUUAAUGGAGUUGCUAAUCUCUUACUAAGAAUUGUUAAUACUUUCUGUCUAGGUGAUUUAUAUCCAUGGGAAACAAAAGAUGCAUGAUCACAUUUGUUGGUUCACGCGCGGUGCAAAUAAGCUGCGAGUUAGAAUAGAAGCUUGAAAGGGUACACAAUGGUGACAAAUUAUGUUCUAAUUCAGAGGCUGAACUGAUCAGCCUCAAGAAGAGAAAUGUGAAUGCAUCAAAUAAGACUUACCCGCAUAGAUAGUGUACAAUUUUUCAUCAUACUAUACUGAAAUGGUCCAAGUAUUGAUUUGGUUUGAUAAUAUUAGAUCCUUCUUUCAAUAUUUACAAUUUCUUGUCUAGUAGAAAAAGAAAGCACAGCUUUAUGUGUCUAUAGGGCGUAUGGAAUCUUUCUCUUGGGAAACGAAUCAUUGUCAAGUUAGGGAAGAAAAUGCAGCCUAUUGGAGGUUUAAUGAGUUUCUCGGAACCAUUGCUAGCGUGUUGGCACCAUUGUUCACAGCUUUGAAGCAAAUUACCAAGGAUAUGAGAACGCCAUGAUUUGGAUCGUAGAGGCAGUUAGCUUGUAUUUGUAUGAAAUUUUAUUCAUGUUGUAAAUAAAUUUAACGUCAUUAUUAAUAUUUCUUUGUUGUAAUCUAAGUUUGAUUAUCUUCGUACCAACCAUGGAAAAUGGAUUCUACAUUCCUUAAUACUGCAAAAGUGAUCUAAAAGCUGUUCAAUAUGAUAGCUUUCGAUUAUUCUCAUAUCAUUUGAAGAAUCUGUUGGAAAGAGUGAGGAGAGAUCAAUGGAAUAAUCUGGUCACUUUUUGGAGUUCAAAGGAUGCGUUGUUUUAAUAUAUGACCUAUCGGCAUUAAAUAGACUUUCGUUACCUGUUAAUGACUAUUUUCUGAUAACCUUGUUUUUUUCUUAAUUGCAGAAGCUGAGUGAAACAAAUAAGGCUAACAGAGCAAAACAAAAAAUAUGACACACCUUAGAAAACAAAAGUUUUGCUAGAAUAAAAACAGAAAACGGUAUUCUCACGUUUCCCCUUAAAUUUUUGUGUUUCCCUAUAAAUGAUAUUUCCACCAUGUGAUCAAUAAUUCCGCUUUAGAAAAGAGUCUGCUGAGGUGAUAUAUCUCUGGACUUAAAGGUAAAAAUGUCCAGAGAUAUUUGCCACUUUUCUGACAAUACGCGUGUUUAGACAGCAAGUUGUCAUAGGAAGAAAACAUAGGAUGUGUUCUAGAAAUGCCUCCUUAAGAUUGUCUACGUUCUUAGCACCUGCAUUGGUAUCUUGUUAUUAUUCCCUUAGCUCUGUGAUUUGGAUUUGCUAGUGAGAGCACAACAAUCCUCAACUUGAUUCAGAUUUAUCUAGAACAAAUAGUCCGCCAUCAUUAACAAAAGAGCUAUGCAGCAGCUAGAGCUGUAAAGUAAAUUAUAAAUGAUGAAACUUGUACAAUUUUCUAUUAAUUUGCUAACGUGACUGCAGUUUGGUUUAAUGAGAGAGAUCUAAAAAUAGAAAAGUAAUGCAGCCUUAGAAUACCCAAUUGCUAGCUGUGCCAUUUCACAUGCAUGCACACAUCCCCACAAUUGUUUGAAAAGCCACUCAAUAUAGUUCAUCCAAUGUCAACAAAUGUUAUUCAGUCUUGGCAAUGACAAUAUUGCUGCUAUAGUGUAUUAGGAAUUUAUGCAUUUAUCUAUGCAUAAGAGAAUGGAUCAAGAAAAGAGAGCAAGCUGGAAUAAAUGGUGUAAAAUUAAAAUCAAAAGUCUCGCUUCUUAGGAUAUGUUUUCAUAUGAUUUUGGUAAAUCACAGGUCAUAACAAUCAGCAAGGAACAACUAUAGAAAGGAAGAGUAUGAUUACUUUUUCAAUUUGAUAUCUCUGGACAUCUUUCCCGGUAUCACAGGAAAGUGUGAAAUAUUGAUUGUCCUCUUGAUAUGGUUCAUUCAGUCAUGCUGACUAACCAAGUUCUAGCACAUGAUAGGAAGCAUAGUUAGGAAUCAAAGGCCAUUGUACAUAUCUAUGAAUUCAGCUUAACAUUGCUUGACAGUAAAUAGUAAAAUCAUUAUUUUAAUAAGUUUUUUAUGUCACUAAACUGCAUGGAAGCAUGAAUGAUCUCAUGGAGGUAUAUUUGGAACUUGGAAAGAGCAAGCCUCCAUUGAAAUACUGUUUUUCUAGGGUUGGGAAAAGGGAAACCUGGAUGCGUCCGAUGCUAGGGCAUAGUCCAUGCCCAAAUGAUUUGGGGCCUCGAAAUCUAGUUUCCUUCCAACUGAGAACUUAAGGUCAAAGAAAGAGAAUGAUGAAGAGAUUCGCAAGUUGAAGAAAUCUAGUUUCCUUCCAUCCGAGAACUCAAGGUUAGAGAAUGAGAAAAAUGAAGAGAUUCACAAGUUGAAGGAAAUACGGAAAGCAACGAAAGAGGAAUUACAAAAGACAAAUGGAGAUGUACAAAAGUUAGAGGCUUAAAAAGAUGUCUACUAUUAAAUAGAAUUGCUAGCAUAAAGCAGCCUUGAAAUGGUCUCCCCAAGAUCUGGAUGAGGUAGCAUGUCACGAGCCUUGAGGUGUGACUAAUUUCAUUCAAUGUUGAAAUAGUGAAAGCUGUUUUAUUUACUAAAUACUAAGUGACUUGGAUAUUGGACACUAAGGUGGUUUUAAAGGGAAUAUUGGGUGCGUUUGGUUCAGCAUUCCCAAUGGGGUUUCAGCCUCCAAAGCCCCUUAAGGAAAUAUUGGACUGUUUGACAACCAUUUUGAAGUAGCUUUCAAGUGAAAGUCAGCAUUGGAAAGGCUGAAACUUAGUUUUUUCUUCCAAAACUAUCUUUGCUAAUUCUUCAAAUUUAUGAUUUUCCCCUCAUUAUUAUUUUUUUAAAUGCCAAAAUAAUGCUAAAAAAUCAUAUAUAUAUAUAUAUAUAUAUAUAUAUAUUAAUGCUAUAUAAAUUAAAUCUACUUUGGUCUUUUUAAAAACAUUAUUUAUAUAUUUGAUUUUUUAGCAUUAUCGUCAAAAUUUAUAUUUAAAAAGUUGCAUACAUUAUUUUUUUCAAUUUUAAACAAAUAAAAAUUAAAAAACUCCAACGAAGGGUUUGGUCUUUUAAAAAAAAUUAUAUGUAUAUGUAUUUGAUUUGUUAGCAUUAUUUUCAAAUUUAUAUUUAAAAAUUCACAUACAUUAUUUUUUUUUCAAAUUUUAAACAAUAAAAAUUAAAAAAUUUCAACGAACUAUUUGGUCUUUUUUAAUAUAUAUAUAUAUAUAUAUAUAUAUAUUAGUAUUAUUGUCAAAUUUUAUAUUUAAAAAGUUUCAUACAUUAAUUUUUUUUCAAUUUUAAACAAUUAAAAAUUUAAAAAUUCUAACGAACUAUUUGGUCUUUUUUUUUUUUAAAUUAUAUAUAUGUAUUUGACUUUUUAGCAUUAUUUUCAAAUUUAUAUUUAAAAAGUUGCAUACAUUAUUUUUUUCAAUUUUAAACAAAUAAAAAAUAAAAAAAUUUCCAGAAAGGACUUGGUCUUUUUAUGAAAAAAUUAUAUAUAUAUAUAUAUAUAUGAUUUUUUUAGCAUUAUUAUGAGAAUUUAUAUUUAAAAAGUUGCAUACAUCAUUUUUUUUCAAUUUUAGGAAAAUAAAAAGUAAAAAAUUCCGAUGAAGGGUUUGGUCUUUUUUUAAAUAAAAUUAUAUAUGUAUUCGAUUUUUUUAGUAUUAUUGUCAAAAUUUAUUUUUAAAAAUUUGCAUAUAUUUUUUUUUUCAAUUUUAAACAAUUAAAAUUUUAAAAAACUAAUAUUAAUCACCCAAAGAGCUAAUUACCUUACACUGCUCUAUUUUUGGCCCUCAAUGCAUUUUUUCUUCUUCUUGCUUUUAAGGUUGGGCUUACAUUUCAUAAUUGAACUUCUCAAGUUUACUACGUUGCAGCAAUGGUUGUGAUUUGUGAACUCCGCCUCUGGGUUUACCGCCAUUCAAUAUUGGUUGUGUUGUUUAUUAGAUGCUUUGGCCACUCAAAACUAUGUGUCUUGUGAUGAAGUGAAUGGAGCUCCUUUGUUCACGUCUUUGCAUUUUUUUCAAGUGAUGGAAAAUGUGGUUGAUCAUGUCUUGCUCGUUCUAUUUUAAGAAGUAAUCUUUUAGUGCAAUCACGCAAUAUCUUGUCUGUGCUUUGAUGUGCUUGCUAGAUUAAUUAUGAGUCCCUCUAUUCAUUAAUUUUAUUAAAUCCUGUGAUCUAAGAGGGCACUAUGAUUCCAUUUCCUACUCUAUUUCACCAGCGAUACAUAUUUCUAAGGCUACAUUUGGUCCUCCAGAUUUCUAAUCAAGAUAUGAAAUCCAAGGAUUUUGCUAUAUCCAAUCCAUCGUUUCGUAAUUAUAGUUAUAAAGUUAGAUAUAUACAUAUCGUAUCAUAUACAUUGUUUGAUAUAAAUGUCAUAUUAGUAUAAAUGAACUAAAAAUUUUACAAAUGGAGAUGGUAAAAAUCUCUUGGAACGCCUUUUGCCUUCUUUAUUUUUAUUUGCUUUUUUAUUUACUUUCCUCUCUUUUUUAAAUUAAUUCCUUUUUAUUUCUUUCUUCCCCCUCUAAUAAAAUUUUAUUAAAUAGUAAACACCACAGAUAUACCUAAAAUAUUAAAAUACCUAAAAUAUAUAUUUAUAUAUUGAAAUUAUAUUAUAAAAUAGAAUUAAAUUUGAAUAUAUAAAUAAAAAUAAGAUUAAUUAAAUUAACUAAAUUGUUAUUUUUUUAUUUUGAAUUUCUUAUACUAUAACUCAAAUAUUAUUUGUAAUGAAGUAUAACUUUAAUUUCGUUAAGUUAAGAAGUUUUUUAUUUAAAAAAAAACUUUCUUUUUAUGGAUAUUAAAAAUCCUAUACACCUUCAUCUAACCUCCCUCAUGGAAUAAUUUUAUCCAAUCCAUAUCUCUUAUAUCUAACUUAAUAUUAUCUUAAGCAGGCAUUAAAUGCAGGAUAUGAUGAAUUCUAUCAUAUCCUAAAUUUUGUCCUGAUUGCAAAAUGCAACCUAAGUGUUAUCUAAUAAAAGAGUUAUAAGAAGAAGCCAUUUAUAAUGCCUCAAGUGUAUUUCAACCCAAUAACCAAGACAUCCCUAACAACGAGACACCACUUUGAAGAGUUAAAUAGGCUAUUUCUAAAGCUUGAAUCAUAUACAUAUGAUCAAGUACAAUUGAGAUGUCAUAUUUCCAAAAUAAACUUAUUCAUCCGAUGAUGUGACUUUAAUCACAAAUUUAUGGUAUUGGUAAGAAAGCUAAAUAAAAGUUGGAAAUAAUGAGAGAAUAUUUUUGGGAAGUUUCCAAAUAAUAACAUGAAAUGCCAUCAAUUUCUCAAAUGAGAGUCAAGGGCCUGAAACGGACCUUGUGUUGAAUAAGGGGCUAAAGUGGCCAUGUCCAUCUUAAAUAAGAGCCUGAAGUAACCAUGGCUAUUUCAAAUAAGGGCCUAAUUUCGUCGAUCAUCAGGAGAUUAUGGGUAUUUUCAUCAAAAUAAAAUUUUAAUUUUAAAUUAUUUUUUCCUUUUUCUCUUUUCUUUUCUUUUUUCUUUCCAAUGAGGGUCACCUUACUGGUGACAGUCAGCCUCACCCAAGGUGAGGCUGUGUCACGCCCUAAUCCUCGGGCACGCACCCAUCCCUCUCCUCGGUCAAUUUAAUAGCGACAUCCCAGAACGCAUCGCCGAUCCUUUUCUUUUUAAUAUACGCAUGCGGAAGCAUAUAAACAAUCAUCAGACAAUAAAACAAUAUGAUAGGAAAGUAGGAUUCCAAAGUUUUACUUUAAAAGCAACCACCCCUAUAUACAUUGCAACUAUAGUGCAAUUAUAUACAAGGUGAAUUGUUAAGUUAGGUUUUAAACCACAAGUUCAUAAAAUAAGGUCUGCAAAAAGGGAAUCGACUCCCAUCAAAAGAGAAUUGCCCUAUGACUAACUAGUCUAAUGGGAUCGUCAAUUCUUCAGGUUUCUCCUUCCACACUUAGGGCCUCUGGUCCUUCACCAAUGCCAACCAAUGACUUGAAAUUUUGUCCCACAACGGGGUGAGACAUUGUCUCAGCAAGUUCAACCCCCUAAACCCUUAUUAGAAAGAAAAUACACCCAAUGGUGGCCUAGCCACACCAUAUAGAGGACUUACCUUGCCUCCGUUCCUUCUUGUAGGUUAGCACAAUUCAAAUCAAUCAAUCACGUUCAUAUCACUCAAGCAUAUAUAGUAAUAGAAUUCAAACAAUUCAAUUACUCGAAUUGACUCAGCGAUCAAUCAUCUCAGUCGAUUACAUGUCACCGAGGUCAUCACACGGUCAUUCUGACUAUUCAUUAUCGACCCUCAAACAUGGCCCUACAGGCGAAUCUAAAUUUAGUGGUAAUCACGGCCUCACUUGGCAAGUUUAGAUUUAGUGGCAUCAUGGCCCCACUCGGCACGACCUUUAAUAGGUGGUAGAUCACAGAUUUAGUGGCAUCACGGCUACACUCGACAACUUUCAAUAUUUAGCGAUUUUACGGUUCCACUCAAACUUUCCAUAUUUAGUGGCUUUACGGUCCCACUUGACCCUUUUAAAAUUUAAUGGCUUUACGGUCCUACUCGAGCCUUUUAAGAUUUAAUGGCUUUACGGUCCCACUUGACCCUUUCAAGAUUUAAUGGCUUUACGGUCCCACUCGACCCUUUCCAUAAAUCUCACCAUUUUCUGUAGCCUACCAAAACAUUUUUGGCAUUGUCAACCGAUGCCUGGUUAUUUUUCGAUUAAUAACCAAAGAUUAUUCAAUUUAGGAUUAAUCCUUAAAUCACUCAUAAAUCAAUUUAGCACAAAAUAAAGCUCAAAUAAACAAACGGACUACACCACGACGAUCAACAUAAAAUUCCAGUCACCGGCCAUCCCUACCUAAUUUUCGGAAAAUAGUUAAUUAAUUAAAUUUAUUUCAAAAAUUAAAUAAAAUAAUAUCCAUAUUUUUCACAAUCCACACUCAAUUUAUAAUAUCCAACCAUCAAUUUCAAAAUAUGAAUACACAGCAGCGAUCAGCACGAAAUUCUAAGAAUAUAGGGUCCCGACACAAUUUUCAGAAUUUAAUAAAUAAUUAAAUUUAUUCCGAAAAUUAAUUAUAUAAUAAUAUUAUAAUAAUUUUCGUAAUAUAAUAUAUUAUUAAAUAAUCCAAUAAUUUCGAAACAUUUAUUUAAAUCAAAAUUAAAUUCCUUUAAGUCACAUCAAGACUUAUAUUAAUAUAAACAUCCACUUAGCCCUAAAUUAAACACACUUUAAGUUAAUCAAACACCUCAGUCUAAUCUACACUUAAAUAAAUUAAACCAACCACCUAAUAACACUUAACAUAAACUAAACCUUCCUAAGCAUAAUUAACCAUGUAAUCAAGAUUUAGUGAGUUAAACUCACCCGAUCAACGAAUCGAUCAAACCAAAACGACGGGGUCGUCAUGAGAAUCGACUUUCCUUAAGGCAGGCCAAACAUUUGGGGUCGGGAAGUCGGCCAAAACGGGCCAAAACUGGGUUGAGAUACCCAAUAAACCAGCUGCGGUUUGGGUCGAGAUGGGGCGGAUCCAGUGGUGGUUCGGGCGGACAAACGGCGGAAGAGAGGAGCGGUAGCUCAGUCGUGGCUCACGGCGGCCAGGCGGGGCCUCCGGCAGCCUUGACCACGACGAACGGCGGCUGGACAAUGGAGGGAUGAUGACUGGAUGGCGGACGAAGCGGAGACGGUGCGACAGUGGAACGUCAAGUGUGCGCGCUAGGCUUCGCGCGCGGACGGGCGGCGAUGGCAAUGGCUCGGUGACGUGCGGCGGCAUUGAAUGGGCGGAGGGGGCGUGCGUGCGGGCUGGGCGAGCUGCUGGUUUCCAUUCAGCCUUCUCUCUCCUCCAACCAAGUUCCAAGACAACCUCCUUGAAUCAAGGAAGAAGAUGAAGUGAAAGCCCACCUUUUCAAGAACCAAUCUCCACCCUCCACUUGUAAAGAUCCUAGCCACACAAGCCUCACCAUGACAUCACUUGAUAAUGUCACACUCCACUAUCUCCAAUCUCCCACAACCUUAUCAUAAUUGGUCCAAUUUCAUUUUCCGCCAUGGCAUGAAAUCUUGAACAAUAAUUUAUUCAAUUCCUUUCAAUUGUCACGCCCCGAUCCUCGGCCGCGCGCACAUCCUUCUACUUGGUUGAUUUUAUAAUGCGAUAUCCCAGAACUAUGUAUCGCCGACCCUUUCUUUUUAUUAAGCACAUGCGGAAGCAGUUAUAAAUCCCCAGACAAUAAAACAAUGGGAUAGGAAAGUAGGCCAUAUUUUUCAUAUUGAAAUUCACAACCACACUUUCAUUAACAGCACAACUCAUAGUAUAUUUACAAUACUAUUCACAACAUACUUGUCUCACACCUAUCUAUACUAAGACAGGGUUUACAAAAAGGAUGGGAUCUCAAUCCACAUCCGGGUCAUAUUUAAGAUCCCUCUUUGGAUCAUCUUCUUCUUCAAAAGUCUUUCUCCUCUUCAGGUUCCUCUUCCUUAGAUUCUUCUCAGGGUCCUGAAAUGGUUAUUUAAUAACCAAUGAGACCACGUCUCAGCGAGUCCUACCCACUAAGACUCGAUUAAUAAACUAAUACGCCAUACGGUUGCCUAAGCACAACACGAGUCAGAGGACUUACCUUGGCCUCAGUUCCAACCUGCAAUUCAAGGUUAAACAUAGAUAUUCAAACAAUUCACGACAUUCGAUCAAGCACUGGUCAAUCGACUAAGUCGAUUACAUGUCAAUUAGACCCUCUCUAGGUCAUUCCCACUCAUACCAUGCUUUCCCAGUGGUGUACUCAUUCACCAAAUCACAUGUGUUUCUCGGGCGUCGUUUUCGCCAAUGACAUACCGAUCACCGACACCGUGCGUUCUUUAAGGCGCCGUUUUCACCAGUGAUAACCUCGAUCACCGAACCACAUGUCCUUUCAAGGGCGCCGUUUUCGCCAAGGUGACAUCGGCUAUAGACAACAUCGUGAGUUCUUUAAGGCGCCGUUUUCACCAGUGAUAUUCCCAUAACCACCGAACCACGUUUGUCUAUAAGUCAUUUACGUGCGUUCUUUAAGGCGCCAUUUUCGCCAGUGAUACUCCCAAUCACCGAACCACGUAUGUCCAAUAAUAUCAUAUCUGAUUAGUCUCAGCCAAUAACAUUCUCAGUUAGCUCUCACCGCUCUCCCUACUAUAUAGCCCAUCGACGUACUGGCGCUAUAUACCCAUGCUUGGCCAUUACCAAUCAAAUAUUCAAUAACAAACAAUUUAGGACAAUUCCUAAAAUUCCACAAUAAAUUCAAUUCCACACAACGUAGAGCUCAAUUAAAUAAACGGACUGCACCACGACAAUCGGCACGAAAUUCCGGUCAUCGGCCAUCCCGGUUGAAUUUCCAGAAAAAUAAUUAAUUAAAUAAAUGAAUUUCGAAAAUAAAUAAAUAAAUAUUAAAAAUCCAAUUUAGGCCCAUAUUGCCUUAUUGGAGCCCGAAACGGGUCGGGAAAAUCCCGAGAUGCAUUCAAUAAAUAACCAAACAUUUCUACUUGCUAAUAGCUAGGUCUAACCACCUAACAUGCAUGACUUAACAUGCAUUAUUAAGUCACUAAAUUAAUUGUUCUAACCUAAUCUAACCACCUAAGUGCAUGUAAUUAAAUCUAACCAACCCUAAGACAUAAUUAGCAAACUAAUAAAGCAUUAGUGAGUAAAACUCACUUGACAAAAGCGGAGACCGAAUCACCGCAACGGCGACGCGACGGCGGCCGAAAUCGGACUUUCGACGACACCGGCAAACUUGGACGGGCCUUGAGCUUGGCCCCACAAAUCUCAACCCAACUGAGAUUUAUUCCUGCUUUUGGGCUAAACCCAAGGUGGGCUGGGCCUGCUGAAUUGCUGGACUGAACUAACUUGGGCUGCAAAUUGAGGGCUGAACUUGGGCCUCAAUUCUAUAGGCUUGAAGACUGAACUUCGUGGGCUGAGCUGGGCUGCUGGAUUGCGAGGGCUUGCUGAAGGAUCGGUGGACUGGGCUUCGCUGGUGUGCGGCUUCAAUUGAUGCUGCGAAGAUCUUGGCUUCUCUGGAUGGCGUGGCUGGAGACGCACGAAGCAGCGAAGACGAAGUUGCUCGCAGACGUUGGGCCAGGUGGCGUCGUGGGCAACCAAGCGUGGAAAUUGCAGUCAACAAUCUGACUAAGAAGUUGCAGCGUUUUGUCGCUACUGGGCAGAACUUCGUGGCCUGCGAGGAAGAAGCGGACGAACCGCUUUGGUCUUCGGAUAAUGAGGCUUCUGUAGUCAACAAGAUGGAAUCUCGGUGGAGUUUGAUUCGUGGUAGAAGAGAGGGUAACAACGGCGGAAUUUCGGUGGGUUUCAACAGCAGAAAAUUUAAAGGAAGGGUUGACCGAAGAAGUGGAAGACGCCUGGCAGCUUGUAGGUGUUGCUGGCUGCUUCUGCUUUCAAUGUUUCUUCGCUGCUGGCUUGUGCGAGGAGACGGAGCGGUGGAGAAUGAAGUUGACUGGAGGAGCAGCUGGCGUGCGCUGGAUCUUCGAGAGACGUCGCUGCAGGGCUUCUUCAACGCUUCAGCAGCUUGGUUUUUGUUCGCGAGCUAGCGUGGCCAAAAGAGGAGCACGAACAAACUGCAGCUCCAGUUUUCUUCAGCUGCUGAUGGAGGUGUCGCCAGAAUUGGGAAUGAUGGAAGGGAAACAUCUCACGGCAGCAAGAUGGAGAGGAUGAGGGAGAGUUGGGCUCCACUUGCUUGGAUAUUUAGCAAAAUAUCUUCCUAAAGCCAUUCUUAGCCAUGCAUUAAUACUUGGCCUUCAAUAGGCCAUCCAAAUGUCCUAUAUAACCUCCCAAGUGGUCCAAUUUUGCUAGGCUAAAGGGGGGUUACGAAAUUGAGAGAGAGAUGGCCUCAAUUGAUUCUAAAUCCCUCUUGAUUUCAUUUCAAUUGAUUCUCAUAAUUUCAAUUGAUCAUUCAUUGAUCGUCUCUGCGUUUUUCCUCAUUCAAGAAUCCACCAAAAAUCCAAAUUGAUACCAAUGUUGCACACCCCCAUCUUAAGAUUCGAUUUUUAACUAAGGCGAACUAAACUUCAAUUCCAAUCUCUCCAAAUUGAGGUCCAAUUUCUCUGAAGGAAAAUCUCGUACAAUCUUCUGCAUUUCCUGGACACUCAUAGGCUCGGCCUGAAAAUCCAAAUUUCCUUUAAUUUGGCCUAUCCAACUUUCUGUUGAUUUUUCGCGGCGUCCGAACCCAUUUUCCGUAAAAUUUCCCGAAUCUCCGAAAAUCUUUUGAGACUGAGUCGAUGCUCUUAAAAUUUAUUGUGACAUGGCCAAAACUUCAAUUUCUGAAAUCGGACUCAAAUUGGUGGUUAAUUUUCAUUCGGCGCGUUUUUAGCGUGACCUAGACCAUCGGGUAGUUUUCAGAACUUUUUAAGGCAAAUGACCCGUGGUCAAUUUUCUUCGAGCCACUAUGAACCCACUCGACUCAAUGGCGACUUUUGAUUGUCGUGAAAAUCUCGAUGAUUCAAUUACGGACACAGGGUACCAAAAUAAUAAGAAAAUUAGUCUAGUGUCGGCCGAUGAGAAUUUUCUAAUUCAGUGGUGUCACCCACGAUUAGUCACAUAUCUCUAUCGAUCCAGUCUAUCUCUGAUUUCAAAUCGAUUUUUAACUGUGCCGUAGUGAUCUCUAAAGAUGGACACGGUCAAGAAGCCGAUUCCUGAUCGAGUUCUCAAGUCUAUUGCCGUAAAAUUCCUUAAUAAUUUCCCCAGAUAGUCUAGUUAUCUCAAGAGUGAUCGGCUCUGAGAAUAACCCUAUAGACGCGUCAAUGAAAUGCCCGAUUUAUUCAGUAGAAGACAGGGUUGAAAAUUUAGGAUGUCACAUCAAUUCUCUUCCAAUUGAGUCCAAUUGAAGUCCAUAAACUAAUCCAAUGUUGCCACACUUUAAUUCACAUAAUUACUUGACCAUAGAACCAACUUGAGUCCCAAAAGCACGACCAAAAGCGGGCUUACUAAUUUCUCGAGCCAAAUUAACCAUACUUUGAUUAAUUUGUUGAAAAACUCUAUUUGUAUGAAAAAUCCUCCGAAGAUGAGUUAUUGUUCCUUAAAUGAUUUGUGACACACCAAGACUUUUAAUUUCUGAAUUCGAUUUUAAUUUCACGGUUAAUUUCACUCUGGCAUGAUACUAGCGCUUCCUGAUCUACCGAGUAACUUUUAGAAAUUUUCGUGCAUUUGACUCGUGGUUGAUCAAUUCAAGCCACAAUGUACAUCUUUGACACAUUGGUGACUCUCGGUUGUCGUGGUAAUCUCAAUGUUUCAAAUAUGGACACAGGGUAUCCAAACGACAAAAAAGCCGAUCUAAUGCCUAUCAACAAGAAUUGUGCAAUCUGGUGGAAUCACCCACACUCGAUCACAUGCCUCUGUCAAGUCGACAUAUCUCCGGUCUCUAAUUGAUUUUUAACUGUGCUGUAAUGAUCCUUGCAGAUUAACUCGAUCAAAAGGUCGUUUCCUAGUCAAAUUAUCGAGUCCGAUGCAUUAAAAUUUCUUAACGGCUUCACCUGAUAGAUUAGUUAUCCCAUGAGUGAUCAAUUCAUGGAAAAGAACUAUAUGCGUGCAAAUGAAAUGCCCAUUUCAAUUUACUGAAAAUAGAAUUGGAAAAUCGGGAUGUCACAACUCUUCCCCUCUUAUAACAAUUUCGUCCUCGAAAUUUAAACCUUUACCGAUUCUUAAACAAAAAGGUGGGAGUACAAUCGUCUCAUCGAAUCUUUUCUUUUCCUAGUUGCUCUUUCUGUACUGCGGUAAUGCCAGAUCACUUCCAAACUUGCAAAAAUUUUGGUUCCCUUUCUUUUAUUUUUAUCUUUCCACUAAACGGCUAACUAUCGUGUCGAGGAUUCAAACUCUUGACUUUGGACCUUUUUCUUCAUUCCCGGGUACCACUCGGCUAAAGGUGCCAAUAGUGUCUCGAAUCGCUUUCUUUGUCCAUUUGAAGUCAAAAGUUUUUUUUUUUUUAACCCAAUUUUCGAAGGAUUCCGAUUUAAGUACCAUUUCAACUUUCCUUUCUUAACAAAGCGCAAUGUCCCUAUCAUAGGCGACAUCCAAGGAAGAAUAUGAUUCCCAACUUGAAACUCCAAAGGUCUUCAACACAAAAUUCGCGAAGCUAAAUUGGCGAUUCUAAGCGGUCUUUACUCUAUCUCUGAUAACUACAACUGAAUCAUUAAUUUCUGAACCAACUUUGAACUUGCGAUUUUCUGAUCUCUAACCUCAACUCAACCAACUGAAGUUUUGUACGCUUUACUCUGCUCUGCUUCAAAAGGAACCAUUUGAAAACUCGGCUGGCAACUGUUGCUGUAAGUGAACUUAACGAGAAGGAGUUGUUCUUUUCCACUUCCUUUGAAAACCAACCCACAUGCUCUCAACCUGUCCUCAAAGGUCUGAAUUGUCCUUUAAGACUAGUCAUCCAUUUGAGGAUGAUAAACAUUACUAUACUGUAACUUCGUUCUCAAAGCACUUUGCAAACUUUCCCAGAAGAUAGCCACAAACCUCGGGUCUCAAUCUAAUGUAAUCAUCAUCGACACUCCAUGCAGAUGAACUCUCUAAUGCACGUACAAUUCUGCGUGCUUGUCCAGAACGGGGUCAUUUCGUACGGCGAUGAAGUGAACCGACUUCAACUAUAUGUUGACCACAAUUUCAAUCAAAAUCAUUACCCUUCUGGUUCCUUGUUAAACCCGUCACCAGAUCUACCGUGACACGAUCCCAUUUUCACAUUAGGGAUUUCGAGAGGUUACAAGAGUCCUCUCUAUUUACAAAGCUAUGUCUUCACUCGCUACUAUGUCACACAUUUGGCGACAUGGUUGGCGAUGUCUGUCUUCAUACUAGACCACCGGUAGUGUUGACACAGAUUCUGAUACAUCUCGGUGGUACCAGGAUGAACGAUGUAACUACUACGAUGAGCUUCUAACAAGAUCUCUUCUCUAAGUGCUACAUCGUCACGUACACAUAAUCAUCCUCGGAACUUUAGUGUUCCGUCAUCAAAAUCUGGAAGUCAAGCUUCUCUCUUUUCUGCAUCUGCUUGCACGAUCUUCUGAAUCUCUGGAUUUGUCGGCUAAAGCAUUCUGAUUUUGACUUGCACUUCUAGCUCAAUUCUGAGGGUGGCCAUAAGAGUCUAAAGGUGGCCAACCUCAAAUUUAAAACCCGAAUCUUGUGCCUUCUCAAUUAAAACCCAUUCCUUAAGUACCAUCUAUGCUAUGAUGACUUCCAACUUAAGGCAUCUGCGACCUUAUUUGCUUUUUUGUUUUUCCUAGGGUAUACCGAAUAUCACAAUCCUAGUCCUUCCAAAGUUCCAACUAGCGACGCUGUCUCAUAUUCAACUCCUUCUGAGAGAGUAAGUACUGGAGAGUUUGCUGGUCAGUGAAGAUUUGGAAUCUUUCUCCACAUAGAUAAUGCCUCCAAAUCUUCAAGGCAAAGAUGAUUGCUGCGAGCUCUAAGUCAUGUGUUGGAUAAUUUAACUCAUGAGGUCUCAACUAACGGGACGCAUAUGCAACGACCCUACCAUGCUGCAUCAAUACACAACCCAGUCCUUUAAACGACGCAUCACUGUAGAUCUCAAAUCCUCCUAGACCCAAUGGAAUAGUAGCACAGGUGCAGUAGUUAGCUUCUACUUAAGCUCUUGGAAACUACUUUCGCACUUAUCUGACCACACAAACUUUUCUUCAUUCUUCAGAAGUCUUGUCAUUGGUGAUGCUAACACUAAAAACCUUUCUACAAACCAUCUGUAAUACCUUGCUAAACCCAAAAAACUUCUGAUCUUUGUCACUGUGGUCGGUCUUGGCCAAUUGAUCAUUGUCUCUAUCUUGGGCUGGAUCCACUAAGAUUCCUUCUCUGGAGAUGACGUGACCUAGGAAAGCCACACGAGUAAGCCAAACUCGCACUUACUGAACUUGGCGUACAGCUUAUGAUCUCUCAAAAUCUGGAGCACUAUCCUUAGGUGCUUUUCAUGAUCUUUAGUACUCCUCAAGUACACUAGGAUGUCGUCAAUGAACACUAUUACGAACUGAUCCAAGUACUCAUUGAACAUACAGUUCAUCAAAUCCAUGAAAGCAGCUAGGGCGUUCGUCAACCCAAAUGGCAUUACAGUAAACUCAUAAUGGUUGUAUCGAGUGCGAAACACUGACCUCAAUAUAACCUCAUUUCUAAUCCCUAGCUGAUGACACCAUGUCCUCAAGUCGAUCUUAGAGAACAUUGACACCCUUGGAAGCUUAUCAAACAAGUCAUCGAUCCUCGGCAAUAGAUACUUGUUCUUGAUCGUCACCUGAUUGAGUUAUUGAUAGUCAAUGCAUAGGCGUAACGAACCCUUUUUUUUUCGCAAACAGAACUGGUGCUCCCUAAGGUGAUACACUAGGGCGUAUAAAUCCCCUUUCCAACAAUUCUUGUAUCUGCACUUUCAAUUUUUUCAACCCUAACAACGCCAUCCAGUAAGGAGUCUUAGAGACUGGCUCUGUUCCGGGUGCUAAUUCAAUCACGAACUCUAUUUCUCUUUCUAACAACAGACCUGGCACUUCUUCAGGAAUUAUCUCAGAAAACUUCGGUACCACGAUUAGGUUCUCCAUACUUUACCAAAAUUCUGUUGUGCUACCCUAAUAAAUUCACCCUAAAACAUUCUUCCUCUGAUCGAUGCAUGGUUCGAUUCAUUUUUUUUUCCUUUCGCCAUCCUAGUGGCGCCCUAACUAUGGUAGCAGUGUUGGUGCUCUCCUGGACCUAUGAGGAUAGUUCCUCACUUGAUGGCUGUGCUAGCCACAUCCAUAGCACGCUCCCGUUAUACCUGGACACUGAAUCAAUCCAUGUUUCCUUCUACAAACUCGGCACCUGUUUGGUGAGUCCUCUACCUCCUGUCGGAUGAUAGCAUGCACCAUUUCUUGCACCAGGGGUUUGUUCCAAGUACCCCACUAAAUGUCCUGAAGCAUAUUUCCUCUGUUUAGUUCUAUUGACGAUGGUGACAGAAAUAGCUGUGGUUCCAUCUAUCUGUAUGGACAACCCUUGAUUUGGCCAUAUUGGUGACACUUGUAACAAGUCUUUUCCUUUUUACAGCACGGGACAGGUCCAUGUCUUUUCUUACAGACACAACACACAUCGAUUGAGUUGGGCAUUGACUUUCCAAUUCUACUCUUUCGUUUGGGUGAAAAGGGGCACCUUUCUUCUGACAUUGGCCUUUCUUCCAAUCGAUUUCCUUCUACACUUAGGGCCUCCGGUCCUUCACCAAUGCUAACCAAUGACCUGAAAUUUUGGCCCACAACGGGGUGAGACAUUGUCUAAGCAAAUUCAACCCCCUAAACCCUUAUUAAAAAGAAAAUACACCCAAGAGUGGCCUAGCCACACCACAUAGACUUACCUCGCCUCCAUUCCUUACUGCAAGUUAGCACAAUUCAAAUCACUCAAUCACGUUCAUAUCACUCAAGCAUAUACGGUAAUAGAAUUCAAACAAUUCAAUUACUCGGAUCGACUCAGCGAUCAAUCGAUUCGGUCGAUUACAUAUGAUCGAGGUCAUCACAUGGUCAUUCUGACUAUUCAUUCUCGACCCUCAAACACGGCCCUAUAGGCAAAUCUAAAUUUAGUGGUAAUCAUAGCCCCACUCAACAAGUUUAGAUUUAGUGGCAUCACGGCCCCACUCGGCACGACCUUUAAUAUGUGGUAGAUCACAAUUUUAGUGGCAUCACGGCUACACUCGGCAACUUUCAAUAUUUAGUGGCUUUACGGUCCCACAAGACAAUUUCCAUAUUUAGUGGCUUUACGGUCCCACUCGACACUUUCCAUAUUUAGUGGCUUUACGGUCCCACUCGACCAUUUCAAAAUUUAAUGGCUUUACGGUGCCACUCGACCCUUUCAAGAUUUAAUGGCUUUACAGUCCCACUCGAUCCUUUCAAGAUUUAAUGGCUUUACGGUCCCACUCGAUCCUUUCAAGAUUUAAUGGCUUUACGGUCCCACUUGACCCUUUCAAGAUUUAAUGGCUUUACGGUCUCACUCGACCCAUUCCAUAAAUCCCAUCAUUUUCUAUAGUCUACCAAAAUAUUUUUGGCAUUGUCAACCGAUGCCCGGUUAUUUUUCAAUUAAUAACCAAAGAUUAUUCAAUUUAGGAAUAAAUCCUAAAAUCACUCAUAAAUCAAUUUAGCACAAAAUAAAGCUCAAAUAAAUAAACGGACUACACCACAACGAUUAGCAUAAAAUUCCGGUCACCGACCAUCCCUACCUAAUUUCCAAAAACUAAUUAAUUAAUUAAAUUUAUUCCAAAAAUUAAAUAAAAUAAUAUCCAUAUUUUUCACAAUCCAUUCUCAAUUUAUAAUAUCCAACCAUCAAUUUCAAAAUCUGAAUACACAGCAGCGAUCAGCGUGAAAUUCUAAGAAUAUAGGGUCCUGACACAAUUUUCGGAAUUUAAUAAAUAAUUAAAUUUAUUCCGAAAAUUAUUUAUAUAAUAAUAUUAUAAUAAUUUUCGUAAUAUAAUCUAUUUUUAAAUAAUCCCAAUAAUUUCUAAACAUUUAUUUAAAUCAAAAUUAAAUUCAUUUAAGUCACAUCAAGGCUUAUAUUAAUAUAAACACCCACUUAGCCCUAAAUUAAACACUUUAAGUUAAUUAAAAACCUUAGUCUAAUCUACACUUAGAUAAAUUAAACUAACCACCUAAUAACACUUAACAUAAACUAAACCUCUCUAAGCAUAAUUAACCCUGUAAUCAAAAUUUAGUGAACUAAACUCACCCGAUUAACGAACCAAUCGAACCAAAAUGACGGGGUCGUCGUGGGAAUCGACUUUCCUCAAGGCGGGCCAAGCAUCCGAGGUCGGGAAGCCAGCCAAAAUGGGCCAAAACCAAAUUGUGAUACCAACUAAAACCAGCUGCGGUUUGGACCAAGACGGGGCGGAUCCGGUGGUGGUUCGGGGGGAGAAAUGGCGGAGGAGAGGAGCGGCAGCUCGGCGGUGGCUCACGACGACCUUGAAAACGACGAACGGUGGCUAGACAAUGGAGGGAUGACGGCUGGAUGGCGAACGAAGCGGAGACGGCGUGAUAGUGGAACGAUGAGCGCGUGGAUAGGCGGCGACACCGACGGCUCCGGUAACAUGCGGUGGCAUCGAGCGGGCAGAGGGGGCGUGCGUGCGAGCUGGGCGAGCUGCCGGUUUCCAUUCAGCCUUCUCUCUCCUCCAACCAAGUUCCAAGACAACCUACUUGAAUCAAGCAAGAAGAUGAAGUGAAAGCCCACCUUUUCAAGAGCCAAUCUCCACCCUCCACUUGUCAAGAUCCUAGCCACACAAGCCCCACCAUGACAUCACUUGAUGAUAUCACACUCCACUAUCUCCAAUCUUCCACAACCUUAUUCGAAUGGGUCCAAUUUCAUUUUCCGCCGUGGCAUGAAAUCUUGUACAAUAAUUUCUUCAAUUCCUUUCAAUUCUUUUUCAAUUGAGUCCAAUUGAAGUCCAUAAAUUAAUCUAAUGUCACCACACUUUAAUUCACAUAAUUACUUGACCAUAUAACCAACUUGAGUCCCAAAAGCACGACCAAAAGCAGGCCUACUAAUUUCUCGAGCCAAAUUAACCAUACUUUGAUUAAUCCUCCGAAGAUGAGUCAUUGUUUCUAAAAUGAUUUGUGACACACUAGGACUUCCAAUUUCUGAAUUUGAUUUUAAUUUCAUGGUUAAUUUCACUCUAGCAUGAUACUAGCGAGUCCAGAUCUAUAGGGUAGCUUUUAGAAAUUUUUGUACAUUUGACCUAUGGUUGAUCAAUUCAAGCCACAAUGUACAUCUUUCACACAUUGGCGACUCUCGGUUGUCAUGGUAAUCUCAAGGUUUCAAAUACUGGCACAGGGUACCCAAACGACAGAAAAGCCGGUCUAGUGUCUAUUGACAAGAAUUGUGCGAUCUUGUGGAAUCAUCCACCCUCGAUCACAUGCCUCUGUCGAGUCAACCUAUCUCCAAUCUUUAAUUGAUUUUUAACUGUGCCGUAAUGACCCUUGCAGAUUAGCUCGGUCGAAAUGUGUGGCAUCCUAAAAUUUCAUAGCUACUCCUAAAUAUACCAUGAACCAUGAAUAGGUGAUGGAAGCGCCAUUGGAUUUUACUAUAGCCAUUAGACCAAUGAAUUACAAUAGAUGAAGGCCAAGCAUUUGAAUGGACAAUGAUUUGGUUGGGAAUAUAUUCUAUGUCCAAGUGUGAUUAAGGAUGGCACUAAAGGAUUAUUUGAUAAGGAAAAGAUGUUCUUGGCCAUGUACUUUAUAAGUUGGAUUUUAUUGAUUUAUAUUACAAAGUUUUAUGGCCAUAUAAAUUAUAACUAUGUAUUUAUAUAUUAUAACUAUGUAUUUAUAUAAGUGGGGAUUAAAUAGGAAAAUUAGAGAAGGAGUGGGCUGAUUUUCUUAAAGCCCAAAACCAGCCCACAAAAACCCCCAUUGUUCGGCCACUAAGGCCUAGCCCAUGAAGCCCAAAGGGGCUGCUGUCGAUCGAAGGAGGGAGAGGCCCGGCCCAUUGAGUCCAUCAUCUUGCAUUAGAAAAGUGACAAGUGGCAAGAGAGAACAACCAAGUGGCAAUUGCAUGCAAUCUAAUGAUUACUAAUCAUUGUUGAAGAGAAGAAAAAGAGAGGGAGAGGGGGCGGAGUGAGCGAGGAGUAUCGAAAGAGAGAGAGAGAGAGAGAGAGAGAGAGAGAUGUCGCGCGAGAGAGAGGAAGACCGAGUGAGCGUGCGAGAGAGGAAGGGAAGAAGAAGACCUGUUGCCGCCGUGCAUGUGCCUAGUUGCCGCCGUCGAGCCGCCUUGCCCUGCCGUUGUGUUGCUGUGAUUUUCUUUGGAUUUGAGGCAAGUAGAGUCCGUUAGCCUACAUUUUUCUUGAUGUGGUUGUGUGUGAAGUGUAAUGGGUGUUGGAAAUGCUUGGGUUGUGAUGUUGAAUGUUAGAAAUUCGAGUGAAUGGUGGUAGUUUUCCAAGCAAGCUGUUGCAUGUAGGAACAGUCCGACUCCUCGUGAUUUCGUGAAUUUUAUGAAAUUAUCCCGUUGAAAUUCGGUUUUGUGUUCUUGAGGAGUAACAUACUAAAAUUUGAGAAGAAACGGACAAGUAUUGGUCGGUGAAAUGAUUUUCCUUUGAAGUGUUAGAUCUGGAAAUCGUUACCGAGGGUUAGGGGGAGUUUUGGUGAAUGUAGCUCAUGAUCUAUAAUGAAUAUGACUUUGAGUUCUUCACAAAAAUUUUACCUUUAGGUCUUGGUUAUGACAUAUCAAAAUUUUAGAAUUUUCUGAGUUGAUUUAGGGUUUAUACCGAAUUUAUGAAUAAAACUGUGCAAGGGUGAUGUUCCGAAACUUUAAGUUGUGAUGCAUGGACUGUAGUGACUCGUACGAAGCUCUUUUGAUAUGGUGUCCUUCAUGAAACAUUUUUCUCUAGAUAUUUUUUAUAAUAUGUUAAAUUUUCAGAAUUUAUUGAGAUCUUUUACUAAUUUUUCCAGAAUUUUUAUUUAAGGAGUGUAUUCUGCUUUGUCCGAAAAUUUGCUCCAUUUUCAAGAACAAAUGAAUUGCUUUAUGAAGUGUGAUAUCUUGGGUGUUAUUUGUAUUGCAUAUAUGGUGACAUUUGGCAUACCACAUGACAUCAAAAAGGCUGGUUUAAACCUCUGACAUUGUUGCAUCAAAUGUUAAAUUGAAAAUGAGAUAUAUAUGUGAAUAUGCAUUGUGAUGAUGAUAGUACCGUCGGAGGUGUGAGCCGACGAUGCCCCACGAGUGUCGAGAUGCCCAGAGUGUGUGUGCCAGAUGUCCUUGGGAGUUUCAAGAUGCCCAGAGUGUGGGUGCCAGAUGCCCGGAGGUGUGUGCCGGAGGUUCCUCGUGAUGUCAAUUGGGGUACGAGAUGCCCGGAGUGUGUGUGCCGGAUGCCCGAAGGUGUGUGCCGGAGGUUCCUCGCGAUGUCAGGUUGGGUGCGAGCGAUAUAUAUAUGGGAUGCAAACAAUGAUCCCUGGAAGAAAAUAAGAUCCUUUUGAGAAUUAAAAUUGGGAAUUGAAUCAUGUGCAUGUGUGUGCAUAUGGCAUGGUGCACGAAUUGUCUAUGAAAUUGAAUUGGUACUAUUUGGCAUUGAGAAUGCGGUCAUGAAGGCAUUGAAUGGAUCUCAUGAGGAUAUGUAUACAUGAUUGUGUGGAUGACAUGAAUCAUGCGUAUGGGUGUGUGCAUAUGGCAUGAGAUAUAAUUGCCCACGAAUCUUGAAUUGGUAUCGUUUGGCAUGGGAAAUGUGAUUAUCAAGAUUAUGAAUGGAUCUCAUUGAGACAUAUGAAUGAUAGCAUGGAUGAUAUGUGCAUUUCACAUGAAAUCGUGGUUGUCUUCCUUGUUGCAUUAUGUAGUUUGAUGGAUCUUUACUGCUGAGUGGUUGUGCUCACCCCUUUUGGGGACUAACAUUUCAGAUUGAGAGAUGCCUCUAUCACCUAUCACGCAUGGUACAUUUUAUAGCCUACCGUCUGAUGUUGAGGUCAUGUGCUCGGAGCACCCCUGCGUUGGUGUUCAUGGUCUGGUGUUUAUCCGCGUCCGUGUUUUGGUUAUGUAUGAUAUAGGCCUACCUGAUGGCCCCGUAGUCCAGGAGUUCCCAUCCGUCCAUGUUCGUCAAGACGGGAGGAUAAUGGGGAUGCUGCCGCCCCCAUCGAUCGAUGCACCGGGCUAGGUGUGAUAGGAGCGUGUGAUUGGUGGAGGUUGACACUUUUUGGAUAGUGGACACUGGGAUGAUGGAUUGAUAUACUUGUCAGAUGUAGAGUCGGGUUCUUUUGGGUUUUAGCCGAGCUUAGUUAAAGCCUUGGCCUUUUGUUGUACCGACUCAUGAUGUCCAUCAAAGUAUGUAAAUAAAAGUGGUUCGGCAUUAGCUUCUAUAUAUAUGAAAAGUGUAGUUGGUGUGCAUUGCAUUGUAUUAUUUAGUUUAAGUACGAGUUAGGGAGAUGUCAAGUGUGCUUCCGUUAUAUGAACUGCGCUGGGACUGAUUAAGAAAAUAUAAACCCCCAGGAUUUAUGGACCCACUAUAAUUAAAUGGUAUCAGAGUGACAUGUUAUUAAGACAAGCGAAAGGCAAGCGAGCUGUGGCGACCCUGGCGGAUCGGGGGCCAUGUCGAGGGGUGCCACAAAAGGUCGUUUCCUAUUCAAAUUCUCGAGUCCGAUGCAUUAGAAUUUCUUAACGGCUUCACUUGAUAGACUAGUUAUCCCAUGAGUGAUCAGUUCAGGGAAAGAACUAUAUGCGUGUAGAUGAAAUGCCCAUUUCAAUUUACUGAAAAUAGAAUUGGAAAAUCAGGAUAUCACAGGAUGUCCCUCGCUUAUGGAUGGUGAGGACGGCCCUCACCAAAUUGGGGGAGGGCGACCCUCACUCGGCCCUUUUCAGGCAUCAUCGAUGGUCGAGUCGGCCAUUGGCGAAGAAGAAAGGGAAAACCAUAAAAAAGAAAGAAGGAAAAGAAUAAAAGGAAAAAAGAAAAAAAGAAUUAAAAAUGAUAACUGACAAAAUUACCUUUUACCAAUUGGAUAGUCAGGCUCUUCUUUGAAAUUAAUAUAGCCACUUCAAGCUUUUAUAUUAAAGAAAAUCCAUUUUACACUCUUAUUUAAGAAAAUGACGGCACUUUGGGUUCUUGGGAUAAGUACACUAAUGGUGCCAUAAGUUGUGUACAGCGCUCACUUUGGUGCCAAAAGUUUCCGUUGGAUCACUUAAGUGCCAAAAAAUUUGAAAAAUGCUCACUUUGGUGCCAACGUCGAUCUAAACUGCCGGAAAUUCGACGUGCCCUUUUUUUAAUUAAUUUCUUAUACUGAUGUGGCUCGCUCGAGAGUCCAGUCAGCAUGUAAACCACCAAACGACGUCGUUUGGCGUCUUAAACCCCAAGUCGAAACCCUAAAUUCCCAAAUCGAGAGAGAGAGAGAGAGAGAGAGAGAGAGAGAGAGACCAUGGCGGCGGCGUUGUCUUCUUCCCUGAAGAACAACACCAGCAGAGAGAGAGAAGCCAUGGCAGCAUCGUCUUCUUCUUCUCUGAAGAACAACACCAUCAGAGAGAGAGAGAGAGAGAGAAGCCAUGGCGAUGUCGUCUUCUUCCCCGAAGAACAACACCAACAAAGAGAGAGAAGCCAUGGCGGCGGCAUCUUCUUCCCCGAAGAACAACACCAGCACCAGCCACUCUUUGAAUAGAGCCCAAUCCACCAUCUCUAUCUGCACCAUCCUUAUUUCCCUCGCACUCCUCGUCUUCUCUCUCUCUCUGCACCUUCAAUCCCCUUUCUUCCUCCACCUUUUCCGCCCUCGCCUCCUAUUUUCCCAUCACUUCUUGGCCGAGCGAUGGUGGCCAAGCACGGUGGCUGAGCGAUGGUGGCCGAGCACAGUGGCUGAGCGACGGUGGCCAAGCGACGGUGGCCUAGCAAGCUAGGUUGGUGAGGAUGAACAACAAAAAAAAAAAAACCCUAAUUUCAAUCACAAAUGAGCUAUACGGUGUCGUUUUUCCUAAGCCAUCCACAUAGGACAGCAAAACGAUGUCGUUUUCUUAAGUAGGACAGAAAACGACGUUGUUUAAAGGGUUUAUUGAUUUUUUUUUAAAUAUAAAGCCACGUAAUUAUUUUGGCCGGAAUUUCUCGCCGGUGGCACCAAAGUGAUUGUUUUUUUUUCUCCGAUUUGGCACUUAAGUGAUCCGGCGGAAACUUUUGGCACCAAAGUGAGCGCCGUACAUAACUUAUGGCACCAUUAGUGUACUUAUCCCUUGGGUUCUUAUUUGAGAUAAUAUCCACUUCAGGUCCUUAUUUGAAAAAAUGAGAGUACUUCAUGUUCUUAUUUAGAAUUUUCCCACUAUUUUCGUAAGCAAUAAGAGAAAUUGGCAAUUAAAAAAAAUAUUUGGUAACUAACUCAAAUAAAGAGUGAGUGACGCAAAGUUAGUUAGUGAAACUGGUUGGUACAUAAGGCAAAUAAAAAGUGAUAAUUCAAUAGAAAACUUCAUGAAUGCGUUAGAUGUUGCCUCAUAAUCAAGCACGACAGAAGCUUUUUCCGUUCCCCUCUACUUUUGUAGGUUUUUCCGUGGCCUACCAACGAUAGGGGUAUUCCUUUGCAUGGAACAAUUGUAUGUUAUAUAUCUAAGUUGCCCGUAUAAAAAGGAUGAUCUACUAUCAUUUGGAGCAUCCUCAAUAUAGAACAAUCUUGUACGACACGUCUCAUUUUCCCACAUAAAAAGUAUGCCCUUAUGUUCCAGUAACACCAACAAGUGUUAUGUUUUCCACAAGUGUUGGCCUUGAUUAUUUUGAUUUCUAGACUUCCUUGGCCUAUUAUUGGGCAAAAGUACAGUUUAAAUGUAAAAAUUUGGUAAGUAGGGACAUUUAAGUAUCAAAAGUUACACAAGGUAUACAUAAGUGCCACUUUUUUUGAAAAAAUGGACAUUUAAGUGCCAAUUCCGAUGAAAGAUGCCAGAAAUCUCAUAUGACAUUUUUUUAAUAAUAUAACUUGCCUACGUGGCUCACUGGAGAGCUAAGUUGGCAAAGUAGAGCCCAAACGAUGUCAUUUUGCCCCUUAUUUGAAUUUUAAUAUGAAUAUUAAUUAAAUUAAAUUUAAAACUAAAUUUAAUAAAUAAAUAUUUUAAAAAAAAAGAUGGGUUUGCAGCUCAGGCCUCACCGCCGCCUUCCCAUCGUUGCUGGGAAGGGCCAGCAAUGGUGGGACAAGCAUUGCUUAGGGUCGCCAGGCCUUGGUUAGGGGAUGCAACCAGUGGCAACCCUAGCCAAUCGGCGUCGAGGGCCUAUAAGCCCUCGCCUAAAUCUGGGGCGAGGGUCCCAACCUUCCCUCAGAUGCAACAAAGGUUGCUAGUCCUCACUCAGUCGAGCCAAGGGCCACUGCUGGUUGGGUCACCUAGCUAAAGCCUAGUGACUCUAAUCGACCCUCCCUCCACCAUUGCUAGCCCUUCUCAGCAACGGUGAGAGGCUAUGCCCUUGCUAUUCUACAAACCCAUCUUCCCUUUUUUUUAUUAAUUAUUUAUAAAAUUUAGUUUUAAAUUUAAUUUAAUAAUAUUUAUAUUAAAAUUCAAAUCCCAAGCAAAACGUCGUUUUUGGCUUUUCUUUCCAUGUCAGAGUGCAAAACGACAUCGCUAUACACUUAUCUCAUCGGAAAAAUGUUAUGUCAAUAUUUUGACUAGAUUUUCUCGUCAUUGGUACUUAGUUGAUCCAUUUUACUACUAUUUUGGCACUUAUGUGUACAUUUCGGCACUCAAAUGUUUCCCCGUGUCAAAUUUUGGCACUCCAAGUGUAUGCGUCCCCUUAUUAUUGGCUCUCUAGUUAUUCCUACUUUGAGUAAACUUCCCAUUGACAUGUUAAAGUAGUUUUAUUUAUGAAUAAACUUGGUUUAAUCGAUCUUGUUUUGGAUAGUUAUCUACUUGCUUUUGAUAUAAAUUUCUUACUCAAUAUAUAAGAUUUUGAGUUUUUCAACUCAAAGUAGUUUUCAUUGUUUGGUUUCCCAAUGUCAAGUGAGUGAUGCUUAUCUCUUCUAAGAUUUGGAAACCCGUGUAUUGAAACAAUUAAAAAGGAAAAGUGGUGUUUCGAGCAUAUUUGUUGCAUAAAGCUAGAUCAACCCGUUUGUUCAUUGGAUAUUGCAUAGUAAACCAUUUCUUAAAAUAGUUUGUGAGUUAAUUAUUUGUUAUAGGGUUUGGGAAAUGCUUUGUAAAAAGUAUUGUGCUUGAUGGAUUAAACUAUAUGAUUUGUGAAUCCAAUUUAUGAAAUGGAUUCAGAAUUGGCUUUAUAGAUGGUUGGAUAAUGAGUUAGUUGUUUAUCAUAAUCACUAUGAUCUAAACCUUUAUGGGGUUGAACAUAUGCAUAUUGUUCUUAAGAAUUGGUUUUGUAGAUGGUUGGAUAAUGAGUUAGUUGUUUAUCAUAAUCACUAUGAUCUAAACCUUUACGGAGUUGAACAUAUGCAUAUUGUUCUUAAGACAUGCCAUUAGGGCCAAGCCACCAGUUGUCAUUGGUGAAGGCAUACGUGACCAAAUAAACAUUGUUAAGCUACAUAAAACAACUAUUUGUGAGAUAAUUGGAGCAAGGUUUGCGAAUCAUACAAAAAAGGAGUGCUGGACACCCUAAGUGCCAAAACUUGGUACGGGUAAAUACUUAAGUACCAAAAUUUCUAAAAGGUACACUUAAGUACCAAAAUCAGAGAAGAAAAGAACAUUUAAGUGCCAACAGUGAGAAUUUCCAACUAAACUAUUGAUGUGGCUCUUUCCGGCAAGAUUUUUUUAUUGAUGUGGCAAUUCUUUAAAAAAAAGACUUAUCCACAUGACGCUAACGUAGCUAGAUAUGCCCAAAAUGAUGUCGUUUUGACUCCAAAUUUGAUUUUUAAAUUAAAAAACUAAAUUACAAAAAAUAAAAAAAUAAAAAAAAAGGAGGCAGCAUUCAGCGAGGGCCUCCCUAGCCCUUGCCAUUGUCGCUGCCACCCCACCAUUGCAGAGAAGGGCCAACGACGGUGGGAUGAGGGUUACCCGAGGUCACCAAACCCCAGCAAGUGGCCAACAACCUUAGUUGACUGCCAGUGAGGACCUGUAGGCCCUCGUCCAAAUCUGGGGCGAGAGGUUGUGGGUGACCCCACCACAACUAACAAUGGCCCUUAGCCCCUUUGGGCAAGGGCCAGUGACCCCAACUGACCUUUGCCCCACCAUUGUCAACCCUUUCCGGCGAUGGUGGGGCAACCAUGGCAAGGGUUAUGGAGGCCCUCGAUGAAUGCUACCUCUCUCCUUUUUUUAAUUUAGUUUUUAAAUUUAAUAUAAUUAAUAAUUAUAUUAAAAAUCAAAUUUAGGGGCAAAAAGAUGUCGUUUUGCACAUUGAUUGCUAAGUAGACAACUCUAGUGAGCCACAUAGACCAUAUUUAUUAUUAAAAUAAUGCCACAUUGGAUUUCUAGCUAUCUUCACUAGAGGAGGCAUCUAAUUGUCCAAUUUUCAAAAAUAGUUGCACUUAAGUGUACAUUUUAGAUAUCUUGGUACUUAAGUGUCCACCUGUGCUAAAUUUUUGCACUCAUAGUGUACUUUUGCCUACAAAAAAGGUUAAAAUUUUCAAAUAAUAGUAGUAAACUCAAGGUGUUGCCAAGAAAGGUAAAUUAAAAUUAGUAGAAGAUAAACAAAGGUUUUUGUCAAAGAUAGAAGAAGAUGGCAAUUUAAAAACAAAAACAAAAUAAAUAUUGGCAAGUAUCUUAAAUAAGAGGUGGUAACUUGAUUGGAAAUAUACUAGUAAUCACUCUAAUGAAGUUGGCAAUUUCAAAAAAAGAGUUGGUAAAUUGAAAAUGUUAGUGAGUGAGGCGAAUAAAAGUGGUAACACAAUAGAAAAGCUAGUCCAUGUAAGUAAAAAUAAUUAACUAUUGAUAAGCAACUCAAACGAGAGUUAGUAACUCAAAACUAGUUGGUAAUUUGACCCCCGUAACUUUGUGAGGUCACGCAAACAAAGAUUGAUAAUUUCAUAUAGUAGUUGGUAAAUUUAAACCUUUAGCAAGAAAGGUAAAUAAAAGAUGGUAAGUAAUUAGAGAAGCUUUUUUUGGUUAAAGAUAAGAGAAGUUGGUAAUUUAAAAGAAAAUCCCAAAUAAACAUUGGUAGCUAACUCAAGUAGGAGUUGGUAUGCAAAAUAAAUUGGAAACUUAAUUAGUUAAAAGUAGGGAAUUGCUAAAAGUUUCUAAAAACAACCGGUAGAUUUAUAAAGUUUGUUAAGAAGGCAAACAAAAGAAGUGACUUAAUAAAAAUUUUAUAAACAAAAAAUAAAUGAACUUUAUAUAAGCAACUCAAAUGAGAGUUGGCAACGCUAGCCACUAGGUUACUUAAUUGGAAUGACAUAUUAGUAACUAAAAAUAUAUGGUAGUUGAUAAAACAUUGGUGGUAAACAGGAGAAGUUUUUUUUUUUUUGGGGUCAAUCACAAGGGAAAAAUUUAAUUGAAAAUAAACAAACAUCAAUAGCUAACUCAACUAAGUAUAUGUACUGCAAAUUUUGUUAAUAACUUGAUUGGAUAAUGUUGAGAAUCACUCCGAUUCCAAUUCCCAUUAGCAAUUUCUAAAAAGGAGUUGGUAGAUUUAACAAGUGGAUAAAGGAGGCAAAUCAAAGUUGGUAACUCAUUGAAAAAGUGGAUAAAAUUUUUAGAAAAAUAAACAUUGGUAGGCAAUUCAAAUGGAACUUAGUAAAUCAAAGCUAUUCAACAAUCUAAUGGGAGAACAACUGUUAACUCACACAAUUAAAGGUUGGUGAAGUCAUAUAAAAGUUGAUAAAUUUAAGUCAUCUAUAAGAGAGACAAAAAAAAAGUUGGUAAUAAUAAGAAAAUUUGAUAAAUUAAAGUAAGAUAAAAUAAAUAUCGAUAAGUAAUUCAAAUGAAAGCUGGAAAACCAAAACUAGUUGGUAAUUUGAUCGGAAAAAAAAAAUUGAUAAGUCACUCAAAUAAAUAUUAAAAGAUUCAUAUAUUUGUUGGUAAAUAUUAACGAUUCAAACAAGAAGUUAGUGUAAACUGUUAAAAGAGUUGGUAAUUUUAUGAAACUCUUGCUAAAUUACCAAUAAGUUACGGAAUAAUAAGGGACCGGUAGCUUAUUUCUACUUGUAUUUUUAUAUUUAUUAACUCUAUCAGAAAUCUACAAGCAAUGAACAAAAAUCAUUUUUUUAGCAAAACAAUAGAAUUGUCCUAUUUACAUUUCAUCAUAAUUAUUUAAAAUAUAUAUAAACAUAACCAAAUCACUUAGUGGCUUGAGAAAUAAGAAAUUAACCCACUAAGCCAUGAGUAUUCUCAUAACUUUUAUUCCUAUUAUACAGAUACCAAUUUAAUUAUAAAUCUUUUAUUUUUGUCAAUUAAGUGAUGAAUCUUGCCAAUAUCGUACUUUCAGUCAAUUUGAAUUAGAAAUUACUGACAUAGACAUUGGUUGUCUUAUGUGACACAAUUGUCGCUGAUGUAGAUAAUUUUUAUAAUUUUCUUAGACUUUUUGAAUUUUUUAUUUUAUNNNNNNNNNNNNNNNNNNNNNNNNNNNNNNNNNNNNNNNNNNNNNNNNNNNNNNNNNNNNNNNNNNNNNNNNNNNNNNNNNNNNNNNNNNNNNNNNNNNNNNNNNNNNNNNNNNNNNNNNNNNNNNNNNNNNNNNNNNNNNNNNNNNNNNNNNNNNNNNNNNNNNNNNNNNNNNNNNNNNNNNNNNNNNNNNNNNNNNNNNNNNNNNNNNNNNNNNNNNNNNNNNNNNNNNNNNNNNNNNNNNNNNNNNNNNNNNNNNNNNNNNNNNNNNNNNNNNNNNNNNNNNNNNNNNNNNNNNNNNNNNNNNNNNNNNNNNNNNNNNNNNNNNNNNNNNNNNNNNNNNNNNNNNNNNNNNNNNNNNNNNNNNNNNNNNNNNNNNNNNNNNNNNNNNNNNNNNNNNNNNNNNNNNNNNNNNNNNNNNNNNNNNNNNNNNNNNNNNNNNNNNNNNNNNNNNNNNNNNNNNNNNNNNNNNNNNNNNNNNNNNNNNNNNNNNNNNNNNNNNNNNNNNNNNNNNNNNNNNNNNNNNNNNNNNNNNNNNNNNNNNNNNNNNNNNNNNNNNNNNNNNNNNNNNNNNNNNNNNNNNNNNNNNNNNNNNNNNNNNNNNNNNNNNNNNNNNNNNNNNNNNNNNNNNNNNNNNNNGAGGGCUACGAAGCCCUCCCCCAGUCAUGGUCAAGGGUCGUCAGCCCUCGCUUGUGGUCGACGAUGGUCAAGUGGCCCUCAUCGAACUUGGUAAAAAAAAAAGGAAAAGAAAUAAAGAAAUAAAUAAUAAUAAAUUAUAAAAAUUGUCCACAUCAUAGUGUCAACAUCAACAAUUUUCAAUUAAAAUUGGCAAAAAUGACUACAUUUAUAAAUCAUCAAAAGUUUUAGGAUUCAACUUACAAAAUUCAAAGGCUUAAAACUAAAUUGACAUCUAUACAAUAGGUUUAUGACUUUUUGGGUAAUUUUACUCAUUUGCUAUUGAUAAUGCUUUGAAAAGUUCAUUUAAUAUCUUAUUAAUCUUUCAAAAUGAGAAGGGGAAAAAAAAAAGAAUCGAUUGGUUUUAUUUUCCUUAAAGACAGUUUUUUUUUUUUUUUUGGUCGAUCAAACAUUAUGUAAAUCAAAUCCUUUUCAUGUAGGCUCCUAGCAAGGUUUAGAUAACCAGGGAUACUGGAGUUGGCAAUUGAUUAUCUAGACUUUGUUGUAAGGCAGCCAGUCCAACAGAGUGCAUUUCACCCUCUCAUUUUCACCCUAGACGUGAAAGGCGAUUAUACCUGCCUCCUACAGUAGCCAGAGUAUUUCCAUCCUAACGUGGUGUCUAUUUUCAUAACUAAAGGGCAUCCUAAUUCCCCUCUCUAUCUUUUUCUUCCCGAAGAGGAGGGAAUAUGGGAGUGACAUUAUAGGGUCUUUCAUCUUAGGGUGAAUCUCUCGCCUAUUUCUUCCCUUUAAGUAUCUUAAGGACGUGCUUAGGUCAAAGUCUACUCUAUUUAGUAUCUCAUCAUAGUUGUUUUCUUUUCAUAAGUUCACGAGAAUAGAAUAUAUAUAUAUAUAUAUAGGUUUUCAUAAGCCUGGAAGAAUUUUAUACCAAACGGUGGUCAUCUUAAUGAACAGGACAAGAAAAACGCUUUAAUGUCAACACAAGAAAGAAAUGAGAAGAAACCCUUUCUUGUGCGAAGGAAAAGAUGAAGAAGAAGAUAAGAAAAAUCAAUCCAUUGCUUUCUAUUUUCCACUUACUUAUCUUAUGUUUAGUGUCCGUUGAAUACAAGCAAGAAGCUUUUAAUAAUUAUUUAUCAUAUAUAACAUAAUUGAAUCGUCAAAACAAUAAUUCGAUUCUUUUUACUAAAUUAAUAUUGAAAAUUUAUAAAACCUAGAAAUCAAUUUCAGACAAUUGAACUUCUCAAGUUGUCUCUUGUUGAGAACAAAAGGUAUUUGUGCCAAAAUAUUAUAUGCUUAAAAAAAAUGCCUAGAACAUGGAAUUGAUCUUAAAGUACUAUUUCUAUAUCAUGGCAGGAGAGAUAAUUAUCAAAUCAAUGCUAAAUUUAUUGUAUAAAUACUAAUUCAAUCCUGAAUUUUUUAAUUUUGCCAAUGUAAUUUUAAACCUUUGUGCAAAAUUUCGAAAAAGUUCUUCCGUCCAACUGCCGCCAAAAACUAUUGAUGUCAUGCCUAGUCAUCUCCGGUCAUCCUACAUAGUAAAUGACAGUGAUGGCUUUGCUCAAAGCAACAUCUUAUGUGCACCACAAUGUUAGCAAUUGGCUAGAAUGACUAUUUUGAAAUUUCGUACAAAGGUUUAUGUUGACACUCGAAUUUUUAUAGACGUUUUAAGUAUUCGCUCAUUUUACAAGAUAUAAAAAAUAAAUGUAAUAAUAAGCAAACAAGAAAAUUAAACAAAAAGUAAUGGUAAUAAAAAAAAUAAAAAAGAGAUAUAAAACGAAGGAGAUAAAAAAAAUGGUAAUAAAAUUCGGAGCCCAUAUUCCUUAGCAAAUUUCGGACCUGACGAGCCCGCGUAACCAGCCCAUUUCUCUUAUUGCGUUUAUGUCUUUCAAACUCACUUUCCUUGGCCCAUUUUCCUUUCUUUGUUCACAUAAGCCCAUCAGAACUAAAAAGAAACAAAAAGCCCAGCCCAGCCCAGCCUUUCCUCUGGCCUUGCUUCGGUAAGGACCAGCGUGCAUGGGGAGAAGAAAAGGAGAAUCGAGACCGCGGCUACACAGCAGAAAGACGGGAGCGUUCGGCCAUUGUUGAGGGAGGGGAGAGCAAGGUUGGCUCUGCAAAAAAGUGACAACCAGAGGGAAGGAGAGAAGGAGGGACAGCCAGGGGAAAGUUCACUAGAGACGUGUGCUCGCUCGAUGGAGGAGAGCUCGCUGGAAGCAGCCAAGGAGAAAGGAGAAAUCUGAGAGAACGAGAGAGUGCAUCCCGUUUAGGAGCGACGGAAAACCGCAUCGCCGGAGCUCGCCGUCGAUUUUCAGAGCUCCGGUCAAAGGCCAAUCCGCGAGUUGUUCUUCACAGUUGCUCUAACCAGACGCUCCUCAUCGUCGUCAAUCGAGACCUCGAUCCGCCAAACAAACCGGGAACAAUCUCGCUUCCAAACGCUCUUCUCUGUCUCUGUUUUGGCCGAGAAAGAAAUGCUCGACUCGAUCGAUUUUCUUGAAAGAAUCUUUGAUAAAACGAAUUUUUGUAUUGUUGCUAAAAAUGGUGUUUUAAAGUCUGUACGUAACGUGUGAAGCUGAGGAUCUCGUUAAAAUCAAAAUCAGAGAACUAUUGAAAGAUCUGCAUAUUGCAUGUUUGAUCAAAAUGCCUAACAGAGGGCCGAAAGUUCAAUCACGUUUAAACUCAUGAUCGAUUCGCACUUGCUGGGUUAUUUGUUGAAUCAUGUCUAAUACUAGCAUUUUCUCUGUGUUUCUAUGCGAUUUGAUGAAAAAUCUUUGCCCGAGUCCAACGUGCAUGCAUAUAUCUCCAAUGCUGGAAAGCUUUCCGUCGGAGAAUUCCAUCGCACCCAGCGAAGUCAGCGUUUCAAGGGCAUAUUAGUUAGCCCAUCUCGCUUCAUUAUAAUGUAAGUUUUCUUGUUAACUUGCUGGGGUUGCUGCUGUUAAAAAUGUGGAUUCGGUAGGAUGGUUUUUGUUAAGUUUUCGGAUAGAUGGAGUGGGCAGCCGGAGGUGGUCAAAGUGGGUCGGAAUAGGCGAUCGGCGGUCGGAGAUAGGUCGGCGGUGAUCUAAGCUAUCGUCGGUGAUGGUAGUUUUUUCGUUAAAAAGGAAUAAAUAAAUAAAAAAUGGCCGCGAAAGAUGGAGUUGCAGGUUGAAGAUGGUGUUUGGGUAGAGGAUGUCGAGAGGAGAAGGGAGAAGUGCAGGCAGCACAAGACAAAAACAGGAAAACACAAAAAAAGAAGAAUUCAAAAUAUUUAAAAGAAUAUUAAAAAUCGGUUUUUAAUCCGACGCAGGUCGGAUCCGGGUAUACGGCUCGGGUCAGAGAGUCGGUCGGAUAAACGGUCCGAACCUGUUCACUGAAUAAAAUAAAAUAAAUGAACUCAUUAAAAAUUCUAAAAAAUUCAUAAAAGAUAUAAAAAUCGUACAAAUCAAUAAAAAAUUAGGAAAUUCGAAGAUAUAAAAAAAAUUCCGAAAAUUUAUAAAAAUUAUUGUUAUAAAAAAUCGAAAAAUCAGAAUAUUCGUAAAUAACAAUAAAAAUAAAAAAUUCAGAAAAAUUCCAAAAAAUGAAAAUAUUUAAAUAUAUAUAAAUUUUUAAUCUCGAAGAUAAAUAAAAAUAAAAAGUAUUUAAAAAUAUGAAAAAUUCAGAAAAAUCAUUAAAAAUUCAGAAAAUUCUAGAAAAUCAGAAAAAAAAAUUCAGAAAAUUGGAAAAUUCUUAAAAAUUUUAAAAUCUAAAAUUGGAGAAAGUUUUACAAUAGGGUUCUUUAUUUUAAAUUUCCCAACAAAUUGAGGAUUUUUAAUGUGUUUAUCUCUUGAAUAUUCUAUUUUCACUAUAAAUAUCGCAAAUCAUAAAAUUCUAAUGAUUGGUAUGAUAGAGAUAUUUAAUUUUUUUCUGAUUCUCUAUAUUUAUUUUGGUUAUGUAUACCUAAUUAGAUUUCUUUUAUCUCAAUUAUUCAACUACUCUUUUCUAGAACAUCGAAAUUUACAUAAAUUUCAUAUUAAUCUCUUCCGCAUCAUUAUUCUUAACUUAAAAAAACAAAACAAAACUCUAAAUUUUUUCACCACAAAUCAUUCAGCUUCUCUGUGGCUUUUUCUCUCUUCAUCAGUCACAUCAUUCACUGUAAGCUCAAGCUCAAGCGGUCUCUCUCCGUUCGUCUUUGCUUUCGCCAAUGUUUGUGCCUAGUGAGUGACGCUAACUCUGGUUCGUCUCUGUUCAUCAAUGGUGUCAUUUGCUGUGGUUUUUUCUAUGUUCUUUUCUUCUUUUCGGUUUGGCUUUUUUGAUAACUUGGAAUUGGAGUUAUGCGGGUUCAUGACUUGUGAAUCAACUCGAUAUCUGUAAAAUGUAUUUGCUAAUUGUCGAUUGUGAUGUGAACCCAUUUGUUCUGAUUUCCUUUCCAUUGAUUCUUACAUAUAUAUAUAUAUAUAUAUAUAUAUAUAUAUAUAUAUAUAUAUAUUCUGCUUUGGUUUCUUUUCUUUUUCUUGGUUUGCAAGUUUUAACCUCUGUUAUUUUACUGAUAGAUUCCAACUUCCUACUUGAAUUAUGGGGUUUUACCCUACUUUGUCUUCCUUCCAAUUCGUGCAGUUUACGUGAUUUGAGUUCCAAUUGCCGUUCAUACUAUGCCUCAGUCACAUUGUUCAAUGUCCUAAAGAUUCAUUCCAAGUGAGGUUUUGAACUUUUAAAAGCUCUUUCCUUAGGAUUCCAUGUUGGGUUUCGCUUGCAGGGGUUUACGUCUAUUUAUUCAUGGCUUUGCCUCUCUUAUUGUGGCCAUUUUCUGUUACAUUUACGAUCUUAUCGGAUAUUCUUGUGACCAUUCGCCUGCAGCAAAUGAAGAUAAUGGAUGGGCAUUUUAAUCAAGUUUCGAUCUCUUACUAAGAAUUGUUAAUAUUUCUUGUCUUGGUGAUUUUUAUCCAUGGGAAACACAAGCCGCAUGGUCAUACAUGUGGGUUUAUGCGCAGUGCAGAUUGUUGUGCGGAAGAACACCCUAACUAGAUGAGAAAGAAAACAAGAAUAAUUAAGAACACGGAGAUUUACGUGGUUCGGCGAAAGAUCCGCCUACAUCCAUGGGAGAGAGAGAGAGACGAUUUUUUAUUUGAGCGUAUGUCAAGAGUACAAGGUACAAUGCUGAAAUAAAUAGAUCUUUAGAUCCCCACUUUCCUAAACCUAGUAGGAAAUGAAUUCCACCAUAAAGAUAUUAUCAAAUUUGAAACCAAAAUCUAGGAAAUAUAUUAGGAAACAAAUAGUUCAAAAUCUUCAAGCCUUCCUAGAUUUCUGAUUGAAUUUUGUGAAAUUCAAGACAACAUCAGCAAAUCUCCACCUUUGGCUUGAAUAAACCACAAAGCCUCCACUUGAACCAAGAAAACGAAUAUAUCUCUCCCUCCACCGUACCUUUGCAAAGGUACGCCUGCACCUGGAUCGGUGCGGCCUCCAUAAACUUCAAUGAUGAGUGCGAGAUAUCAAGUCCCUGCAGGACUUGAACUUCUCUGUAGUAACCAUCUUCGUGAGCAUAUCUGCAAGAUUAUCUCUAGUAUGGAUUUUCUUAAAAGCAAUGCUACCAUUCUCCACAAAUUCUCAAAUUUUGUGGUACCAAACUUCAAUGUGUUUCAUUCUAGAAUGGAACACUUGAUUAUUUGCGAGACAUAUUGUGCUCUGGCUAUCGCAAUAUAAUGUAGCACUUUCUUGCUUUAUACCCAACUCUGUGAUCAAACCGGUCAACCAUAUUCCCUCCUUUGCAGCCUCAGUUAUUGCCAUAUACUCAGCUUCGGUUGUAAACAAUGCUACAGUAGGUUGAAGCAUUACCUUCCACGAAACAGCUCCACCGCCAAGAGUAAAGACAUAUCCUGUGAUGGACCUUCUCUUGUCCAAAUCACCAACGAAGUCUGAAUCAACAUAACCUGCUAAAUCGAUCGAUCAUCCCUUGGAACUGAACAUUAAACCCAUUCUAGCAGUUCUAGCCAAAUAACGAAAGAUCCACUUAACAGCUUCCCAAUGCUCCUUACCCGGAUUGCUCGUGUAUCAGCUAACGAGACUCACUGCAUGAGCCAAAUCCGAUCUGCUACAAACCAUAGCAUACAUGAGGCUCCCUACUACACUGGCAUAGGGUACUUGAGACAUCUUUACAACUUCCUCAUGUGAAACAGGGCAUUGUUUCUCAGAUAAUUUGAAGUGAUUUGCUAAGGGUGUACUAACUAGUUUAGCUUUACCCAUGUUGAACCGCUCCAAGACCUUCUCAACAUACUUCUUUUGAUUCACCCAAAGCUUACUUGCAUGUCUAUCUCGAAAGAUUUCCAUGCCAAGGAUCCUCUUUGUAGCACCAAGAUCCUUCAUAUCAAACUCACUACUUAACUGAGACUUUAGGGAAUUAAUGUCUCUCAUUUUUCUUGCAGCAAUUAACAUGUCAUCAACAUAGAGCAUCAACAGAAUAAGCGACUUAUCAUCCAAAACUUUGUAGGAGACACAAGAAUCAUGCACACUCCUCAUGUAGCCAAUAAGAAGCAUAAAAGAAUCAAACAUUUUAUUCCAUUGCCUCGGGGAUUGCUUCAAACCAUAAAGUGAUCUCUUGAGCAAAUAAACAUGAUCCUCUUUCCCUUCCACCUUGAAGCCUUCGAGCUGCUCCAUAUAAAUUUUCUCCUCCAAGUCACUAUGAAGGAAUGCCGUCUUCACAUCUAGUUGCUCAAGCUCCAAGUCAUACAUGGCUACCAUAGCUAGUAAUACAUGAAUUGAUGUGUGUUUUACAACCGGGGAAAAUAUCUCGUUGUAAUCAAUCCCCUCCUUCUGUGCAUAGCCCUUAGCAACAAGUCAGGCCUUGUAUCUCUCUUGCUCUUUCUCCGUUGCUGCUUCCUUUCUUCAAAGAACCCAUUUGCAACCAAUGACAUUCCGAUCAUUGGGCUGCUUCACAAGUUUCCAUGUCUCAUUCUUUUGUAACGACUCCAUCUCCUCCAUCAUUGCAGUCAUCCACUUUUCUUUGUGAUCACUUUUCAAAGCUUCAUGGUAGGAGCCUAGAUCGCCAGAGCCUACGGUAAGAGCAUAAACAACCAUAUCCUCAAAACCUUACCUCUCCGGUGCUUUGGGAGUGCGCCUUCCUCUACCCGUCGCAAUGGUACGAGGAACUUCUACCGUUUCUUUGACUUCCGGAGCUUCAUCGGAUAACUCGCCAUUCUCUGCAUAUUCUCUUGUUUCAAGCUCCACCUUAACGAUAGAUUUAUCACUCUCCUCUUCAGCAUUCGCGCGUGGCACACAGCUUGACUUCAUCAUUGCAGAUUCAUCAAAUAUAACAUCCCUGCUCGUCAGAACUUUCUUCUCACUUGGAUCCCAUAAUUUGUAGCCUUUCACUCCUUUCUCGUAACCGAGAAAUAUGCAUUGUUUUGAUUUUGGAUCCAACUUCGAUUGUUUCGAGCUCUGCACAUGUACAAAAGUAGGACAACCAAAUAUUCUUAAAUUAGAAUAAUCGACAAUUUUACCAGUCCAUACCUCUUCAGGAAUAUUGCAUUUAAUUGCAGUUGAUGGAGACCAAUUCACAAGAUAACAUGCCAUGCAGACAGCCUCUGCCCAAAACUCCUUGCUUAGUCUCGCAUGUAGCCUCAUGCUUCGAGCUCUCUCUAAUAAGGUCUGGUUCAUCCUUUCCGCUACGCCAUUCUGUUGGGCGUAUCCGGAACUGUGAAGUGACGUUCAAUCCCUUCAUUCUUGCAAAGCUCCAUGAAUGGUAUUGAUUUGUACUCUCCUCCAUUGUCCGAUCUCAAGCACUUAACCUUCUUCCCCGUUGAAGUCUCAACUUUAGCUUUCCAUUCUUUGAACUUUUCAAAGACUUCACUUUUGUGUCGCAUGAAGUAGACCCAAAUUUUGCGAGAGAAAUUGUCAAUGAAUGUCACAAAGUAUUCCUUCCCUCCUUUUGACUUUUCCAGGGAAGGACCCCAUACAUCCGUGUGUACAUACUCGAGCACGCCCUUGCUUGUAUGAGUUGCAGCAUUGAAUUGUACUCUGCAUUGUUUUCCAAACACACAAAAUUUGCAAAAAUCUAAUUUGCAUGUUUUUAUACCUUUGAGUGCAUUCCUCUUGUGAAGCUCCAUCAACCCUCUUUCUCCCAUAUGCCUGAGAUGCAUAUGCCAUAGAUAGGUGUUAUCUAUCUCUGUGCUCGCAUUCGUGGACAUAGAUGCUCCACCUUGCACUGUGGUUCCUAUAAGUCGAUAUAGGUUCACGUGCCUCUGUCCCUUAAGAACAACCAGAGCUCCCUUAAUCACCUUCAAGACUCCACCUUGAGCCGUGUACUUGCAUCCAUUGGAUUCAAGUGCUCCUAAUGAGAUAAAAUUCUUCCUUAGACCCGGAACAUGACGUACGUCUGCCAAGGUUCUAAUCAUGCCAUCAAACAUCUUGAUUUUCAUGGUUCCAACAUCCACAGUCUUGCACGAAGUAUCAUUCCCCAUGAGAACUGAACCACCAUCAUAUGCCUUGUACUCAUCGAAGGCUUCUCGAUGAGGAAACAUGUGAAAAGUGCAUCUGGAGUCCAUGAUCCACGAAUCUUCAAAGGUGUCCUUCCCCGACGAUAUGGACAAGACGUCCCCAUCAUUGGUCUCAAUGCUGUCAGCUAUACUUGCCUCAUCCGAGCUCUUCUUCUUUUUCUCGUUCUUAUUUGGACAGAAUCUCUUGGUAUGCCCUUCCUGAUUACACCUGUAGCAUCUUCCUUUGAACCUUCCCUUGGAUUUUGAUCAACCCCUACUACUUGAUCGUCGAUCCGUUGAUCUUCCUCUUCUUUGAUUGCUUUUCUCCUUUGCAAAGAGUCCCUCUCUUGAAGAUUUUGAACUACUUGCCCUUUUCCGGGUGUCUUUUGAAAUUAGGGUAGCAGUCUCCUCUCUGAUCUCCGGGGUUUCUUUGCCAUAAAGGAGUGUAGUCACCAAGUGGUUAAACGAAUCCAACAACGAUGCCAAUAGUAGAAGCGCUAUGUCUUCUUCCUCAAACUUUACCUCCAAGCUUGUAAGUUCACUAAUCAUCUUAUUGAACACAUUGAGGUGUUCCAACAGAUAUCCUCCUUCACUCAUCUGAAGUGAAUACAAUCUCUUCUUCAAGAACAACUUGUUCGUAAGAGAUUUUGUUAUGUAAAUGCUUUCGAGUUUAAGCCAUACCUCCGGAGCAAAUUCAAUUUCCGCUACAUAUUGAAGGGCCUCAUCCGAUAAGUUCAAUCGGAUUGCGUUGCAAGCCCUCUCCUCCAUGUCAACCCAAUCAUUAUCAGUGAUGGUGUUUGGCUUGUUUAAUCUUCCUAGAAGAACCUUUGAUAAACCUUGUUGAAUCAACAGAUCCUUCAUCCUUCUCCGCCAUAGUGUAAAACUAUUCUUCCCAGUAAAUCGUUCAAUAUCAAAUCGAACAGUUGAACCUUUUCCAGUCAUCUAGUUAGAAGUCGCAAUACAGGAACAAAGAACCUGGAUUGCUUUGAUACCAAUUGUUGUGCAGAAGAACACCCUAACUAGAUGAGAAAGAAAACAAGAAUAAUUAAGAACACGGAGAUUUACGUGGUUCGGCGAAAGAUCUGACUACAUCCACGGGAGAGAGAGAGAGAGACGAUUUCUUAUUUGAGCGUAUGUCAAGAGUACAAGGUACAAUGCUGAAAUAAAUAGAUCUUUAGAUCCCCACUUUCCUAAACCUAGUAGGAAAGGAAUUCCACCAUAAAGAUAUUAUCAAAUUUGAAACCAAAAUCUAGGAAAUAUAUUAGGAAAAAAAUAGUUCAAAAUUUUCAAGCCUUCCUAGAUUUCCCGAUUGAAUUUUAUGGAAUUCAAGACAACAUCAGCAAAAGAUAAGCUGUGAAUUAGAAGAGAAGGUUGAAAAAUUACACAAUCGCAAUGAGCUAAAUUCGAAUUCAGAGACCGAAACUGAGUAGCCUCAAGAAGAGACUACAAAUAUGAAUGCAUUAGGUAAGACCUACCUACAUAUAUAGCGUGUAUUUUUCGUCAUACUAUACUAAAAUGGUCCGAGUAUUGAUCUGGUUUGAUAAUAUUAGAUCCAUCUUUCAAUAUUUAGAAUUUCUUGUCUAGUAGCUGCCACUAGAAAAAGGAAGCGUAGCUUUACAUGUCUAUUGAGUGUAUACAGUCUCUCUCCUGGGAAAUACAUCAUUGUCAAGUUAGGGAACAAAAUGCAACCUAUUGGAGGUUUGGGAAGUUUCUUGGAACCAUUGCUUGCGAUUUAACACCAUUGUUUACAACUUGAAAGCAAAUUACCAAGGAUAUGAGAAACACUAUGAUUAGGAUUGUAGAGGUAGUUAGCUUGUUCUGGCAUGAAAUUCCAUUUUAACAUCAUUAUUGGUUGUGGUGUUUAUAAGAUGCUUUGGCCACUCACAACUAUGUUUUUUGCAAUGAAGUGAAUGGAGCUCUUCUGUUCAUGUCUGCAUUUUUUUUCAAGUGACGGGAAAUGUGGCUGAUUAGUUCUUGUUCAUUCUGUUUUAACAAAUAAGCUUCUCUACGUUUUGAUAUGCUUUACAGAUUAGUUAUGAGCUCCUCUGUUCAUUUAUUUUAUUACUUUAUGUGAUCUAAGCUUCCUCUAAAUCCUUCUCCAAUCCAAAUUAUUGAAGGUUAAUUGUGCAAUGUUCAAGUAGUGACCACUAACAUGAUUUCUUGUGCUGGUUUUGCACCCAUUAUGCUUGAUCCUCUUUCCUGCACUUAUUUGCUUUGUAGGAUGGUGACGAUCAUAACACACAAUAGAGAUCUCCAAACAUCAGUUUACGCUCUCCAUCAUUGAGUCAUGAGCCACACUCCAAGGGAUGAGGUUAAAUUUUAUCUCCAAAGGUACAGUGGUCAUUGUAGAGCCCGCAUUCGAAUUAUUUGUUUUUGUUAUAAAUGUCUUAGGUCCAGCAAGAAAAGAAUAAAACAGCUUCUUGUGCCCGUUGUUGGAGAAAGUUCAUUAAUGAACUAGUAUAGUUCCCUCAUCUUCAAGAUAUGACGAGGCUAGAAAAGAUUUUAUAGCGAUGACCGGACCUCUUUCAUGUGCAGUUGAACCUUAUGUCCGAGCUACAGCUAAAAUUGCUUUAGAAUGCGAAAAAGGAAAACACAUCAACAUACCAUUUUUGUUGCAGUCAUUCUCUCUCGGACAUAGGGUGUCUCUCUCUCCCUCUCUGAACCUCCCUUGUUUAAUUAUUCCUUUCUUGCAUUGGAAGUGUACAAAGAACAAUCUAGAGAGUCUAAUAACUAAUGGAUGUUGGUGAAAAAUUGACCAUCGUCCUUCAGUACGUCUAGACAAUUUUUUUUUGGAUUGCACGAAAAAGGCGAAAGUCCAGUCAUGAGAAGUAUUCACCUUUUUGUUGUGAUCUGUGUGACGUGAUCGAAUGGAUUAUUCAGGGAUUUCAUAGCUGUUGUGUGACGGCUAAGCACGUUGAGCGUCAUAACUUCUGAGCACGUAAACUUUUUUUGAUUUUGAAUUUGUUGUUUUUUGAAUCUUAUGACUUUGAUAAGUUAAUAGAUUUAGCUUUGAGAAGAUUUUGGAAUCAAGUACCCAAUGGAGACGAGGAUUUUGCAUUAUUCAUCCGUUGAUUUUUUUGGGUGGAUAUGUGAUGCAUUGUCCCGAAGGAUGCUGAGGACAUGAGGCGAUUCUCUUGUUCCAUUUCCGAUGACUAGCAAAGCAAACAUCUUGGGAAUCAUCUAUAGCGUAAGAGCCAAAAAUAAAGAUAAAAGUAAAUAGGGAUGCGCUACGCAAACGCAAUAGAUCUUAAAGAGUUUUUCUUAUACAUCUAUUGGUCAGCCUUUGUAAUUUAAUAUUUGAUUGUGGUUAUUUCACUAAUUUCAAUGACAUGUUGUAGGUGUCAAAUUGUGUAAUACUACACUCAUGUGACUUGCACACUAUGUUAAUAAUUUAAAAGGAGUUUAGGAAAAUGAAAGCAUGAUAUUACUUUCUUUUUUCUUUUUUUUUUUGAGAAAUAGAGAUGGAGUUCAAGCUUCAAAGUGUGAUUUAGUUUGUAAGUUAUCGAUAAUUGAAUUGAAUCAAGUUUAAUUUCGAAUGCAAAUGCUAUACAGAGUUGAGCUUGAGCAUGGGAUUGAGAAACAGGGUUUUGGCAUACCAACAGUACAAUAUCAAACCAUCAAUUUCAACUUAAACUUUAGAUCAACAAACUACUUCAAAUAAAUUUAUAGCUCGAUUGCGCCUUAAUAGCUUCUUCUUUUUUUUUUUUCAAAUGAAGUACCUUAUCUUAGACACAUUUAGUGCAUUGACCCACCAAAUAAUAUGCUACUUCAUUCCUCGCGUGCCAACAAGAAUGAUGCUAGUAGUCUUCAAAUCUUCACCAAGCCUCUCAAAUGUGUACAAGUCUUGUGAGAGCUUGAUUCCUGAAAAUUAUAAUCACUAUCAAUCUUUCGAGAAAAUUUCAGAAUAAAAAUAAGAUAAUUAAACUAUGUAGUCAAAUCAACCAGUAAUACAUACCAACUUAUUUUUACCGUGUUUAAUCUAUUUGUCAAUGGCAUUAUUUACAAGAAAUAGAUAGAAGAUGUUAAUUGCAUUCAUUGAGAUUGAAUUACUCAAAAGUAUACUGAUGAAAGUCAAAUAUAUAAAUUAAUUGCAUUCAUUGAGAUUGAAAUAUGAGAAAUGAUCUACAUUUAAUAGAAAACAAUAUCAUGUAAAAAGAUACAUAAAUCUGGUGAGGUUUACUGCGAUUAAAGGAACGGGAUUAUAUGUGCAGAUUCAAUAUAUCAUGUAAGUUUAUUUCUUGCACCACCAAAUGCAAACAAUUUUAUACUUAGCCAUUCACCAAAUGUUUGGCUCAUACCCUACCUGGUCCAUGAGAUUAGUAAGGUAUGAUAUGGGUAUGGCGCCUUAUCUGCUCAAGAUAAGUUUCUUGGAAAGAGAAACAAUAUCUUUUUACCAGAAAAUGAGUAGGUUAGCAGUAUAAAAAGUAGAUAUAGCCCCCUCCUCCUUUCACCCCUUUCGAUCUAGUGCACUUAUGGAAGUAGGUUAAUGAAAUUUCAUCUAUGUGAAUUAGCGUACACAUACACACACCUUUUUUUUUUUUCACAACUUUUAUGAAAACUGGUUUUGUUCUCAAUCUAGCUAAAUUCAGAAAUUUUUAUGUACACAAUCUACUAAGUAGAAGAUAAAACUAAGACUCAACCUAGGCAUCAAAAGUUAAAUGAGCAGCAGAAACAGACACUUUAACUCUACCCGACACGAAUCCUUCAUGACUAAAAGAAUGAAUUCCUAGAAGAUCGACUACUUUAACUCCUAUUUGAAGUGACUUUUAAUCGAAUGUAAAAAAUAGGGGAGGAUACAGAAAUACAUCAUCCACCAAUUAAUAAAGUAUUUUAGGUCUGAAGUUUGGGAGUGAAGUCAAUGUUUGAGACUUAGUGUAAGGAGAUGCGACAAGUUUUUCCGACCUGCCUAUUUCUCCUUUCCUUCUUCGUUCAUUCUACCGGUAAGCGGCUGCUGUUCUUCGGUCAUUCCUGGUGAGCAUCGGGUGCUGUGGGUAUCCUUCUAUUGGCGUCAUGAUCUCUAAUUGCAAUCAUCAUCAUCGUGUUAUCCACUUUUUUUUUUUUUUUAAAGCUCCAGUUCUGAUUUGCUUUAUAUAUCAUGAGACUACACAAACGACACAAAAACUCCAUUGGCCGUUUUUCUUUUGGUGCUCUUUGCCACUUUAUUUGGAAGCACAAGAACACCAUACUAUUCAAAGACCAUACUAUCGUAGCUGCGGCAAUUAAAAAUCACCUCAUCUAUGUGGUGAAGGAUAAGGCCUUAACCUUCAGAAAUAUUGAAGAUACUCCAAGAAACAGAAGACUCCAACGUAACUGGGGGAUAGAUCCUUGUAUUUUCCUUCAAGGGGUUCAAAGACAGCUUGCAACUGGGUUGCGGCCUUAGUCUCCUCGGGCUCUACGGCGAUGACUCCUUCUGGUUGCUUUUUGUCUUGUUUUGUUGCUGGUUGUAUUCGUGAGAUUGGUCUCCAUGGCUUCCUCUUGGCCCUGCGCGGCCUUCUUUCCUAACUGUCCUUUUGCCUGUUGUUUAGGCUUUUGUGUGCUUUGGCCGCUCUUGCGGGUUCUUUUACAUCCGUCUCCCUUCCACUCGCAUAGACUUUUGUCUUGACGAGUGCAAGUUUUGUGGUGCCGGAUCUUGUGUAAAUUUUGGUUCAAAGCUCUAUAUAUUAUUACUUCUUACCAAAAAAAAAAAAAAAAAAACGACACAAAAAAGAAAACCUGUCUUUCAUGGGCAGUUACAUAUCUCGCUCUGCAGCUCCUUGGCGAGGCUUGCACGUCUGUGCUCCUCUUAUGUUCUUGUAUUUUGGUAGUCACUGAUGUAGCAUUUGGCGAGCUCUUCUAAUAGAUUCUCUCCCUUUCAUGCUGCAUAAUGGCGGCCCACUAAGGAGUAGAAGUCCAAGAAUGUGAACAGAAUAAGAAACAGAAUUCAAAUUGUUCGCGGGAUGUGAAGGUUCUAGGAUGAAUAUUCUCUUCGUAGCAUUAUAAUAGUCCAAAACGGGAGUUAAACCUCACCUUCGCAUGACUUGGGUUGUAACGUGGCCAACACCUUGCGCUUAAAUGUCACCAAUUUCUUCGAUGCUCUUGUGAUCAAGCUAUACAUGGUAAUAGUCUGUGAAUCCAUUAUUCUUCUUGCAACAACAAAGUCCACUUCUUUUUAUAUAGAUGCUUUUCUUUUUGCUUUGCAUUGUCUAUGUUAUAUUGCAGAAGCUCCUAGCAGAAUCCUGAUAUAACUGCGAUAGUCAACAGAUUGUUUCUUCUGUUGCAUUCAUCCGUUGCUUCUGUUGCAUUUAGUAGAGCCUUCAGUUGCCAAAUCGAAGAAUAGCAGCCAGAAGAUUGAGGGCGCUAAUGUCUAAAUCAAGUGGUAUAACUCCUAAUGAGGUUGACUCAGAGUUUAACUGCUACUGUGUUCUUUGAUCACCAAUUCUCAUAGCAAAAACAAGUAGGAAUUGGUUUUAUGGUUGUAAUAAGUUGUGGAUUGAUCUGAACACACCAGAUUGAGCUAAGGACAUGAUAAUCGACAUCCUUGAAAUGAAUCAAGCAUUGUGCGAAUCCAGCCAAUCAAGGCACAAGGAGGUUAACAUGAGCUAACUUCCACUGAAAUCAAGGCUCAAAGGGCCAAGUAUAGACGUUAAAAGGAGCAAUUGCAUGAAUAAAGAAAAAAAAAAUGAUAAUAUCAAUGGUCAUUUGUUCUAUGAAGGUGUUGUGUCAUUGUGCUGGUUGUGUCUAACGCGAGAGUUGGUGGGAAGUUUCUAAGCGUUCCAUAGUUUAUUUAGGGGUGAGUGUGCAUUCGUGUCAGGUUGAACUACUGGAAGUCCUGCUUCCCUCAUCUUCAGUACGCUUGUUCCGGCUUCGUGCUUCGGAGUUGCUUCACCACUGAAAACUAGAUAUUCUAAUGGAAAGCUGUUGGCUCUUUAGCAAUAUGACAGAAAGCUUUCGUCGUUCUUACCAUUCUUAUUAAAGAACUUCUGAUACCAUUUCAUUCUGUUACGAAAAAUCUAGUGAACUUAACAGAUUUGGCCUCUGGUAUAGUCUAAUAUAUCACCAGAUGUAAUGGCACAUGCUAAUCUUGAUUCUAGAAGAGGCGCCUGUGAAGCGAGACAAUGAAAUGCCAACCCCCUCGAGCGGAAAACAUUCCAACAUAAACAGUGAUUUAAAAUUUGACCCUGAAUGGUCAGGGCAGGACGAAUGAAAUGAAGUCUCAUUGUUUUCUUUUUCUUAACCCAACGGUUUAUCAGAGGUCUAAAUACUUGUGUACUUCCACACUAAAGACACUUAAAUACGUGAUUUUCAACAAUACUUCCACAUCUCUGCAUAUUUGCAGACCUGUAGGGAAUACUCGUUCUCGUGCUGAAUAUGUUAGUUUUUUUUCUCUUAUUGAAAUCAUCGAACAGGUGCAUAUGUACAGCUUGGGACUCCACUUUGCUUUUGUUGGGUCCCUUGGCUCGGAUUCGUGGUCAUUGGUUUCACAGCACUUCUGGGCGUGUCAGACACAGGCCCUCAUCCACAUUGAAAGCAAUUUCCAUAAUGCUAGGCCAUUUUGUAGGUCUAACUCAAUAUUUCAAGUCACAUAUGCAAGCCACCUUUAGGCUUUUUAGGUAGGUCCAUGAUAUAUUUUGCCAGCCUCGUCGAUCAGAAUGCCUAAGUCUUGGGUGAUUGAUUCGGAUAUAAAAGCAUUCCUACUUGAAUGUCAAGUCUUCUAGAAGUCCAUGAUAUGUAGAGCAUCCCAUAAAUCAAAUAAGAUACGAAUUCAAAAUCUCAAAACUUCAUUCAAGUAUGAAUUUUUUCACACCGGAUGAUACAAAUAACUGAAUGCAACCAAAAACGAUAUGACUAUUUCAAGCUCAGCAGCUUCAAAGCAUUCUAAUUAUAAAUUAGACGUACAAAAACCACUAAAAAUUUGAGAGUAACCCUUUUUCUCAGAACCAAUUUCUCUCAACAUAGACACGAAUUCCGUCCAAUACAAAAAAGCCACACCAACUGCCAAUGCAAUAACCAAAAGCAAAUCGUAAUGAAAGAACUAGAUGUACCUGGACACAAGUAGUGGCGUCCUGACCAGACACGAUGUCGUGCCUCAUCUGCUUCACCAUUGCCUGUCUCUUGUUCCUCAGCAGCUUUAUACUCGCCACCGUCAUCUACGCUGCCGUUUUGCUGUUCAUUCCCAAAACAAAAUUUCAAAAAACUCUCCAUGAAUAUAACUACAAAAAGCCCUCACCUCUUAUUUGCUAUUACCAUAACAUAGAAAAGAAAAAGCCCCCAAAGUAAACCAAGUUCAUGUGGGGAUUUUAUGUUGCGUACCUUGUGAAUAGUGGCCAAGCGUUUGGUCUCUUCCUUGAUCCGACCCAGGUGGGAGAGGAAGCAGUCGCAGAUCUCCAUCUUCUUCCUCUUGAUCUCCUCCUCCUUGGCCCUGAAAGUGGACGGAGCAGCCCUCGACAUCUCCUUGUCCUCCCUCAACAGCAAUGUGUUGCUGCUGAAGCUCAAGUUCCCCAAUGAGCUCUGCAGGAUCAGCAGCAGCUGCUGCUGCUGUUGCCACUGGGCCUGUUGCAAGGCCUGCUGCUCGCACACCUGCACCAUGAUCUUCUUCUUCUUCUCUCUGAUCUUCAAGCAAUAGAAACCCCCAUGAUCUCUGAUAAACCAAGUGUAUAAACUUCAGUACCGUCCCCACUGAUAAACCAAGAAUAUUCCACCAUCUUUGCUGUCUAAUACUAAUAAACCAAGUAUUUGAACUCCAGUACAGUCUGCACCAAAUGCAACCAAACCAAGUGUUCAAACUUCAGGCAUAUGGCUAGCCUACCGACGGGAAUUUACCUCAAAUGGAGCCAGGAGUUCCUCCAUCUUUCCUGGUAUGCACAUUUGUUCUUGUGCGCUGCUCUCUGCAUGCGAAACCAACAAUGGGUGCCAAAACAUCGACAGGUCUGUUAAUGCAGCCGGCACACUCUCUUCCUCCUGCAAAAACAGGGGACAUUAACAAACCCAGGGCAUUGUAUUUCGCCAUUUUCAUUGCCUCACCAGAGGAAGGAUGCCUAAUUACCACAUGUUGGCCCUACUCAAAUUCGAUUUGACAAAGAAAUGACUACACCAAUUUUAAGAUUCACAAACAAACACAUUUUAUCCAGGUUUUUGUUUCAUUGCCCAAAGGGCUCCAAGCAACAAAUUUGGCAACAUGAAAAGAAAAAAGAAUACCGUCUUCCCUAAGUCGCCAUCUAAUGCUGAUGAUUGUAACAUUGAAAACAUGCUUCUUCUUUUUUCACCCAUAGCACGAACGAUGCUGUACCAGUAAAAGCUUCAGCACCUUGGACCAGAUUGUCCUUGAAAAUCGGCGCUCCAAAAAUAGAUAUCACUUUGGAUUGUCAAAUUAGGUAGGCCAGUUCAAGCUCUAAAUUGAAAAUAUCCCAAAUACAAUAUUAAAGAAACCAUAUAUUCAUUGGAUAUUCAGGAGAUUCUAAGUGAAUAAAUAGCACUUUAAGUAAAGAUGACACCUUUAUUUUGACUCCCCAGUCCAAAAGAUGGAUUCAUAAUAAUUUGAAAUUGACUUUUCAGAAAAUUUCGGAGGGGCAGCAUGCAUGAUAAUCAAGCCAAAUCCCCAAUUCUUUUAAGCAUGUUUCUAAAGCAGAGAACAACAAAAUUGAGCAUUAAAUAUAGUUGUUACCGCCUUAAUUAACCCACAAAAUCAUGCGAAGAAUCUGUGUCCUUUUUUUAUUUCGUUUUGGACAAUCCUAUCUCUUCUUUUGCUGAGACCACUAAGAUCGCAAGAACUUCCCGUGUUUGUGCAUAUACUCAUUGACAUCACUCCCAAACUUCAGACCUAUUUAAUCCACAAGAGAAACGCCUCAAACGAGUUCACAUACCUCCAUUGGACAAAAGCAAAAUACAAGAAAAGGGGAUUAAGCCUCAUAUACUGGUUUUUAAAACCUUUGUUCAAGCCAUUGGGCUAGGAUGAAGAGGACCUGACGUCACCGUCAGCCUCAUAGAGCUCUUGCGCAAGGACUCAAUGUCGUCGCGCUCAAACGAAGAGGAAAUUUGGGGACUUGACGAAGAAGGACACUUAGACGAAGAAUAGGAGGAUCGAUGAACAAGAAGCAGACUCCACGAACAAGAAGUACACCAUGGAGGCAUGGCGAAUUAGGAGAAGUGAAGAAAACUGGAGAAUAAAACUCAGUUAGGUCUUGGAAAUUUGGAGCAAACCUUAAAUGGAGACAUUUUUGCACACAAAUCUUUUCUUUUAAGCUCUACACCGCGUAGGAGAGUGAAAUUUAAAAAAAAAAAAAAAAAAAAUGCGCCAAAUGCAACCGAGUAUUUAAACUUCAGUACAGUCCCCACCGAAUGCAACCAAACGAAGUGUUCAAACUUCAGGCAUAUGGCUAGUCUUCCAACGGGAAUUUACCUCAAAUGGGGCCCGGAGUUGCUCCAUCUUUCCUGGUGCGCGCAUUUGUGCUUGUGCGCUGCUUUCUGCAAUCAGUGGGUCUGUUGAUGCAGCCGGCACACUCUCUUUCUCCUGCAAAAAUGGGAGACAUUAACAAACCCCGGGCAUCGUAUAUCACCAUUUUCGUGGUCUCACUAGAGGAAGGACACCUAAUUACUACAUGUUAGCCCUACUCAUAUUUGAUUUGACAAAGAACUGACAAGACCAAUUUUAAGACUCACAAACAAACGCAUUCUAUCCAGGUUUUUGUUUCAUUGCCUGAAGGGCUCCAAGCAACAAAUUUGGCAACAUGAAAGAAGAAAACAAAUACCAUCUUCCCUAAGUCUCCAUCUAAUGCUGAUGAUUGUAAUGCUGAAAACUUGCUUUUUUAACCCAUGGUGCUAUACCAGUAAAAGCUUCAGCACCUCAGACCAGAUUGUCCUUGAAAAUCAGACUCCAAAAAUAGAUAGCACUUUGGAUCGUCAAAUUAUGUAGGCUAGUUCAAGCUCUAAAUUGACAAUAUCCCAAAUACAUAUUAGAGAAAUCAUACGUUUAUUGGAUAUUUCUGGAGAUUCUAAGUGUACAGAUAGCACUUCAAGUAAAGAUGACACCUUUAUUUUGACUCCCCAGUCCAAAAGACAGAUUCAUAAUAAUUCGAAAUUGAUAUUUUCAGACAAUUUCGAAGGGGCGGCAUGCAUGAUAAUCAAGCCAAAUCCCCAAUUUUUUCCAGCAUGUUUCCAAAGCAGAGAACCGCGAAAUUGAGCAUUAAAUAUGGUUGCUCCCGCCUUAAUCAACCCAAACAAAAUCAUGGGAACAACCUGUGUCCUUUUUCUGUUUUGUUUUGGACAAUCCUAUCUCUUAUUUUGCUACGACUAGUAAGAUCACAAGAACUUCCUGUUUUUGUGCAUAUACUCAUUGACAUCACUCCCAAACUUCAGACCUACUCAAUCCACAAGAGAAAACACCUCAAAUGAGUUCACAUACCUCCAUUGGGACGAAAGCAAAAUACAAGAAAAGGGAAUUAAGUCUGAUGUAGUGGGCCUGUAACACCUUUGUUCACACCGUCGGGCUAGGACGAAGAGGACCCGAUGUCGCCGUCAGCCUCAUAGAGCUCUUGCACAAGGACUCGACAUCGUCAUGCUCAAACAAAGAGGAAAUUUGGGGACUUGACGAAGAAGAAGGAUGCUCAAACGAAGAAUUGAAGGAUCGAUGAACAAGAAGCAGACUCCAUGUACAAGAAGUACACCAUGGAGACAUGGACGAGAAAGGCCGAUGAAGAGGUAAGGAGAAUUUGAGAAGAGAACUCCAUAAAUUAGGAGAAGUGAAGAAAACUGGGUUUUAGGGCUUGGAAAUUUGGGGCAAACCUUAGACAGAGACAUUUUUGCACACAAACCUUUUCUUUUAAGUUCUACACCAAGUAGGAGGGUGAAAUGAAUAAAAAAAUGCACUGUCAGCAUUUCCAUUAGCCAAAUUGAACAGCAUUAACAAAAGGACUCAGUUGCACCAAAUUGACAAGUUUUAGUACUUGAUUGCAUUUUCUCGACCAAUUCUAAAACUUAUGGUACACUUAUCCCUUUAACGUUCUAUUUUUACUGUAAAUAUUGCAAAUCGUGGAACUCAUCUUCAUAAUGAUCAGUAUUAAGUAAGAAAUGGACAAAAAAGUGGAACAUAUUACGUAGAAAAUAUGCCAAGUAAAAACAUUCGUGUGACUACAAAAUGAGAAAACAUUUUAAAUAAUAGGCUCUAAGCUAUUCUUUAUAUAUAUCUCCUACGAUAUGAAAUUUUUCCAAAUAUCUGUGAUAAAAACUGAAGUUCUCUCUGGUCUUCAAGCAACAGAAACCCUGGUGACCUCUGAUAAACCAAUUAUUUAAAGUUCAGUGCAGUCCCCACUGAUAAACCAAGUAUAUUCCACCAUCUUCGCCGUCAGGAGGAAUACUAAUAAACCAGGUACUUAAACUUCAGUACAGUCAACACUGAAUGCAACCAAACCAAGUGUUCAAACUUCAGGCAUAUGCCUAGUCUACCGACAGGAAUUUACCUCAAAUAGAGUCAGGAGAUCCUCCGUCCUUCCUGGUACGCGCAUUUGUUCUUGUGCACUGCUCUCUGCACGCGAAACCAACAAUGGGUGCCAAAACAUCGAUAGGUCUGUUGAUGCAGUCGGUGCACUCUCUUCCUCCUACAGAAACCGGAGACAUUAACAAACCCAGGGCAUUGUAUAUCACCAUUUUUGUGGCCUCACCAGAGGAAGGCCACCUAAUUACCACAUGUUGGCCCUACUCAAAUUCGAUUUGACAAAGAAAUGACUAGACCAAUUUUAAGACUCAAAAACAAACACGUUUUAUCCAGGUUUUUGUUUCAUUGCUUGAAGGGCUCCAAGCAACAAAUUUGGCAACAUGGAAGAAGAAAAAUGAAUACCGUCUUCCCUAAGUUGCCAUCUAAUGCUAACGAUUGUAAUGCUGAGAACAUGCUUUUUUAACCCAUAGCAUGAAUGGUCCUGUACCCGCAAAAGCUUCAGCAUCUCAGACCAGAUUGUCCUUGAAAAUCAGCACUCCAAAAAUAGAUAGUACUUUGGAUCGUCAAAUUAUGUAGGCUUAGUUGAAGCUCUGAAUUGAAAAUAUCCCAAAUACAAUAUUAAAGAAAUCAUACAUUCAUUGGAUAUUCUGGAGAUUCUAAGUGUACAGAAAGCACUUUAAGUAAAGAUGAAACCUUUAUUUUGACUCCCCAGUCCAAAAGAUAGAUUCAUAAAAAUUUGAAAUUGAUAUUUUCAGACAAUUUCGAAGGGGCGGCAUGAUAAUCAAGCCAAAUUCCCAAUUUUUUCCAGCAUGUUUCCAACAGAGAGAACCGCAAAAUUGAGCAUUAAAUAUGGUUGCUCCUGCCUUAAUCAACCCAAGCAAAAUCAUGGGAACCCAUUUUCUGUUUUGUUUUGGACGAUCCUAUCUCUUAUUUUGCUAAGCCUAGUAAGAUCACAAGAACUUCCUGUGUUUGUGCAUAUACUCAUUGACAUCACUCCCAAACUUCAGACCUACUCAAUCCACAAGAGAAAACACCUCAAAUGAGUUCACAUACCUCCAUUGGGACGAAAGAAAAAUACAAGAAAAGGGAAUUAACCCUGAUGUAGUUGCCUGUAACACUUUUGUUCACACCGUCGGGCUAGGACAAAGAAGACCCAACGUUGCCGUCAGCCUCAUAGAGCUCUUGCCCGAGGACUCGAUGUCGUUGUGCUCAAACAAAGAGGAAAUUUGGGGACUUGAUGAAGAAGAAGGAUGCUCAAAUGAAGAAUUGGAGGAUCGAUGAACGAGAAGAGGACUCCAUGAACAAGAAGUACACCAUGGAGGCAUGGACGAGAAAGGCCGAUGAAGAGGUGAGGAGAACUUGAGAAGAAAACUCCAUGAAUUUGGAGAAGUGAAGAAAACUGGAGAAGAAAACCCAGUUAGGGCUUGGAAAUUUGGGGCAAACCUUAGACAAAGACAUUUUUGCACACGAACCUUUUCUUUUAAGCUCUACAACACGUAGGAGAGUGAAAUGAAUAAAAAAUGCACCUUCAGCAUUUUCCAUUAGCCAAAUUGAACAGCGUUAACAAAAGGACUCAAUUGCACCAAAUUGACAAGUUUUAGUACUCGAUUACAUUUUCUCGACCAAUUCUAAAACUUAUGGUGCAUUUAUCCCUUUAACGUUCUAUUUUCACUGUAAAUAUUACAAAUCGUGGAACUCAUCUUCAUAAUGAUCAGUAUUAAGUAAGAAAUGGACAAAAAAGUGGAACAUAUUACGUAGAAAAUAUGCCAAGUAAAAACAUUCGUGUGACUACAAAAUGAGAAAACAUUUUAAAUAAUAGGCUCUAAGCUAUUCUUUAUAUAUAUCUCCUACGAUAUGAAAUUUUUCCAAAUAUCUGUGAUAAAAACUGAAGUUCUCUCUGGUCUUCAAGCAACAGAAACCCUGGUGAACUCUGAUAAACCAAUUAUUUAAAGUUCAGUGCAGUCCCCACUGAUAAACCAAGUAUAUUCCACCAUCUUCGCCGUCAGGAGGAAUACUAAUAAACCAGGUACUUAAACUUCAGUACAGUCAACACUGAAUGCAACCAAACCAAGUGUACAAACUUCAGGCAUAUGGCUAGUCUACCGACAGGAAUUUACCUCAAAUAGAGUCAGGAGUUCCUCCGUCUUCCCUGGUAUGCGCAUUUGUUCUUGUGUGCUGCUCUCUGCACGCGAAACCAAAGAUGGGUCCCCAAACAUCGAUAGGUGUGUUGAUGUAGCCCCCACACUCUUUCUCUCCUACAAAAACCAGAGACAUUAACAAACCCAGGGCAUUGUAUAUCACCAUUUUUGUGGCCUCACCAGAGGAAGGACACCUAAUUACCACAUGUCGGUCCUACUCAAAUUCGAUUUAACAAAGAAACGACUAGAUCAAUUUUAAGACUCAAAAACAAACACGUUUUAUCUAGGUUUUUGUUUCAUUGCUUGGAGGGCUCCAAGCAACAAAUUUGGCAACAUGGAAGAAGAAAAAUGAAUACCGUCUUCCCUAAGUCGCCAUCUAAUGCUAAGGAUUGUAAUGCUGAAAACAUGCUUUUUUAGCCCAUAGCAUGAAUGGUCCUGUACCAGCAAAAGCUUCAGCAUCUCAGACCAGAAUAUCCGUGAAAAUCAGCACUCCAAAAAUAGAUAGCACUUUGGAUCAUCAAAUUACGUAGGCUAGUUCAAGCUCUAAAUUGAAAAUAUCCCAGGUACAAUAUUAAAGAAAUCACACAUUCAUUGGAUAUUCUGGAGAUUCUAAGUGUACAGAAAGCACUUUAAGUAAAGAUGAAACCUUUAUUUUGACUCCCCAGUCCAAAGGAUAGAUUCACAGUAAUUUGAAAUUGAUAUUUUAAGAAAAUUCCGAAGGGGCGACAUGCAUGAUGAUCCAGCCAAAUCCCCAAUUUUUUCCAGCAUCUUCCCAAAGCAGAGAACCGCAAAAUUGAGCAUUAAAUGUGGUCGUUACCGCCUUAAUCAACCAAAACAAAAUCAUGGGAACAACCUGCGUCCUUUAUCUGUUUUGUUUUGGACAAUCCUAUCUCUUAUUUUGCUAUGACUAGUAAGAUCGCAAGAACUUCCUGUGUUUGUGCAUAUACUCAUUGACAUCACUCCCAAACUUCAGAGCUAUUCAAUCCACAAGAGGAAACACCUCAAAUGAGUUCACGUACCUCCAUUGGGACGAAAGCAAAAUACAAGAAAAGGGAAUUAAGCCUGAUGUAGUGGCCUGUAACACUUUUGUUCACACCGUCGGGCUAGGACGAAGAAGAGCCGACGUCACCGUCAGCCUCAUAGCGCUGUUGCGCGAGGACUCGACGUCGUCGUGCUUGAACAAAGAGGAAAUUUGGGGACUUGUCAAAGAAGAAGGAUGCUCAGAUGAAGAAUUGGAGGAUCGACAACCAAGAAGAGGACUCCAUGAACAAGAAAUACACCAUGGAGGCAAGGACGAGAAAGGCCGAUGAAGAGGUGAGGAGAACUUGAGAAGAAAAGUCCUUGAAUUAGGAGAAGUGAAGAAAACUGGAGAAGAAAACCCAGUUAGGGCUUGGAAAUUUGUGGUAAACCUUAGACACAGACAUUUUUGCACACAAACCUUUUCUUUUAAGCUUUACACCACGUAGGAGAGUGAAAUGAAUAAAAAAUGCAUCGUCAGGAUUUUCCAUCCGCCAAAUUGAACGGAGUUAACGAAAGGACUCAGUUGCACCAAAUUGACAAGUUUUAGUACUCGAUUGCAUUUUCUUGACCAAUUCUAAAAAUUAUGAUGCACUUAUCCCUUCAACGUUUUAUUUUCACUGUAAAUAUUGCAAAUCGUGGAACUCAUUUUCAUAAUGAUCUGUAUUAAGUAAGAAAUGGACAAAAAAGUGGAAUAUAUUAUGUAGAAAAUAUGCCAAGUCAAAACAUCCGUGUGAAUAUAAAAUGAGAAAACAUUUUAAAUAAUAGGCUCUAAGCUAUCCUUUAUAUAUAUCUCCUACGAUAUGAAAUUUUUCCAAAUAUUUAUGAUAAAAACUGAACUUCUCUCUGAUCUUCAGCCAACAGAAACCCCGUCUAAUAAAAGAAGUAUUUAAACUUCAGUACUGCCCCCACUGAUAAACCAAGUAUAUUCCACCAUCUUUGCCGUCAAGAGGAAUACUAAUAAACCAAGUAUUUAACCUUCAGUAUAUUCCCCACCGAAUGCAAAGAAACCAACUGUUCAAACUUCAGGCAUAUGGCUAGUCUACUGAUGGGAAUUUACCUCAUAUUGAGCCAUCAUUCCUUGUACAUGCAUCCAUCCUUGUUUGCUGCUCUGUAGAAGCCAAACCACCAAUGGGUCUGUUAAUGCGGCCUCAAAACUCUCGUCGUCCUGCAAAAACCGGAGACAUUAACAAACCCAGGCCAUCGUAUAUCACCAUUUUCGUGGCCUCACCAGAGGAAGGACACCUAAUUACCACAUGUUAGCCCUGCUCAAAUUCAAUUUGACAAAGAACUGACUAGACCAAUUUUAAGACUCACAAACAAACGCAUUUUAUCCAUGUUUUUGUUUCAUUGCCAGAAGGGCUCCAAGCAACAAAUUUGGCAACAUGAAAGAAGAAAACGAAUACCGUCUUCCCUAAGUCUCCAUCUAACGCUGAAAACUUGCUUGUUUAACCCAUAGCACCAAUGGCGCUGUACCAGUAAAAGCUUCAGCACCUCAGACCGGAUUGUCCUUGAAAAUCGGCACUCCAAAAAUAGAUAGCACUUUGGAUCGUCAAAUUACGUAGGCUAGUUCAAGCUCUAAAUUGAAAAUAUCCCAAAUACAAUAUUAAAGAAAUCACCCAUUCAUUGGAUAUUCUGGAGAUUCUAAGUGCACAGAAAGGACUUUAAGUAAAGAUGAAACCUUUAUUUUGACUCCCCAGUCCAAAAGAUAGAUUCAUAAUAAUUUGAAAUUGAUAUUUUAAGACAAUUUCGAAGGGGCAGCAUGCAUGAUGAUCAAGCCAAAUCCCAAUUUUUUCCAGCAUCUUCCCAAAGCAGAGAACCACAAAAUUGAGCAUUAAAUAUGGUUGUUCCUGCCUUAAUCAACCCAAACAAAAUCAUGGGAACAACCUGCGUCCUUUUUCUGUUUUGUUUUGGACAAUCCUAUCUCUUAUUUUGCUAUGACUAGUAAGAUCACAAGAACUUCCUGUGUUUGUGCAUAUACUCAUUGACAUCACUCCCAAAUUUCAGACCUAUUCAAUCCACAAGAGAAAACACCUCAAAUGAGUUCACAUACCUCCAUUGGGACGAAAGCAAAAUACAAGAAAAGGGAAUUAAGCCUGAUGUAGUGCCUGUAACACUUUUGUUCACACCGUCGGGCUAGGACAAAGAAGACCCGACGUCGCCGUCAGCCUCAUAGAGCUCUUGCACGAGGACUCGACGUCGCCGUGCUCGAACAAAGAGGAAAUUUGGGGACUUGACGAAGAAGAAGGAUGCUCAGAUGAAGAAUUGGAGGAUCGAUGACCAAGAAGUGGACUCCAUGAACAAGAAGUACACCAUGGAGGCAAGGACGAGAAAGGCCGAUGAAGAGGUGAGGAGAACUUGAGAAGAAAAGUCCUUGAAUUAGGAGAAGUGAAGAAAACUGGAGAAGAAAACCCAGUUAGGGCUUGGAAAUUUGUGGUAAACCUUAGACACAGAUAUUUUUGCACACAAACCUUUUCUUUUAAGCUUUACACCACGUAGGAGAGUGAAAUGCAUAAAAAAUGCAUCAUCAGGAUUUUCCAUCCGCCAAAUUGAACGGAGUUAACAAAAGGACUCAGUUGCACCAAAUUGACAAGUUUUAGUACUCGAUUGCAUUUUCUUGACCAAUUCUAAAAAUUAUGAUGCACUUAUCCCUUCAACGUUUUAUUUUCACUGUAAAUAUUGCAAAUCGUGGAACUCAUUUUCAUAAUGAUCUGUAUUAAGUAAGAAAUGGACAAAAAAGUGGAAUAUAUUAUGUAGAAAAUAUGCCAAGUCAAAACAUCCGUGUGAAUAUAAAAUGAGAAAACAUUUUAAAUAAUAGGCUCUAAGCUAUCCUUUUUAUAUAUCUCCUACGAUAUGAAAUUUUUCCAAAUAUUUUUGAUAAAAACUGAACUUCUCUCUGAUCUUCAGCCAACAGAAACCCCGGUGACGUCUAAUAAAAGAAGUAUUUAAACUUCAGUACUGUCCCCACUGAUAAACCAAGCAUAUUCCACCAUCUUUGCCGUCAAGAGGAAUACUAAUAAACCAAGUAUUUAACCUUCAGUAUAUUCCCCACCGAAUGCAAAGAAACCAACUGUUCAAACUUCAGGCGUAUGGCUAGUCUACUGAUGGAAAUUUACCUCAUAUUGAGCCAUCAUUCCUUGUACACGCAUCCGUUCUUGUUCGCUGCUCUGUGCAGGCCAAACCAUCAAUGGGUCUGUUAAUGUGGCCUGCAAACUCUCUUUGUCCUGCAAAAACUGGAGACAUUAACAAACCCAGGCCAUUGUAUAUCUCCAUUUUCGUGGCCUCACCAGAGGAAGGACACCUAAUUGCCACAUGUUAGCCCUACUCAAAUUCGAUCUGACAAAGAACUGAGUAGACCAAUUUUAAGACUCACAAACAAACGCAUUUUAUCCAUGUUUUUGUUUCAUUGCCAGAAGGGCUCCAAGCAACAAAUUUGGCAACAUGAAAGAAGAAAACGAAUACCGUCUUCCCUAAGUCUCCAUCUAACGCUGAAAACUUGCUUGUUUAACCCAUAGCACCAAUGGCGCUGUACCAGUAAAAGCUUCAGCACCUCAGACCGGAUUGUCCUUGAAAAUCGGCACUCCAAAAAUAGAUAGCACUUUGGAUCGUCAAAUUACGUAGGCUAGUUCAAGCUCUAAAUUGAAAAUAUCCCAAAUACAAUAUUAAAGAAAUCACCCAUUCAUUGGAUAUUCUGGAGAUUCUAAGUGUACAGAAAGGACUUUAAGUAAAGAUGAAACCUUUAUUUUGACUCCCCAGUCCAAAAGAUAGAUUCAUAAUAAUUUGAAAUUGAUAUUUUAAGACAAUUUCGAAGGGGCAGCAUGCAUGAUGAUCAAGCCAAAUCCCAAUUUUUUCCAGCAUCUUCCCAAAGCAGAGAACCACAAAAUUGAGCAUUAAAUAUGGUUGUUCCUGCCUUAAUCAACCCAAACAAAAUCAUGGGAACAACCUGCGUCCUUUUUCUGUUUUGUUUUGGACAAUCUUAUCUCUUAUUUUGCUAUGACUAGUAAGAUCACAAGAACUUCCUGUGUUUGUGCAUAUACUCAUUGACAUCACUCCCAAAUUUCAGACCUAUUCAAUCCACAAGAGAAAACACCUCAAAUGAGUUCACAUACCUCCAUUGGGACGAAAGCAAAAUACAAGAAAAGGGAAUUAAGCCUGAUGUAGUGGCCUGUAACACUUUUGUUCACACCGUCGGGCUAGGACAAAGAAGACCCGACGUCGCCGUCAGCCUCAUAGAGCUCUUGCACGAGGACUUGACGUCGCCGUGCUCGAACAAAGAGGAAAUUUGGGGACUUGACGAAGAAGAAGGAUACUCAGAUGAAGAAUUGGAGGAUCGAUGACCAAGAAGAGGACUCCAUGAACAAGAAGUACACCAUGGAGGCAUGGACGAGAAAGGCCGAUGAAGAGGUGAGGAGAACUUGAGAAGAAAAGUCCUUGAAUUAGGAGAAGUGAAGAAAACUGGAGAAGAAAACCCAGUUAGGGCUUGGAAAUUUGUGGUAAACCUUAGACACAGACAUUUUUGCACACAAACCUUUUCUUUUAAGCUUUACACCACAUAGGAGAGUGAAAUGAAUAAAAAAUGCAUCGUCAGGAUUUUCCAUCCGCCAAAUUGAACGGAGUUAACAAAAGGACUCAGUUGCACCAAAUUGACAAGUUUUAGUACUCGAUUGCAUUUUCUUGACCAAUUCUAAAAAUUAUGAUGCACUUAUCCCUUCAACGUUUUAUUUUCACUGUAAAUAUUGCAAAUCGUGGAACUCAUUUUCAUAAUGAUCUGUAUUAAGUAAGAAAUGGACAAAAAAGUGGAAUAUAUUAUGUAGAAAAUAUGCCAAGUCAAAACAUCCGUGUGAAUAUAAAAUGAGAAAACAUUUUAAAUAAUAGGCUCUAAGCUAUCCUUUUUAUAUAUCUCCUACGAUAUGAAAUUUUUCCAAAUAUUUAUGAUAAAAACUGAACUUCUCUCUGAUCUCCAGCCAACAGAAACCCCGGUGACGUCUAAUAAAAGAAGUAUUUAAACUUCAGUACUGUCCCCACUGAUAAACCAAGUAUAUUCCACCAUCUUUGCCGUCAAGAGGAAUACUAAUAAACCAAGUAUUUAACCUUCAGUAUAUUCCCCACCGAAUGCAAAGAAACCAACUGUUCAAACUUCAGGCAUAUGGCUAGUCUACUGAUGGGAAUUUACCUCAUAUUGAGCCAUCAUUCCUCGUACACGCAUCCAUUGUUGUUCGCUGCUGUGUGCAAGCCAAUUCAUCAAUGGGUCUGUUAAUGCGGCCUGCAAACUCUCUUCGUCCUGCAAAAACCGGAGACAUUAACAAACCCAGGCCAUCGUAUAUCACCAUUUUCGUGGCCUCACCAGAGGAAGGACACCUAAUUACCACAUGUUAGCCCUGCUCAAAUUCAAUUUGACAAAGAACUGACUAGACCAAUUUUAAGACUCACAAACAAACGCAUUUUAUCCAUGUUUUUGUUUCAUUGCCAGAAGGGCUCCAAGCAACAAAUUUGGCAACAUGAAAGAAGAAAACGAAUACCGUCUUCCCUAAGUCUCCAUCUAACGCUGAAAACUUGCUUGUUUAACCCAUAGCACCAAUGGCGCUGUACCAGUAAAAGCUUCAGCACCUCAGACCGGAUUGUCCUUGAAAAUCGGCACUCCAAAAAUAGAUAGCACUUUGGAUCGUCAAAUUACGUAGGCUAGUUCAAGCUCUAAAUUGAAAAUAUCCCAAAUACAAUAUUAAAGAAAUCACCCAUUCAUUGGAUAUUCUGGAGAUUCUAAGUGUACAGAAAGGACUUUAAGUAAAGAUGAAACCUUUAUUUUGACUCCCCAGUCCAAAAGAUAGAUUCAUAAUAAUUUGAAAUUGAUUUUUCUUUUUUCAGACAAUUUCGAAGGGGUGGCAUGCAUGAUAAUCAAGCCAAAUCCCCAAUUUUUUCCAGCAUGUUUCCAAAGCAAAGAACCUCAAAAUUGAGCAUUAAGUAUGGUUGCUCCCGCCUUAAUCAACCCAAACAAAAUCAUGGGAACAACCUGCGUCCUUUUUCUGUUUUGUUUUGGACAAUCCUAUCUCUUAUUUUGCUAUGACUAGUAAGAUCCCAAGAAACUUCCCGUGUUUGUGCAUAUACUCAUUGACAUCACUCCCAAACUUCCGACCUAUUCAAUCCACAAGAGAAAACACCUCAAAUGAGUUCACGUACCUCCAUCGGAUGAAAGCAAAAUACAAGAAUAGAGGAUUAAGCCUGAUAUAGUGGCUUUUAAAACCUUUGUUCAAGCUGUCGGGCUAGGACGAAGAGGACUGGAUGUCGCCGUCAGCCUCAUAGAGCUCUUGCAUGAGGACUCGACAUCAUCACGCUCGAACAAAGAGGAAAUUUGGGGACUCGACGAAGAAGGACACUCAGACGAAGAAUAGGAGGAUCGAUGAACAAGAAGCAGACUCCACAAACAAGAAGUACACCAUGGAGGCAUGGACAAGAAAGACCAAUGAAGAGGUGAGGAGAACUUGAGAAGAAAACCCACAAAUUAGGAGAAGUGAAGAAAACUGGAGAAGAAAACUCAGUUAGGGCUUGGAAAUUUGGAGCAAACCUUAAAUGGAGACAUUUUUGCACACAAACCUUUUCUUUUAAGCUCUACACCGAGUACGAGAGUGAAAUGAAAAAGAAAAUGCACCGAAUGCAAUAAAUCAAGUAUUUAAACUUCAGUACAGUCCCCACCAAAUGCAACCAAACCAAGUGUUCAAACUUCAGGCAUAUAGCUAAUCUACCAAUGGGAAUUUAUCUCAUAUAAAGCCAGGCAUUCCUCCCUCUUUCCCCAUACACUCUCUUCCUCCUGCAAAAAUGGGAGACAUUAACAAACCCUGGGCAUCGAAUAUCACCAUUUUUGUCGCCUCACCAGAGGCAGGACACCUAAUUACCACAUGUUGGCCCUACUAAAAUUCGAUUUGACAAAGAACUGACCAAAUCAAUUUUAAGACUCACAAACAAACGCAUUUUAUCCAGGUUCUUGUUUCAUUGCCUAAAGGGCUCCAAGCAACAAAUUUGGCAACAUGAAAGUAGAAAAAUGAAUACCAUCUUCCCUAAGUCACCAUCUAAUGUUGAUGAUUGUAACGCUGAAAACAUGCUUUUUCUACCUAUACCACGAAUGGUGCUGUACCAGCAACAGCUUUAGCAACUCAGACCAGAUUGUCCUUGAAAAUCGGCACUCCAAGAAUAGAUAGCACUUUGGAUUGUCAAAUUAUGUAGGCUAGUUCAAGCUCUAAAGAAAAUAUCCCUAAUACAAUAUUAAAGAAAUCAUACAUUCUUUGGAUAUUCUGGAGAUUCUAAGUGAACAAAUAGCACUUUAAGUAAAGAUGACACCUUUAUUUUGACUCCACGGGCCAAAAGAUGGAUUCAUAAUAAUUUGAAAUUGAAUUUUCAGGAAAUUUCCAUGGGCGUUAUGCAUGAUAUUCAAGCCAAAUCCCCAAUCUUUUUAGCAUGUUUCCAAAGCAGAGAACCGCAAAAUUGAGCAUUAAAUAUAGUUGCUCCCGCCUUAAUCAACCGAAACAAAAUCAUGCGAACAAUCUGUGUCCUUUUUCUGUUUUGUUUUGGACGAUCCUAUCUCUUAUUUUGCUAAGAUUAGUAAGAUCGCAACAACAUCCUGCGUUUGGGCAUAUACCCAUUGACAUCAUUCCCAAACUUCAGACCUAUCAAUCCACAAGAGAAAUCAACUCAAAUGAGUUCCCAUACCUCCUUCGGAAUGAAAGCAGAGUACAAGAAAGGAGAUUAAGCUCGAUGUAGUGACUUAUAACACCCUCAUUCACGCCACCCGGCUUUGGACGAAGAGGACCCGACAUCGCCGUUGGACUCAUCGAGCUCUUGCGCAAGGACUCGACGUCGUCGCGCUCGAACGAAGAUGAAAUUUGGGGAUUCGGCGAAGAAGAAAAAGGACACUCAGAUGAAGAAGAGGAGGAUCGAUGAAUGAGAAGCGGACUCCAUGAACAAGAAGUACACUACGGACGAGAAAGACUGAUGAAGAAGUGACGAGAACUUGAGAAGAAUACUCAAUCAGGGCUUGGAAAUGCUAAGUAAAACCAAUUGUUUCUUAUAAAAUGAGAGAAAAUUUUAAAUAAUAGGCUAUAAGCUAUUCUAUAUAUAUAUAUCCUAUAAAAUGAAGUUUUUCCAAAUAUUUGUGAUAAAAUCUGAACCUCUUACUGCAACUAUGUAACUUUCUCAUAUACAGAAAAAAGGAAAAGCCAAAAAAACGCAGAGAGAGAAAACAUCACAUGCGUCUACUGGUUUUUAAAGUAAGUGAGACCGAGACUUAUUGUAUGAUUGUUUCUUUUUUUAUUUUCCACAAUUAUUAUAAAUCUCCUUAUAGUUGAAUUUAUGUUUGUGAAUGGUUUUGCUGACUCACCUUAUAUUGCUUGAAAUCUUGGACGGAGCCUUCGAAUAUUGUCUUAAGCCCAAGUAAUUUCGGGCAACAACUAAUAAGUAAGUGGCAAUCAUUUGGCAAUUUGGUGGUCGAUACAUCAAUCGGACUUUCCAACAAUGGGUUGCUAAUAAGGGUUAACAGCUCCAAAAACUCCAUCUUGUCAAGGCCCUCGACAAUUCCAAGCACAGGGCAGAAGUCUAUGUGCAAGCACUUGAGAUUCUUUAAUUUUGACAAACCACCAAGACUUUGCAAAUGAUAACCAUAAGGUGUCGUUGUUUGCAACAAUUCUAACGUAUCAACAACUUGAAUACCGAGUAUAUUAUUGCAACACUGUAUGCAGAGUCUCUCCAACUUAUUGAAGACUCUCGAUGCAAAGACUAGUGAAGANNNNNNNNNNNNNNNNNNNNNNNNNNNNNNNNNNNNNNNNNNNNNNNNNNNNNNNNNNNNNNNNNNNNNNNNNNNNNNNNNNNNNNNNNNNNNNNNNNNNNNNNNNNNNNNNNNNNNNNNNNNNNNNNNNNNNNNNNNNNNNNNNNNNNNNNNNNNNNNNNNNNNNNNNNNNNNNNNNNNNNNNNNNNNNNNNNNNNNNNNNNNNNNNNNNNNNNNNNNNNNNNNNNNNNNNNNNNNNNNNNNNNNNNNNNNNNNNNNNNNNNNNNNNNNNNNNNNNNNNNNNNNNNNNNNNNNNNNNNNNNNNNNNNNNNNNNNNNNNNNNNNNNNNNNNNNNNNNNNNNNNNNNNNNNNNNNNNNNNNNNNNNNNNNNNNNNNNNNNNNNNNNNNNNNNNNNNNNNNNNNNNNNNNNNNNNNNNNNNNNNNNNNNNNNNNNNNNNNNNNNNNNNNNNNNNNNNNNNNNNNNNNNNNNNNNNNNNNNNNNNNNNNNNNNNNNNNNNNNNNNNNNNNNNNNNNNNNNNNNNNNNNNNNNNNNNNNNNNNNNNNNNNNNNNNNNNNNNNNNNNNNNNNNNNNNNNNNNNNNNNNNNNNNNNNNNNNNNNNNNNNNNNNNNNNNNNNNNNNNNNNNNNNNNNNNNNNNNNNNNNNNNNNNNNNNNNNNNNNNNNNNNNNNNNNNNNNNNNNNNNNNNNNNNNNNNNNNNNNNNNNNNNNNNNNNNNNNNNNNNNNNNNNNNNNNNNNNNNNNNNNNNNNNNNNNNNNNNNNNNNNNNNNNNNNNNNNNNNNNNNNNNNNNNNNNNNNNNNNNNNNNNNNNNNNNNNNNNNNNNNNNNNNNNNNNNNNNNNNNNNNNNNNNNNNNNNNNNNNNNNNNNNNNNNNNNNNNNNNNNNNNNNNNNNNNNNNNNNNNNNNNNNNNNNNNNNNNNNNNNNNNNNNNNNNNNNNNNNNNNNNNNNNNNNNNNNNNNNNNNNNNNNNNNNNNNNNNNNNNNNNNNNNNNNNNNNNNNNNNNNNNNNNNNNNNNNNNNNNNNNNNNNNNNNNNNNNNNNNNNNNNNNNNNNNNNNNNNNNNNNNNNNNNNNNNNNNNNNNNNNNNNNNNNNNNNNNNNNNNNNNNNNNNNNNNNNNNNNNNNNNNNNNNNNNNNNNNNNNNNNNNNNNNNNNNNNNNNNNNNNNNNNNNNNNNNNNNNNNNNNNNNNNNNNNNNNNNNNNNNNNNNNNNNNNNNNNNNNNNNNNNNNNNNNNNNNNNNNNNNNNNNNNNNNNNNNNNNNNNNNNNNNNNNNNNNNNNNNNNNNNNNNNNNNNNNNNNNNNNNNNNNNNNNNNNNNNNNNNNNNNNNNNNNNNNNNNNNNNNNNNNNNNNNNNNNNNNNNNNNNNNNNNNNNNNNNNNNNNNNNNNNNNNNNNNNNNNNNNNNNNNNNNNNNNNNNNNNNNNNNNNNNNNNNNNNNNNNNNNNNNNNNNNNNNNNNNNNNNNNNNNNNNNNNNNNNNNNNNNNNNNNNNNNNNNNNNNNNNNNNNNNNNNNNNNNNNNNNAAGUUGAGUAAGGGAAGCUAACUCAGUGGGAGCAGGAACAUGGAGGAGACACAAGCUUAAUUUUUUUAGUUUGGAUAACCCCUGAUCGACUCUAAAUCACCCAAUAUAAGUUCCAUCACGUUCGUCAAUUUUUUUGGAGCCGUCAUCUAGUUUCAACCUAACCAAAUUAGUCAAGUUUGAGAGGUCCGGCAACUCUCGGAUUUCAUCAAACCCUUUUAACAAGCCAAUUUCAGAAGGAAGUUGACUUUUCAAAUUUCCUUCAACCUGAAGCGGUUUCAGAUUCUCAAACUUUCCGAUGGCACUCGGUGACUCCACUGGAUGUGCAAUUGAAAGCUGCAACUUCCGCAAUGAUUUCCACUUAAAUAUGAAAUCCGGUAAUUCCUUCAUUGCACAACAAGAUCGUAAAGAGAAGUGCUCUAGAUUCUGUAGGUCCCUGAUUUUUUCAGGCAAACCUUCAAGGCGAAUGCAAAGAUCAAACUUUAAAUCUUUCAGAUCCUUUAACUUCCCAAUAGAGCCAUCAAUCUUCGUUAAGCCGUCGCAAGCGAAAAAUGUCAGCCUCUCUAAUUUUGAGCAUUCAGAUAAGUCUGGUGUUCUAGUUAUGCCAUGACAUUUAGCAAGACUAAGAACUUUCAAUUUUGUUGUCCCCUGUAAAAAGUGAAUGCAUUAUCCAAUGGAAGAGCAAUUCAAACGUUCAUUUUAAGGACAAAGAAAGGAAAUAAGCAUAUGACGCACCUUUAUUAACUGCAAUAAUUUCUGAUCGUCUAUACCGUGAACGAAUGAAAAGUCAAGGACAACCACAUUCUUGAAGCACAUAUUGGUCAGCUCACACUCUGAAAACAGAGAAUCUCUCAAAUGAAUCCAUUUUAGUUUGGGAAAACAAUCCAUUAGAUCGCCAACAAAGUUUCCUCCAUUUAAUCUAAGGAACCUUAGUUCUUUAAACCUUCCAAUCUCUUCACUUUUGAUACAUAUGCUUUUUUGAGUUACUUCCAUCGCUUGAACUUUCUUCAUCUCCAAAUAGCCAAGCAAGGAUCCUCCAUUUAAUCUAAGCAAUUCUUUAAAACUUCCAAUUUCUUCACUUUCGUGAGUUACUUCCAUCGCUUGAACUUUCUUCAUCUGCAAACGAGAACAAGAAAGGAGUAGCAUUCAGCAUUCCAUUUUAUUGAGGAAAAGUAUUAAAACCAAGAAGCAAAAAGAGAAUCUAUUAGUUCUCUCAUUAAGUGUUCCACCUCCUUUGUCUUCAUUGUAGUGAGGACUUCAUCUUGAAUCCAUAACCUACUACGCCCUUCAGGAAUUGUUCGAUUUUCUUGACGAACAAUUUCCCUUCCAAGACCUCCAAGUUGAUCGUGCAUCCAAAACUCAUUGUCGUUUACAAUCUUUAUCAAGGACUUGCUUUUGAGGACCUCAAUUCCACGGAUUGGGGAAAAACCACAAUCUGUCCACAUAUAAAUUGGGUUUGUCAUUAUCUCACCAAUGAAAAAGCAUGCAAUAUCCAGAAAAAUUUGUUGCUGCUCAAAAGUCAAUGCUUUAUAGCUAAUCCUCAACUUUUCGAAAACACUCUCUGGAGGUGCUUUGCGUAAAUCGUCCAAUGUUUCUUUCCAUAGGUCUUGUGUUCCAUGGUUCAGAAGUGAACCAAUUACUACAAUAGUCAAAGGAAGGCUUCCAGUAGCAAAUACAAUUUCCUUUGAAAUAUCAUCGCGAUCAUCUGGAGGAGAGUCCUUGUUAAACGCAUGUCUGCUGAAGAGCUGAAGUGCAUGAUCACUACUCAUCAUCUUCAUUUCAUAAGGUAAUAUACUGUACUUCAGUUGAGAGCCUUGCAAAAUAUCCUUGUUUCUAGUAGUAAUCAAUACUCUAGACCCUGAACACAAAGCACCUGUUCCAACUAAUUUCUCCACUUGUUCCCUUUCAUCAACAUCAUCCAAUACAAUGAAGACCUUCAUAUUGCAAAGUGUUUCUUCGAUCCUCUUCUUUCCAUAUUCAAUUGCAUCGAUGCAUUCUAUUCCUGCGGCACUUGCUAUUUCAGAUAAUAACUUCUUUUGCAAUUCAACUAAGCCAUCCAAUCUUGACGACUUUUCUCGAAUAUCUUCAAGAAAGGAGCAACGCUUUCCAAAGUGGGUAGAAAGUUCAUUAAACACGACAUUGGCAAGAGUUGUUUUACCGAUACCCCCCAUGCCAUGAAUUUGAACGAGCCGUCCACCUCUAGAGCCUACGUCUAACAAAUUUUUUACUGCUACCACUUGAUCAUCGAUUCUAAUUAAAUGUUCAGUCACAGACUUUUGCUUUGUCUUCAACUUCUUCACAACCUCGUCAACAACCAACUUAAUGAGUUCCCCCUGGCUGCCAUGAAGGAAAACCAUUUCAAUAGGGGAAAAUUGCAGGGAAGAAAAAAAAAAUCUAAAUUUCAUUCGUGAUACGAUUCCAUCAGACUUCGACGGAAUCUCCUUUUUAUUUUGUUCGUUUCCUAGCAGUUGAUGUUAUUCAAUUACGUUUGCUUAACUGCGCAAUAAUUCAAUAACCAAUAUGACAUCAACAAUCAAGACGUUUCUUCUCAAAUUUUGUACUGAAUGUAAGGUUUUCUUAGUUAUCACUUUUGAUAACUUAACAUUUGUAAUUUGAUGUGUUGCGCAAACCUUGUGUACUUGAUCUUGUAAAAUUCCAAAAUAACACCAAGCAUGCAUAAAACAAAUAUUUUGACUAGAAUGAUGUAAUUGACCUUAAAGGAUUUCAGAUUUGAUUUUUCUAGCUAAUUCUAUGAACCAUAAAAAAUAUGAAUCUACAUCACUUUCAAAGGCACUUUUCAUUCACAUUGCUAGGUGCCACGAGUUGCAUUGUGUCAUAAUGAAAAUUGACAAUCCCAACAUGUGAUUAGCAAUCCUCAAAUUAUGUUAAUCUUCUUUGUGCAAGAUGAAUGUACAAAUAUUUAUGCAUUGCGAAUUAGAAUUUUAUCAGUUAUAUUCAUGGGACAACCUUAGAAGUGGUACAUAAUAUGUUCAGGAGGAGAAAUGUUUGAUGCAUUAAUUGAAAGAUCAAAUUAUUAGACAGGAACGUGCAUGGUAUUCAUUUAUUCCACUUUGUCACCCAUAGUUCACAUUUUAUUUUACACGCAUACCAUUUAGUAUUACCUGUGGAAGUCCCACCUCAAAUGUUGUGAUAUAUCUCUAUUACUAAGUUUUGAGCAGUAGUUCUAGAAGCAUUAGAAUUUUACUAAGAGUUGCUUACUAAAUGACAGAAGUGAAAAAGGAAACAAAAUUCAUACAGACCAUCAAAGAAAGGAAAAAAUGAGCGUUUGUUUCUAUUUUUAUUUCUUCAUUAAAAAUAGACAUAUAUGAUAGUGCUUCUAGUGAAAUCAAGAACACUAAUAUUUUUAGUAGCUCUAGCAUGAUUCUUAUGUUUUUGGAUUCUCUUCUCCUACAUUUAGUAUGUUCCUUCUUUCUAUGAAUUAUAUACUUAGUUUUUGCAAUCAGGAAAAAGAAAUUAGGGAAAAUAGGGAUCUUAGAAUGCAGAAAGCUCACCCUUUGUAUUUCUUGACUUCCCACCCCUUUAUUGCAUCAACCUCUUUCAAAGCCUCUCUCCAGGAAUCUACUUGUUCAGUGCUCAAGUUCUUCUCACGCUCCAAGUUGAGUAUGGCAUCGCGAUACAAUGGAGUUUUCAGCUUAACAUCGUUGGGUUCCACGUCAAAGAAAAUAGGCAGGAUCUCUUUAUGCCCGCUGGACUUGGAAGCGUUCUCCAUAAUCUGUGCGAGCUCGCACAGACACCAUUGGCUUGAAGCGUAAGUUCGAGAGAAGAUGGGGAUGUAGAUCCCAGAGUUGUCGAUUGCUCUCGGGAGCGCUCCAUCAAUUCUUUCACCAAUAGGGAGCUCUUCAUCAUCUCGAAAGACACAGAUGCCGGCAUUGGUCAAGCUAUGGUAGAGGAAGUCGGUAAAUCCAUCACGAGUGUCGGGUCCUCUAAAGUUCAGGAACACUUGAUACUCGCUUCCUGACGAUGUUCCUGCCUCUGAGCUCCCCAUUUUAAACUUUAGCUUUAGCAGCUCUCUUCCACCCUCCCUCGUGGGUGAACAAGAUAGGCCUUCGCCCUUGGCUGAUCGAAGGUCUCAACCACAAACAUAUCGCGUAAAUAUAUCAUGAAUGAGAUUACCAAUGAUCAGAGAAAAGCAUAAAAAAUACCAUCGCAGACUAUUAUAUAAUUUUUUUUUUUUGGUAAAGCAGAUUUUUAUAUAAAUUCAGCUACAGAAUAACAAAAAAGAAGCACGUAUGUAAAUUCCCGCAUUAUAUUCAAACUCCCAAUGAUCCAUAUCAUUUGUAAGUCAAAGUUUUGGAAAGGUUGAGAUUAUCCUGCAAUCUUUUCAUAAAUCCACUUGUCUAUUCUUGUUAAGAAGUUGAUCAGGGAGACUUCGGUCCAAUUAUACAGGAAGGAACGCAAAAAAAUACAAAUGGGUAUAUCAGUCCCGACGAUCAGAUCCGUCCUCGAUCGUGGACAACCGCGCUCAUUCAGAGCAAGGUUUUCAUGAAACCGAACUCUUCAAGGCAAAUCCAGAACAAGUCAGAAGAGAAUCGUACCGUGUUCGUGGUCACUGCUGCUGGGAAAGGGCUUCGUGAAGAUGAAUAUCGAUGGCUCCUGGUCCUGGCUAGCCGAUUCGUCGGAGGGGUUCGUUGCCGGAGUCGCUCGGGACGACCGGGGGACGUCGAUCGCUGGGUUUGAGAAGAAGAUCGUGGCCUCCUCUCCCCUGCAAACGGAAAAACUAGCCCUCAAAGAAGUGUUUGUCGGUGGCUGUGCGAGGAAAGGAAGCUCGAAGACUUUUAAGUCUUCCAAGCGAUCUGAGAGUGCCUUCCAGCUGUAUGUACGGUGCAUGGGCCCCCCGGUGUUUCAUUUUAGACAAUUGAAUUUUCUCAAAUUGUUUCUUGUCGUGAACAAAAAGUGUUUGCGGCAAAAUAAUAGUUGCUAAGGAAAAAAAAUGCCUAGGACACGGAAUUGAUCUUAAAGAACUAUUCCUACAGCACCUAACCAAAUCCACCUACGUUAGGAGAAAUAAUAUCAAAUGAGUAAUAAAUUUUAUUGUACAUAUAUUAAUUCAGUAAUAUUUUUUUUUACUAAUAUAACUUUAAACCUUAGUACAAAAAAUUCUAAACAAAGCCUACUGCGAUAUAUUUAUCUUAAAUUUUUUAUGACAUCAAAAAUUCCAAAUUUAUAUUUAUUUCACACAUUAUAUUUAUCCCAAAUUUCUUCUUGUGACACUAAAAAUUUCAAACUUGUAUAUAUGUAAUAGACUUAUCCUAAAAAUAUGGUGUCGCGUAAAAAUUUAGAGUUUUUAAUGCCAGAAAAAAAAGAUUUGAUAUAAAUGUAUCACCCUAUGACACAUAAUUUAGAAAUUAUCUGUAAAAUUUCUAUGCAUAGAGUAGCUUGCUUGAUGUGUCAACCGUUAUCAGGCACAAUACUUCAAUGCGAACCUAAGAAGGACAAUAAUGCACUCGAAAAGGGUAAAAAGAAACACCAAAGAAACACUCCAUGUGCAUACUUUAUGGAAGUGAAGCAAAAGCAAUAGUCGACAAAAAGUUGAAGGGAGGCAUGAAGUUUCUAAAAAAUGCCAAACAACUUUAUAGAAACUGGGUCGAAAGGUGCCCUUGCUUUUCCUAAAAUAAAUACAUAAAAAUAAAAACCAACCUGCCUUUUGAGGCAAGCACAUAAAAUUCUCUAUGGAGGCUUGUUCCAUUUUUCAAUUCUAACCAUUAGAAAGGGCAUCCGGAAAACACAAACAUAAUUCAAGGAGGUGGCUUAUAUUUUGCAUAUAUCUCUGUGCGUGCAUAUGAUUUAGGCAAUGGGAUUAUAUCACGAAUCAUGAAAUUGAUUGGAUACUCUUAAUUACUCAAUACUCAAUAUCAAUAGGAAACAACAUACAACCUAUUUUCUAUAUAUCUCAAAGUGUAUUAAGAAUUUUGAUUCAAGCUUAGCUCCCUACAUUUUCUAGCACAAGUUGAUCUCUUUGAAAGGGAUUAAAAUGAUGACUAUAUAUGUGCAAACACUUUAGAAUCUUCAAAAGAGCGGAAGAAAGAAUAUAGUCAAGAGCGGAAGAAAGAAUAUAGUCAAGGGCUAUAUCUUAAGAAGGAACAAGCUUAGCUCGUGAUUAUUCCCUUUAGUCGAUCUACAUCUCUGAUUGGAGAUAAAAUCUCUCAUUUUCCAUAAGCGUAUUGAAUCGACAUAGAAGGAGAAAAAUAAAUGAAGUGCAGGCUGUGUUGAUGUCAUGACGAUUGUAAGUGGGGGCAGUUCCGCUGUUUUCAAACUCUCAAGCAACCCUCAUCAACGGUUCCACACCCUACGAAUUUCUUUUUUUCUUCAAUUUUUGUCUCCUUUUAUUUAGGUUUUCUCUGAUUUUUUAAAUAAUUUCUUUGGUCUUUCUUCGCCUCAUUAGCACCAAUGUAGAAAGAAAUUACAAAGCGCCACAUCCAAUUUUGGAAUCUAUGUUAGCAAAUUUGGUUAUGAGUCUGUCAUAAAGAUUAAAUUGUACCCAACAAAAAACGUUUAGGACUUGAUUGCACACAUUCAAAAUUUGGGACUUGACUGCAUAUUCGGCCAAACAUUAUGGACUUUUUGGUGUGAUUUUCAUUUAUAAGAACCUAAAAUGAGAAUCAGCAUAGUGGAUAGUAAAUAUUUUUAUAAGAUAAUAACAAAUGAGGGUUACUCAAAUAAAAAUUUAUAGUUUGAUUCCCAUCCUACAUUAAUCUCUCCCACCGAGAAGAGCUCUACUAUUGACUGGUUUUCCCAUGCAUCUCUUGUCUUGAUUUGGCAUGUCCUUCCACAGCUGUCGAAUAAACUUGUAGAUUAGCAGCAAAAAUAGCAUAUUGGUUGUGAGGACAAACUUUCACGCCAACAAGCGCAAGGAGAGGGAAAUCGCGUGGAGUGGGGUCGCUGUUCCAGCCAUGCGUGUGUAAUGAACACGUGAAAGUUCAACUCUAUCUCCUUGUGAAAUCCCCCAUGUAAACGCAAAAAAAAUUGAAAACGCGUGGCACGACUCUAUUAUAUGUUGGCAAAAGCAAAAGGGGAAAGACUCGUGCAUGAUUUUUAUCUCUUUAGUGUUUUUCCACAACUUUUUGUUUGUCAUUUUGACAAUUCAACUCAAUUGUAAGUCAAUGAAGGAUACAUAAAAGAAAAGGAGAGGAAAGAGACACGAAGAGGACAAGAGACUUUUGCAAUGAGGUCGAAACUUUAUGGGGCUUCUGAGUUGAUGGGAUGUUAAGUUGAAAAUGAGAGAAAUUGAGUCGGAAGGUACCUGUGCCUGUCCUAAAGGAUAAAAAUUAAAUUAUCUUUUGAGUCAAGCACAUAAAUUUCUCUGGUGGGUUGUCCCAUUUUUCAACUUCAAUUAUGCAAAAGGCAUCUUGAAAACACAAACAUAAUCGUUGAGAAGUGCCACAGAAGUGAUCUAAGGUAUUUGGACUAUAUCACGACUCAUUGAAUUGGUUGCAUGUACAAAGCAUCAAAUAUUCAAUAAGAAAAAAAAAAACAAAACCUCUUUUUGUAUAUCUCUGUGCGUGCGUAUAAUUUGUUUCAUGUUUAGCUCUCUCCAUUUUUUAGUAUAAGCUAAGCCAACGAAUCAUAAAAUAUUAAUGAAAUAUAUAACUUACAAUUUAAUAUAGCUGAGCCUCACAAUAAAGGAAAUUAAAAUGCCUAGGUUCGACAAACUGAUCAUCCGUUUAAAAAUAGGACUCGCGCGUAAACCAAUUUGGUGGAAAAUUUCUAUGCGAUAUAAUCAGUUAUUUCAGCUCUAAUACCAAAUAAUUCGAGACAAUAAGGAGAAGAAGUGAAUCAGAAGCGGAAAGGGGAUGCCAAGAUCAAAAUUGACAACAAAGAAGAGAAAGAAAUUGAUUUGUGAAAUUGAUUGAUGCUCUCAAAAAAAUCAGAUACUCAAUAUCAAACAACAUAAAACUUUUUUUUAAAUAUAUCUCCAUGUCUGCAUAUAAUUUGGUUCAACUUUAGCUCUAUCCAUUUUUUGGCAUAAGUUGAUUUAUUUGAAAGGGGAUAAAAUGCCGACUAUAUACGUAUAAAUAGUUUAAAAUGAGAGAGAGAGAGAGAGAGAGAGAGAGAGAGAGUAGACAAAAACUACAUCUUUAGGAGGAAUAAGCCUUAGGCCCCGUUUGGUUCGGCAUUUAGAAGGGGCUUUUGGCCUCUAAAGGGGUUUGGGCAAAAGCGGAUGGUGUUUGGUUCAACAUUUUGGGGACUUUGGAGAGAUGCAAUUGCAUCUCCAAGGGGCUUGAAGGGGCUUUAGGGGAAUAGAGGGGGAGAGGUCCAUUGGGAAGUUGCAUUUUCGGAAUGCAACUUCUACUGUUCAUCUUCACCGGAGAGAAGCCGAUUGGAGGCCGACGACCGCCGGCCAAGGGGUCGCGCGCGCCGGCAAUGCGCCGGCGACCGCCAGCCAAGGGGUCCCCCGACCCCGGCGACCGUCGCCGGACCUCAGGCGACGCCUGGGUCGCACGAACCAGGCGGCUGUCGCCUGAAUCGCCCGACCCAGGCGGCCGCCUGAGGUCGCGCGACCCAGGUGGCCAAAUCCGGCCAUUCGGCGGUCCGGCCGCCAAAUCCGACGGUCCGGUGGCCGAACUUCAAAAAAAAAUAAGACAAAUGCUUUUUUGUUUUUUUAAUUUAAUAAAAGUCAUUUACAAAUGUAAAUUUUACCAAACGGUAUUUUGACCAAAGUUGCAUCUCCAUGCAAAUUUUACCAAACGAUAUUUGCAUUUCGGAAAACCCCAUUCACCCAAAGGUAUUUGCAUUUUGGCAAAUGCAUUCCCCAAAAGCCGAACCAAACGGGCCCUUACUCGUGAUUACUCCCUUCAAUCGGUCUACAUCCCUAAUUCGAGGUAAAAUAUUUUAUUUUUCAUAAGCUCUUUGAAUCGACAUAACAUUCUAAAAAAUCAAGCUAUAUGAUUUAAUAUUUUACAGGCUUGUGGCAACUAAAAUGAAUAGGAUGAUGAGGACAAAGAAAAAGAUGUGUAGGCUCUGCUCAUGGACAUUAUAGUGGGGGCAGUUCUGUCGUCUCCAAACCCUCUAACAGCCCUCACCAAUGGUUCCACUCUCUAUGACUUUCAGUUUUAUCUAGUCUUUGUAUUUUUUUCUCCAAUUUUUAAAUUUUUUUAAUUUUCCUAACGUGGGGCCACAUCAGCACGACAUCAGAGCCAUGUAUGUUAAAAGAAACUACAAAAUGCCAAGUCGGAUUUUGGCAUUUAUGUUAGCAAAUUUGACCAUGAGUUUGCCAGCAAGAUUAUAUUGCACUCAAUGAAAACCGUUUAGGAUUUAUUUGCAUAAAUUCAAAAUUUAGGAUUUGAUUGCAUAUUCGAUCAAAUGUUCUGAACUUUUGGUGUUUCACUUACAAAAGCCGAAAACGAGAAUCUAGAAAGAUAAGAAAAUUUCACUUAUAAGUACCAAUUAUUAAGAUAAAAAUUCUAGUUUAAUUCGCAUCUUAUAUUGGUCUCGCCAACUGAGAAAAACUCUGCUAUUGACAAGUUUCCCAAUGCAUCUCUUUUCUUGAUUUGGCUUAUCCUCCCCCAACUUUAGAAUAAUAAACUUGUAGAUUAGCAGCUAAAAUAGCACAUUGGCUGUGAGGACAAAUUUUCACACCGACAAGCGGCUGGCACAAAAUCUAUAUGGUACAAUAUGUGUUCUUGGUUGUAAUGUUCCAUCAGUUAAGCGAGAUUGACAAUUUUCUCAUUGAUUUGACUCACUAACCCUUGCAAAACUUCCGAACCAAAAAAGAAAGAAGAAAAAAACUCUUGCAAAACAUGAACAUGGCGCACCCAUUUCUUUAACUUUUUGUCAUCAUAAGACUCACUAAAACCAUAUUACAGUUGAAAAAACCUUCAACACAAUUUAGUCAGUGCUUUUGGCUCUAAAAUUAAAUAAUGCAGGAUGAAUAUAGUUCUAAUACCAAUUGAUGAAGAACGUAACUAGAAGGAGAAGAAGAAGGAGAAGACGUCAAGAUUGGUAAUGGAUAGAAGAGAAUAGAAAUAUAGGAGAGAACACAAAAAUCAAUAUUAAUUUAAUAUUCAAUCAGUCUCUUGUUUUAAUUGUGAUCACAAAGCUAGCUUUGGAGGAUAUUGGAUAUCAUACAUGUUUCUCGUCCAUGAUUGUCCAUGUUUAAACCUAUUAUGUUGAUAGAUAAGUCUCCCAUAAGCUCAAAUUAGUACAAGACGAUUUAAAAUUGUGCAAGGUUAGCAAGCCGCCGUCAAGACGGACAAUAACACUAGCAUCAGCCGAAUGGGACUGCCUAGUAGUCCAAAUCAAAGUUUUAUCCCCCUCAAAACAAGAUCAAAUUGAAUCGAUCUGAGAGAUGGCACAGUUUUUACACACAUGAUUAAAAUGUAAGAGAUAAAAUGCAAGGGAUAAAAUAAUGCCAAUUUCUUUGGCUGUAAAAGUAAUAAUAGGCCACUUUAGUCAAGCCAUGUCCAAGUAAUAAACACACGAAGCUUUCGCUCAACUCCUCGUGAAAGCCCCACGUAAAUGCAAAGAAAGUGAAAUGGGUGGCUCGAUUCCAUUAUAUGUUGGAAGAAGAAAAAGGGGAGGCACGUUUCUAACAUUAUCUUUCGUGUUUUUCCACAGCCUUUCUUUUUGACAAUUCAACUCAAUUGCGAGCAAGGGAUGAAGUAUACAUAUAAAAUAAGAAAGGAAAGAGACACGAAGAGGGCAGGAGACUCUUGCAAUGGCGUCGAAACUUUUUGAGGCUUCUUAGUUGCAAGGAUGUUAAGCAGUAAAUGAGAGGAAAUUGUGGGGGCAAGUAAACACAAUGAUUUUGUGUUCUCUUUUGUAACCAACCAUGACCUAAGUCCACUCUAUUUGGUUUUCUAUAUUUGCAAGACAAACUUUAAAGUAUUUAAUUGCUGGAAGCUAGAUUUCACUUGAUCUAGUAACAUCUAUUCAUAUAUCCUGACAGAAGAUUCAAAAUAUGACAAGAUAAGAGUUAUAUUUUCCUUCGUGAAUGGAGGAAAUUUUCUCCAGCUAUGCCUCUUAUUAUUAGGUUAUAAGUCAUGGAUAUCCCUCAUAUGGAAACUAAACUAAAUAGGAAUGCAGGUGAUGUCUAUAUUUUUCACUCACCAAUCAGAGGUAUGAUUUCCUCCAACUAUGGACACAUGAAAAACAUGGCUUUAAUAAUAGUGUACAGCAAUUUAUUGCCGUAAUUAUGUAUCUAUCUCCACAUUAUGAAAUGGCAUCAGUCAUACCUACAAUAAUAGAUAGUAUGUGGCCCAUCUCUAUUUUCCGUAAGAGUCAUUAUAUGUGAAUGUUUCACAUCUCUAGCAAUGUUUUUCAAUUUUCUAGUUGAUUCCACUUGUCCUAGAGCCUCAAAAAGGACUUGAGUCAAUUCUUCAGUAUCACUCUUUAAAAAUUAUUCAACAUGAUUGUAUUCUUGCGACUAUUUUAAUGAUGACAAAUAAUUAGAAGGCUAACAAUAUGUACAUUUGGAGUGGCAUGUUGAUGAAACAUCAAAUGUUUUGACAAACCUCAAUAUUGGAGAAGGUAAACAAAUUACAUGACAUUGUAUCGCGGCCAAAGAGUUUUGAAUGUAGAUUUGUAAGGACCUUGGUACAAGUAGUGAAUACACAACGGCACCAAAUAUUGUCAAGUUAUCUGAGCGAAACUAUAGGCAGAAAGUGGACAAUCUACAAGAGAUGAUGGACUUCUAUAACUAGAUUUUGAGUGUCUACAUGCUUGAUGAAAAAACUCAUCUUAAAAAUUUGAUUUGAAUUCAAAUUGGUAAUUUGUAGUAGGAUCAAGGCAACGGAAUAUAAGGAAAAUAGGUAGGUUAGAGAAGAUGGAUUAGAUCUUAAUUUCAAGAAGUGUCCCGGGAAAAAAUGUAAAUUGCAUUGAGAGUGAUAUUAUAUUGAAAGGAAAUACACGGAAUUGGAAAUUGACAUCACUGAAAGGACAUUGCACAGAGAUAAAAGUGCAUGAAAACGAAAAUAGAAGGAAAUUGAAAGCACAAACUCGGUGUGAGUCUUCAUGUUGUUUGUGAGUGUCCAAGAUUAGUCGAGUCCACCUUAUUUUUCUCUAGCUCCCGCACUUCACAUGUUCGGUAACUUCUUAUGUCUUCAUGUUUGAUAAAUUCAUUCAACCUAGUUUGGUCAAAUUCAUACAUGACAUGGUUAAAAUGGACACUCGUUAAUGGUCGCCCAUAGCACCGGAUUGCAACUUAGUCUAAGUGCAAAUAAAGAUAAGAUGAAUUAUGUAUAAACCCAAGUGAUGAACUAGGUUUAGAUAAAAGUAACUAGACCAAAGAUAUGGAACUCUUAUCCAUCAACCAGAAUUUUUGCUUGGUGAGUUACAUGUUAGGCCGUCAUUGACAUGCAAACUUAACAAAAAUUAAAUGUUGGUGAUAUUUAUGUUGGUAACCUAUUAAUCAAAAGACUAACUAGAGAAAAUGUCCUUUUUUGAAGGGAACAUAAAUCAAGUGAAAAAUCUUGAUAAUGAUUAUCACGUUUUGUUAUAGUAAUUAUAUCAUAGACAAACGACUGUAUAUACACUUCUUGGUGAGAAAAUCCUCAAAAUCUCCCGUUAUUCUACAAUCACGCUUGGGUUCGAGUAUGAGCCCGGAAGCUCUUUGCUUAUUGAUGACCAAAAUGUAAACUGGGCCAAUAAUCCUUACCCGGAAGCUCUGGACUUUGUUAGGUUUGAGCCGUUAUUUGGAUUGCACCAAACAUACGUGAUUUCUUCCUUUUUCAGCCCAUGGAGAUCACGUUGAUAUUCAAUUUAGCGUGUUCAAAAUUUGAGACACCAUCCGUAGGUGGAGCGUAUGUCAGACGAAUAGAAGGGACGAUAUAGUUAGAGGCAUCCUACCAAGCAUGGCCUCAUGUCGGGACCUUACUCAGCAGGGUUACACAUGUAUUAAAAUAAAAAUGAGUUUAUUGUUUUCAUACUAAGUGUGGAUAAUAUGCACAUCUUAUUGAUUUCGAGAUUUUUUUUUUUUUUUGGUACUGUGAAAAGAUGUAAAACAUUCGAGGUCGAUUAAUCUAUAAUCGUAAAUCAUGAAGGAGCAAACACCAAGUGGGGUUGGCGAGGGUCAUCAGCUCCUUUGAGCGUUCUGUAUUUACUGCAAUUUGAAGGACCUAAUUGCAAAUAGUGAAUAGAUCAUGGGGCAAGGGCCAGAAAGUGAACAAUCUACCAGACAUAAUGGAUGGCUCUAUUGCAGAAGAGCAUCUAUAGACUUGGUGAGAAGACUCGGCUUCAAAAUAAAAUGAAGUUAAAGCUUUAUAAUCCAUGGAAAGUAGGAUCAAGGCUUUAAAUCCAUUGAAAGCAGGCCAGAGAGAAAUCGAUUGGCUUUUGCCUUUUUCAGGGUAAGUAUGGAAGGCAACGGUGAAUGCCAAAAGCAAAGAAACUAUUUUACUUGGAAUACAGCCAUCGGAAAAAUUUGAAUUUACAAGGUCACUUGGAAUUCAUGACCAAAAAAAAAAAAAAAAUUCUCAACAUGGUUCAAGUAGGACCCAACAAUAAUCCCCAAAAAAAAUUAUUUUUAUCCGGUCCCAUUACUUUGGAAUAAACAUCGCCCUCAUCGAUUCGUCAGUCAUCGGAAUUUGUGACUUGUUUUACUUUUGGGAAAAUUAUCCAAUUAGUUGUAAACUUAUCAUAUAAAUUAUAAUUUAGUCGUAAACUUUUUAAUUUUGUCAAUUAAUGUUAAACUUUUGUUCAAAAUUCCCAUAGUUGUUUCGAUCAAUUUUUGCUGAAAAUUGCCCUAUGUCGGCAAUUUCAAAUGAGGUGUGCACUUCCUUUAUUCAUCAGGGACAAACUUAACCUUAUCACUCAUUGACCUUCAUACACCUCGCUAUCAAAAGAGUUGGCAAUGAUUAAAAGAAAGUUUCUUAUAACAUUAAAAUCCUUCUUAUCCUAAACAUUGUCAAUUCCAACCUUUCAUCCACCUUUUGACUAAUUAGAAGGAGCUUGGAAUUUUAUAUGCUCUUUUUACAUUAAAUUGCCUUCAAAUAAGUAUAUAAGUUCGGAGUUUUUGGUAGUAAACAAAAAUUAAUUUAUAAUAAAUUUGUUAUAAAUAUCAAUUUUGGGGUUUUACGUAAUAUAACUCUUUACCAUUUAGGGUUUUUGUGAUAUGGUGACAAGUGUCACUAUCUCACGGGUGAAAGUAUAAAAGUACGUAUUAUCCUUGUGUGACUAAUGGCAAGCUCACAAUGGUAGGGAUUUGGGUCAAUGAGAAGGUGCCAUGUCGGGUGAGAAUUUCAAGCUAUAGAAAGAAAGGUGUGAUAUGAGGUCGAAUUAGGCCCAGCUCUAUCUGAGCUCUAUCCGACUGGGCCUAAUAAGUCGGCUCCAUCUCGGUUAAAUUGGGUUAACCAAAGUCUUUAUAGUCUUUCAUAAUUAACAAAAUCUUUCAUAAUUAACAAAUUUUUUUGGCUACGUUUGGUCGUCCGGAUUUCUAAUCGGGAUAGGAUUGGAUAGGAUAGGAUAUGAAAUCCUAGGAUUUUUUUAUGUCCUGUCCAAUGUUUGGUGAAUCACAGUAUUAAAGUCGGAUAUGUUCACAUCAUAUACAUUUUUAUUUUUAUUUUUAUAUAAACGACAUAUCAUUAUAAAUGAACAUAAAUGUUCAUAAAUGAAGAUGGUGAAAAUAUCUCGUAACACUAUUCCUUAAUUUAUUUAUUAUUUAUUAUUUAUUAUAUUUUUCCUCUUUUUUAUAUUAUUUUCAUUAUUAUUUCAUUUUUCCCUUUCAUCUUCUUUAAUAAAAAUUUAUCAAAUAGUAAACUAUACUAACAUAUUUAAAAUAAAAAAAUACCUAAAAUAUAUAAUAAAUAUAAAUAUUUAAUUUAUAGAUUGAAUUUUUAUUAUAAAAUAGAAUUAAAAUAAGAUUAAUUAAAAAUAAUUUUUUAUUUUUAUUUUCUUAAAUUAGAAUUCAAAUAUUAUUUAUAUUGAAAUAUAAUUUCAAUUUUGUUAAUUUAAUAAAUUUGUUAUUAAAAAAAAAUAACUUUCCUAUUAUGGACGUUAGAAAUCCUAUCCACCUUUAUCCCACCCCCCAUGGGAUAAUUUUAUCCUGUUUGUAUCCCCCUUAUAUCCGACUUUAUCCUAUCCUGAGUGAGCACCAAACGUAAGAUAGGAUAAAUUAUAUUAUAUCCCGAAUUUUAUCCUGACUGCCAAACGCAGCCUAAUAGUCUUUCAUAAUUAACAAAAUCUUUCAUAAUUAACAAAUUUUUUUGAGAUACCAGUUAGGAAAAUUCAUAUGUCAACACUACUUACAUAUAUUUAGGGAAGUUUCUUGAAAAAAAUCAAAUGUCGUAUAUAUAUCGAGAGAUUAUUUGAUGGGUGUAUUAUAUAUACUAAAUUGUAAUCGAAUCAUCUGUGGUCAUGAGAUCCACGAGGGUUGACGUGAGACGUACCAAAUCUUGCCGUUUCGAUGCAGUUUGAUAUUUGUGACACUCACCCAAUGCCCGCCCCUCCUAGAUAAGAAGGCAAUACAAAAAAAUCUCAGGCUAAAUGACCGACGAAAUUAAGGCGACAAAGAAAAAUGGAUCACAAUUCCUUCUCACUUUUAUGUCCUUUACUCACUUGAUGCCUAGCUUUGCGUUGAAAGAACAUAAUGAUAAGACACCACUUAUCUUAUAAGACACGCCCCACCCCGCCCCCCCACCCCCAAGCUUCAGCUAUGUGUUCAAGGAUUGCUCUAAGGCUGAGUUUAGUUCAAUGGAAAUGAUAAUGGUGUGGAUACAUCUCUUAUGUUUGAUUUUCCCAUUUGAAGGACAUGAAAGGGGUGUAAACGGUUCGGUUCGGUUCGGUUAUUUUGAAAAACCGAACUGAACCGAACCGUUAGAGAAAAUUUCCAAACCGAACCGAAUAAGUCCCGAAACGAUAACGUUCGGUUCGGUUCGGUUCGAUUUUUCGGUUUUCAACUUUUGGUUUUUUUGAGUUCAACUUAGAUGGAAACCGAUAAAAACCAAGAGACACGAAAGGACUAGAGAUGGGAGUCGGGAGAGAACCGAAUUAGAUUUGAUUUUAUCGGUUUUCGGUUCGGUUAACUGAUAAAAACCGAACCGAUAAAUUUUUUUUGGUUUUUGAUGAAAACCAAACCGAAAACCGAACCGAACCGAAAAAAUCAAAUUUUUCGGUUCAGUUCGGUUCGGUUUGCGGUUCAAUUUUCGGUUCGGGUCUUGAUGCCCCUAAUGAAUAUGUUCUUUUAUAACAGUUUGUGCUUAAUUAAUUAAAUGAAUUUAAGAAGAAACUGCAGAUUUUCCUUUUCUUAAAACCGAACAAGACGUCCCUUCGACUGAGCAUUCCCAAAAAAUAUUCCCUUUUUUAGUGACAUUUCCAAAAUUGCCCUAGCAUUGAACUCCAUUUGAACACGAGUCAUCCGUUACCAUCCCAAUCACGCAAAAAGCAUAUUUUUUUUAAUGCAUUUUUGAAGGAAAACAAUGUACCUUUUUUUCAACCUUGUUAAUAUUAACAUACUAUUCAAUUGAAAAAAAAAAUUUGAAAUACUAUAUUUGAAUCUUCGAAACUCGAAAAGGUCAACAAACUUGAGCACAAGAUUUAGGAGAAGCGAAAGGUAAAAAUUAAAGAGUAAAAGUCAUUCCAUACAUAUAGGAACAUGUACGGUGAUUAAACAACAACAUACAAACCCCUACUAUACGUCAACAAAACCAAUUAUAAUGAGGACUGAGACUUUUGAAAAUCUUAUCUGUAGAAGUCUCCAAAAAGACAAUAUCCCUAGAUCCUAGCCCUGAUCAAUCUGAGAAAAAAGAGGUUAAUGAAGGAAUAAGCAAUCACUACCUCAGCAAAUGAACUCUCAAGACUUAGAAUAGGACAUCAAGUGCAUUCUUAAAUGAAACCUUGCGAUUUAACAUAAUAAGCCGUGAACACAAAUAUAAAUGUGACGUGAAAUUGUCUCACUCCAGAUCAAUCACCCAACCAACAUAGAAGCUCAACCAAUCACAUAUCAUAUUAUGAGACUAAAGUCCGUAAGUGUAUUUCAACCCAAUAACUAAGACAUCCCUGACAACAAGGCAUUGCUUUGAGAGAGUUUUUUUUUUAUUUUUUUAUUGAUUUAAAGUAAAAACUUCAUUCAAUUCUCAAGAUGAUGCAUGAGAGGUUCAAAACAAAGCAGAUACAAAAUAGCAAAGUAGAAUAAUAAAGUAAGCACACUUUCAUCCCACAGGAAUAUAUUUGUCUCAGCAUAAAAAAAAAAAUGAAUAGUGGCCAAUCACCAAUCUCACAUCAUCAUAAGUAAUAAGCACAUACUAUAAUCUUCUUCUUCAAUAGCUACAGCUUUCCGGAUAGUUGAUACAUGCUUAGGUUCAAUGUUCUCAAUGCCAUCACCAUAUAGAGACACCAAAAACAGGUUAAACAGGCUCCCAAAUCUAGAUCUAGAUCGGGAGAUGUUGAAGGAGCACAGCAAAGCCUUUAAGGAACUCCCAAAUAUAAAUAUAGAUCAAAAGAGAAGAGCUUUCAAAUCUAGAUCUAAAUUAUUUGAGAGAUGAGAACUUCCAAAACUCGACGGAGUCGUAUAACCACUUUCAAUGAGUAUGAACUCGGCAUAUUUCUCUUCAAUCCCAUUGUACUUCUUGGUUUGGACGAUCUAUUGCCUAACGAUGGAAGCUGAAGAUACGCCCAGCGAACAAAGAAUUGUAUCAACAGUGAGCAAAAGAAAAAACAAAAAAACUUAUUUACAAUAGGCUAUUUCUAAACUAAACUUAUUUGUUGAUGUGACUUCAAUCACUACUUGUUUAUGGUGUUGGUAAGAAAGUUGAAUAAAAGUUGGAAAUAAUAAGAGAAUUAUUUUUGUUAGCAAUUAGAGAAAUUGGUAACUUUUAUAAAAAAAAUAUAUAUGUGUGGGUAACUAACUCAAAUAAAGAGUUAAUAACACAAAGUUCGUCGGUAAUGCAAUCAUAGAAAGAAGGUUGGCAAGGCAAAUAAAGGAUGGUAAUUCAAUAGAAAAAAGAUGAAUGCUUUAGCAUGACAAAAACUUUUCCCGUUGGCCUACCAACGAUAGGGGCAUUUCUCUGCACAGAAAAAUUAUGUGCUAUAUAUCUAAAUUACCCGCAUAGAAAGCAUGAUCUACUGUCAGUUGAAGCAUCCGUUAAUAUAGAACAAUCAUGUGCUACAUGUCCAAUUUUCCUACAUAGAAAGUAUGCCCUCAUACAGACAAGUGUUCUAUUCCCACAGGUGUCAUAAGAGCCCUGAUUAUUUUGAUUUAUGGACUUUCUUGGCAAAAUUAUUAGUCCCGUUUGGUUCGGCAUUUGGAAGGAGCUUUUGGGCCCUAAAGGGAUUUGGCCAAAUACAAACGUGUUUGGUUCAAUUUUUAGGACAAUGUUGGCAAGAUGCAAUUGUAUCUCCAAAUGACUCUAAGAACCUUUUAGCUCAAAGCAGCUUUGGAGAUACUUUGGAAAGUUGCAUUCACGGAAUGCAAGUUCCACGAGUACUGUUCAUCUUCUUCAAAGAAACAAACGGAGGCCGACGAUCGCUAGCCAAUGAGUUGCCCAUGCCGAUGACCACUACUUGAGGCGUCGCCUAACCCCGGCAAUCACUACAUGAGGCGUUGCCUAACCCCAGGGAUUGCGGCCACCCAGUGACCGCCGUCUAAGGUUGUGUGAUCUUAGGUGAGGCGGCCUGAGGUCCGACACAUAGGGUUCGUGACCCAGGCGAUUGUCGCUUGGGUUCAUGCGACCUAGGCAACCGAACCCAUGCGAUAGUCGCUAGACCUCAAGCAACUCCUGGGGUUCGCGACCCAAGCGAUCAUCGCUUGAGUCACGCAUCCUAGACAGCCGCUUAGGUCACAACCCCAGGCGUCGCCUGAGGUCAUGUGACCUUAGGUGAGGUUGGCCGCUUGAGAUCACAUGACCUUAGGUGAGGCUAUUUGGCAACCAGAUCUGGCCGCUGGUGGCUAUAUUAAAAAAAAAUUAAAACUUUUUUUAAUGAAAAAUUUAGCAAGAGUCAUUUGCAAAAUGUAUUAAGCCAAAGUUGUUUCAUAAUGUACCUUAAAAUUGCAAUUUACCCAACGUUAUUUGUAUUCUAAAAAUCCCUUUAGCGCACAAGUAUUUGCAUUUUCCCAAUGACAUUUGCCUAAAGCUGAACCAAACGAGGCCAUCACCUCUUCGUUUAUUACCACUUUGAGCUUUGAGUAAGCUUUCCAUUGGCCUGUCGAAAUUGUUUUAUUUACGAAUAAACUUGGUUUAAUCAAAUCUUGCUUAGGUUUCUACUUGAUUUUAAUAUAUGUUUUUACUUAAUGAUAGGAUUUUCAUUUUUUCUACUCAACGCAAUUUUUCUUGUUUGGUUUUCCAAUGUCAGAUCUAGCAAGAGAGGCCUCGUUGGUGUUCACCUCACCUAGGUGCGACCUAACGAGGCCAACUCUCACCUGGGAGAGGCCAUCCCUCAUCAACCAUGGCCUGAGUCACCAGAAAUUGCAAAGAGAACAUGGAAAGAUAAAAAAAGAAGAAAAUUAUUAAAAAUUUAUUUAAAAAAAUCUACAUUAGCGUCAGUUGUGCUAUAUAAUACGAAUGAUGUCAAUGUCAGUAAUUUCCAACCUAAAUUUGUCAAAUGAACAUAAUUUGGACCAAUGUGAAAAAAUUAAGUAUUAAAUUAGCUCAAUUGAAAAGUUAAUGACUAAAUUGAUAGCAAUGACAUAGGUGAGGACUUUUUUUGGCACUUUUUUUCUUAAAUAGCAUAUUAUAAUACAACAACUAGAAUAACUAUCAACGGUUACAUACCAACAGCCAUGCCCAACAGCUGAGUUCGUGUUGUCUAGACUAGGCCUGAGCGGUCAUAGUCCGCUGUCCUCACCGAUAUACUCGGUGGAGAUUGAUAUCACCGGAAUUUUUCUUUACCAAGGUUGUCAAAUAUUUGGCUUGUUUAAAUGGACGAAUACCAUUAAAGACAACUUUUUAAAAAAAAAUUUCACCGAUGCCUAUGCCUAAUGAGUGACUUGUUGGCUUUGGUUCGUCUCUGUUAAUCGGUGGUGUCAUUUGCUGUGGUUUUUCCUAUGUUCUUUUGGUCUCUUGGGUUCGGCUUUUUUUUAUAGCUAGGAAUUGGAGUGAUUCAGGUUUUUUGACUCAUGAAUGAACUCGACAUCCUCAAAAUGUAUUUGCUGAUUGUCAAUUGUGAUGUGAACGGGUAUGUUCUGACUUGCUUUCCAUUGAUUUCUGCAUUUUUUUUUCGCCUUGGUUUCUUUUCUUUUCCUUGCUUUGCAAGUUUUAACCUCUGUUAGUUUCCUAAUAAAGCCCAAUUUCCCACUUGAAUUAUGAGGUUUUACCCUGCUUUUUCUUCAUUCCAAUUCGUGCAGUCCACAUUAUUUGAGUUUCAAUUAUCGUUCAUGUUAUGUCUUGGUCACAUUUUAAUGUCCUAAGAAUUUGUUUUGAGUGAGGAUUUGAACCUUGUUGACAUCCAAAUGUCUACAUUUUAAAUAUCCAUUUAUAUAUAUAUAUAUAUAAAGAUGAGUAAAAUAGGUGAUAUAAAAUGAAUAAAAAGUAUUAAAAAAAGAAAAAAAGAGUCGAGUGGGCCGGCGAAGUUAAGCCCAUUCUUUUUUAUGCUUUCGCAGCCCAUUCCUUUAUUUCUUCUUCAGCCCAUCCAUUUUUUGUUUAUUCUUUGAGCCCAUCUGAAACAAUUAAGAAAAGAGGCCCAGCCCCACAUGCUCUCUCUCUCUCUUUUCCCUUCGCACGACCGACAUGCGGGUGACAGAAGGAGACGAACUCAGCAAAGGAAGCGGCCAUGAGCGGGACCUCCACCUGAUCACCAUCUCCGUCUCGACUUCCAGAGCUUCUUUCCUUCUUCUCGGACGUUCUCUCGUCGCCUACUCAGCUGCGACGGCGCCCUCGAAGUUCCGAUUUCUCCUUGUCGUGUAGAGUCUCCCUUCUUUCUAUCGGCGCGUGGCGACGUCGCUGAUCGUAGUUGUCCGGCGGCGAGAGCGAGCUUGAGAGUUCGAGGAGUGCGAGAUGUUGUCGAUCCUGUGACGAAAAGCCGCCGCCAGAGUCACGGGUGCUAUGCUGUUAAGGAAGAUACCGGAGAGAAGAGGGAGGACUCGCGUUUUUGAGGAGAGGACGUUCGGCCGUAGAGGGAGGUCGGGAGGAGAGAAGGUUUUUGGCUGGAGGAGAAACGCCGGCCGAAGGUCUCUUCAGAGUCGUCUGAAGCUUCACCGGAGGCCAGCUCGCCGUCCACCGUCCGCCAUAACCGAUUCUCGAUCCAGGCGAGUGCCUUCCUCCUUUGUAUGUGACGUGUUCCUACCAUAUUGGAACUCGAACCGUGCACGAUGAAGUCGCGGGGAAUUUCGUGUAGAAUGACACUGAUUUGUUGCUUGAUGAUCUCAUCCGAAUGCCUGUAUGCCGCAUUUAGACCGAAAAUCAGACGAUAAUCGGAUCAGAAGCUUGUUCUUGAUACUGCCCAUUACCUGUUUGAUGAAAUGUCUAAGAGAAAACCGAAGAGCAAUUUAUGUUUAAACUCAAGAUUGAUCCAUGUUUGAAUCUACACUUAUUGAACAAUGUCUGAUAUUCGUAUUUUCUUUGCAUUUUUCAUGCGAGUUGGUGAAAAAAUUCCUGUCCGAGUUGGUCGUUCAUGGAUCUUCCCCUCGCCGGAGCUUCACCUCCCUUCGCCGGCGAGCCCUACGGUUCAAGGCCGUCCGAGUCAGUUUUUCUCUUCAUUCUAAAUGUAUUCAUGCUUGGUUGAUUGUUGGAUUGCUGGUUUUAGAAAUUCCGGAUCGAUAGGUUUUUAUUUCGUUAGAUUUUGUGUUUGCCCGGCGGGAGACGACGGACGCCGGCAGGAGUAGGCGGCAGGUGGUGGCCCGGUGGCGGCAAUCACGUGGCAAGGGCGGAUCACUGUGGCGUUGAGAGCUGGCAGUCCCAGUUCGGUAAGUUGCAGGGAAGAAGACGUUCGGUGAAGAAGACGUCCUGAGGUUGAAGAUGAUGCGAGGUGAAGGAGAUGGGCAGAAAAGACAAAACAGAGAAAAAGACCAAAAAAAAAAAAAGAAGAAUAAAAACCCCUUAAAAAAUUCAAAAAAACAUAAAAAUAUUAAAAAUAAUUCGCUUUGAUCCGACCAGGUCGGAUCCGAGUAGACGGGUCGGGUCAAUGUGCCGGAUCGGGUGAAUUCGGUCCGAACCCGUUCCCCAAAUAUAAUAAUAAUAAAAUGGACAUUAAAAAUUAAAAAAAUGGAAAAAAUUAAAAAUUGAGAAAAUGAUAAAAAUUAAGGAAAUAAAAAAUUUAGAAAAUUUGGAAAAACAUUAAAAAGUUUGUUAAAAUCAGAAAAUUCAUAAAAUUUAGAAAAUUGAAAAAUAAUAAAAAAUUAGAAUUCAGAAAAUCAUUAAAAAAUAGAAAAUCCAGAAAAUAACAAAAAUUAGAAAAAGCAUUAAAAAUUCAUAAAAUUAUUAAAAAAAGAAAAUUUUAGAAAAGUUGGAAAACCCUUUAAAAUGUUAAAACCUAAAAUUGGAUAAGCCUUUAGGGAUUUUUUUUUUUUUUUUUGUGUUUUAGAUUGUCUUUUCUUUUUAGAGACAAUUUAAGGAUGCUUGCAUACUUCCUAUUAUGAUUAUAAUUGACUGCGCUUUUCAAUAUUUGGAUUUUAAUUCCUUGUUUUAGUAUGGUUAGGACAAAUUUCGACUUUUUUUAGAUAGGUUGCUAUGGUGUUAAUUAGCACAUGACCGAAUUAGAUACCAAAAUGGCGUUAGUCUUAGGGCUAACAUAAUCAAGUCCUUGAGUCUUGAAUCUCUGAUUGCGUAAAUAUUAAUAUUCUCCCAUAUCUUACUGCUUUCUAGCCUACCCAAAAAGGUUAGUGGCGACUUAUUUAUUAAAAUUUUCAUAGGCUUAAUUGAUGAAAAUCUUGAACGCCUAUUGCGCAAGAUAUGGGCUUGGGAGAGUCCAAGUCAAUGGAUGGCCGUCGGCCCGAGGUCAACAAUACCCUUAAACCUAAUAGGCUCCCUUCCCAUGAGAGAGUUAGGUCGCGACAGCUCGGCAACUCUACUGGGGAUCAAACCUAGAAUCUCUAGUUGCUUAAAUACUAAUAUUAUCCCGUAUCUUAUUGGGUUUCUAGCUUACCCAAAAAGACUAGCGGCGACUUCUUUAUUAAAAUUUUCAUAGGCUUGACUAAAUUUUGAACAUCUGAUUUUGCGUGAGAUAUGAGUAGGGUGAGCAGUUUCAGCUUCCGUAUAGGUUCUACUUGGACCUACUCGUUGGAACAGGUUUCUCAUUUUUUGGAACCUACAACCUACCCUCAAUAUCCUAGAAUUUAGAACCUAUCUUAUCACAGGUUCCGAUGGUCUAGUCAAGUUUCAUUUAUAUUAUUAAUUGAACGAUUGCAGUGAAUUAAGACCUUUAAUGACUGUACUCCCUACUACAAUUCAUUGAUCAUAAAGACAUACUAAAAGUAUAAAUAUUGAUAAAGUAAAAGUCAGUCAUAAAAUGGAACUUUAGACUAAUAUUUCUAGAUUAUACACUAAUCAUCAAACGACAUGGAAUAUUACAAGAAUGAGUGAAGACAUGAACAAAAAAAAAAUUGUUACAAGUUUAAGGUUCUAAGUUUUUUCAACUAAGAACCUGAAACCUAUUAGCUGAAACAAGUUUCUCAUUUUUUGAAACCUAGAGUCUACUCUGCAAACCUUGGAAUCACCCCUAGAUAUGGGCUUGGGAGAGUCCUAGUUAAUGGAUGGCUGUUAGCUCGAAGUUGGCAAUACUCCUAAACUUGAUAAGGUCCCUCCUUGAAAGAGGGGUUAGUUUGUGACAAACUUUUAAGAGCUUUUUCUUUACAAUUUUGUGUUGGGUUUGUUGACACCCAAAAUUUUCGUCGACAUUUUAAUCAUCCAUUUUGCAAGAAUAUAAAAAAAAUAAAGAGUCAAUAAAUAAAAAAAUAAAAAAAAUAAUGAAAAUAUAAAAAAAAUAGAGAGAGAAAAAAAAAGAGAAGUAAAAGAAUCAAUAAAAGAAAAAAAAGAGAAAAAGAAAAGAAGAAAAAAAGAAGAAAAGAAAGAAAGAAAAGAAAAGAAAAAAAUGAAAGAAAAUGAAAGAAAAAAUAAGAAAUAAAGAAAACCAAAAAGGAGAGAAAAAAAGAAAAAUAAAAAAAUAUAAAAGGAAGGGACGCUCUCUCUCUCCAUGGACGCUCUGGCUCUCCACACUUCGCACAGAGUCUCUCUCUCCUCACACGGGCUCUCUCUCUCUCUCUCUCUCUCUCUCUCUGCGUUCGUAUUUUCUGUGGAGUCAUCAAUGGAGUUCGAGGCAGUUGCAGCAGAACCCUAGCCUUCCCACGACGUCAAUAGCGGCAUCUUUCUUGCGCUUCUCCUCGGAUCAUCUUCAUGCCAUCUUUUGAGCUCAUGGACUAGCGAUCUUCCUCUCGCGGACCUCGUCUUCUCUCGGCCGACUCAGCGCUCGAAGCUCAUUUCGAAGACGCGGCCGCUAGGACUCAGAUCUCGGAUCCCUAGCCUCGAACGAUCCCCGUAGACAUCCGUGAUUCCUCAGGGGAAAAUCUCGACUUCGCUCGCGGUCCAUCGAAGGGAGUUUCCGCAUCCGUCUCCAGUACUUCUCCGUUGAGCUCAAGUCGAAGGCGAGGGUUUUUCUCUCGUUAGCGAGGAUCAGAAAUUGAAGACCGGCGGUUGGGGAUUGCGAGGGGAGUUCCGUUUCGCUCUUUCUCUAGCGAUUCUCACUCAGCGGAUCCCUCUCUUUGUCGGAGAUCAGACGUGAGCUCUUUUUCCAUCCUCCUCGAUCUGUUAGGGUUUUCGAUUUCUGUUCUCUAUUUGCAUCCAUUUGGGUCGUGGAUUCUGAUCUCUCUCUAUCCCUCCUUCGGACGCUCACUCGCUUAAUCAAUCCGACGCCUUCGUCGCGGAUCACGCCCUUCCGGAGCUCGAGAUACAGGUAAUCAGGUUUUUCUCUUAUCUCUCUCUCGAUCGCUCUGUCUCACGCAUGGUUCGUUACUCUCUCCCUGGUUUGAUCGCUGUCUUUUUUCUUCUCGAUCACUCUUUCUCUAUCGAUUUUGUACUUGUAUCUGUUUUUUUAGUUCCGAGGUUGUGUGUUUUCAUUAGCCUCUUCUGCCAAGUCACCUUAGCUUGUGUGUCGUUCAUGCUAAUUGCUAUGUUUGUGAUGUUCUGUUGAUGCCAUUUACUCCAUAACCUGGAAAUGUUCUCCACCUGUUUGAUAAAAUUCCUGAAUUAGACCAGUGUGUGUUUUGAUUCAGAAUAUGAUUGAGAGCUUCCCUUUGCUUGAUCGAUACACUAGUUUUGUUGUAUAGACUUUACUUGUAUUUCGUUUCCUUUCAUUUCAGAACUUAGUAACUAGCCGUUUUAGGAUUUGUUAUUGAAAUUCUUGGGUUAGAUACAUAUCUAGUGCAAAGCAAGCUGAGCAAACAGGACAUGUACAAGAAGAAAAUUGAUUGGUUUUAAUAAAAUUGGUCCCCUGCUGUUGCUGUGUUUUUUUUUUUUUUUUUUUUUUUAGAAUUCCUUGUUCUUAAUAUGGAAUGUGUUCUUUGCUAGAAAGCUGUGAGUUCAUUGGUACACUUCAAUCUGGAUUGCUUUCUAUAUUUUGCCCCUUGAUGAGCUUGUAGUUGUCAGUAAACCAAUAUGGUUGUGCGGCCAUUGGAAGAGUUUUUUUUUUUAUGCUCCUUUCUAGAAACUGCUGUCUUCUAUCGGUUGGGAAUAGCUGUUUGAAACAUGAUAGGCAAGCUACAAUUUUUUAUUUGGUUGUGUGUAUACCCAAUCGUGAUUUGUUCAUUUCUUUUUGUGCCUCUUUCGAUUUGAUUUGUGUAAAUGAGGUGUAUAUGUAAUGCAUGAAUGUUAUAUAGUCUCAAUGUAAGACAUGAAGAAUCAGCAUAAUUUGUAUCACUGUGCUUGCUGCCAUCUAUGAUUGUCUAGCUUGCCACGAAUAUACAUGUUACAUUGUGGUCACCUUGUUGUGUUUGUACCAAUGUGUGAUGAGCUGUGUUGAGAAUUGCGUCAAUUCUUUGUGUGUUUGCUGUUUUGACGUACUGCAACUUUCUGUUUUGGUUGAAACGAGGUGUUAGAUAAGUUUUUUUGACUUCGAGCCCUUCUAGACAUAUAACAUACAUUUCUAGAGCUUCGUUUUGAUAUGUCGCACGCCCUGAAUAGACAUCAUCCGGUCAUCGAAAAAUACCGACAAAGUCUGUCAAUUCUGCAGUAGUUUUUUUAGGUUGAUUUGCUGUUUUGACCUACUGCAAUUUUCUGUUUUAACCGGAACGAGCUGGAAGAUGUUGUUAUUAGGACUUAAUGUCUUCUAGAGAUUUGUAAUAGGCUUCUCAAACUUUCCAUUGACAUAUUAUAUGUGCGAUUUGGUCAUCAUUUGCCCUGCCUUUCCUUUUUUCAAAUCGAGCUUUGAAAUCUGGAAUUUGUCUUGAACUGCAAUGCUGUCUUUUCUGUGGCUAGUUGCUGUUAAUCUUAAAAUAAGAUAGUAGAUUUGUCCAAAUUGCCUUCAAUAUGUUGUAAAAUGACGGUGUGACAUGCUACUAUGAUCUAUUUUUGAUUGAUUUGUUCAUGUUCUUAAUAUUUUUAGAAAUUCAUGCGUUAGGAAUCUUGAGGUGCUUCCUUCAUGGAAUGACAUCCUUUAUCAAUUGUCUACAAAACGGUUUUAGGUAUCAUGUGGGUUACACAUUGAUUGCUCCGCUUGCCUUAAAUACAUAUGUUGAGUGAAUUCAAUGGUGCGUGUUUUGGAAUAAGUGAUCUUUAGUUGGUUCAUUCAUUGUUUUGAGUUGAUUGAGGACCAAGGUUAUAUGGCUUGAAUGUUUGUCAUGUUAUAUGCUUUGUGUGUGAUCGUUAUAUGGAUGAUUUAGGUGUAAUACAUAAUGAUGCUAAAUCUUGGGAUUUCACUUAGAAUUUGAUCUAGAAGACUUUGUGACUUUAGUCACUCUUUGUGAACAUAAAAGAAUGUCUUGCUUUUGAUUGUUUCGAUACGUGAUGAUUGUUUUUUUCAUUUGUAUGCAUCUAAUCAUCCAGAUUUUCUAUAUUAGGUUUAGAAUAGGAUCCAAAAAGUGGAGAAGAAGUGAAGAUGGUGGAGGUCGAUGUCCACUCCGACCGUUAUUCUGUAAUAUUCGUUUUUCUCCCGACAUAUGUCUCGGGUUCCUUGUGUUGUAUAAAACUCGACGAGUUGCGGGUUUUCUCUUUUUCCCUUUUUUUUUUCUUAAUUGUGUUUUCUCUUUUAUAUUUUUAGAAUUGCAUGAUUAGGUUUAUUGCUUUCUCUUGAUUGUUUACUUCAUGUCUUGCACUUUCAAUUUCAUUGAUUGUUUUCUUUUCAUUUUUUUAGAAAUAAAAUAGCAUGAAAAUGAUCAACCACGCAUGAUCACUUAGCCUAGGAAUUGAUGAUCCCGAAAAUGUAAAAAGAAACGCAUGGAUAUAUUAGGAAAAACACAACAUACUGUUUAGGUACCGAAAGGGCGCUAAUAGCAAUAUUAGCGUAAUCCAAGUCCCCGAACCUAGAUAUCUGGUUACGUAGGAAUCGAUGGAGCACUCCCGACUCUCGAUUGGGUUUCUAGUCGACCCCCGAAAAUGAGGCUAGUGGCGACUCCUGUAUAUUUUUAGGUUGUUAUAAAUACCUAGAUUAUAUAAAUAAAUCCGCUGUCACGCGGGGUACGAGCUUGGGAGAGCUUGUGAUCUUGAGAUCAAGUACCCCUAAACCCGACCUUUCCCCAUCUUGGAUACUUUUCGAGGGGGCGGCGAGAUCGGGUCGCGACAGGCUUGUGCUUGGAGGAGUCUACGUUUGUUUAUUCAUGGCUUUGCCUUUCUUAUUGUGGCAAUUUUCUGUUAUGUUCGUGCAGGUAAUGAAGAUAAUAAAUAAUUAGAUUAAAAUUUUAAUGAAGUUGCCGAUCGCUUAGUAAGAAUUGUUAUUACUUUUUGUCUAGGUGAUUUAUAUCCAUGGGAAACACAAGACGUAUGAUCACAUUUGUGGGUUCACGCAUGGUGCAAAUAAGUUGUGAGUUAGAAGAGAAGCUCGAAAAAGUACACAAUGGUGACAAGUUAUGUUAUAAUUCAAAGGUUGAACUGAUCAGCCUCAAGAAGAGAAAUGUGAAUGCAUCAGGUAAGACUUACCUACAUAUAUAUUGUACAAUUUUUCAUCAUACUAUACUGAGAUGGUCCGAGUAUUGAUAUGGUUUGAUAAUAUUAGAUCCUUCUUUUGAUAUUUAGAAUUUCUUGUCUAGUAGCUGCCUCUAGAAAAAAGGAAGCACAACUUUAUGUGUCUAUAGGGCAUAUGGAAUCUUUCUCCUGAGAAAUGCAUCACUUCAAGUUAGGGAAGAAAAUGCAGCCUAUUGGAGGUUUAAGGAGUUUCUUGGAACCAUUGCUAGCGUGUUGGCACUAUUGUUCACAACUUUGAAGCAAACUACCAAGGAUAUGAGGAUGCCAUGAUUAGGAUCGUAGAGGUAGUUAGCUUGUACUUGUAUGAAAUUUUAUUCAUGUCAUAAAUAAAUUUAUCAUCAUUAUUAAUAUUUCUUUGUUGUUGUCUAAGUUUGAUUAUCUUCAUACCAACCAUGGAAAAAUGGAUUCUACAUUCCUUAAUACUGGAAAAGUGAUCUAAAAACUGCUCAAUAUGAUAGCUUUCGAUCAUUCUCAUAUCAUUUGAAGAAUCUGUCAGAAAGAGUGAGGAGAGAUCAAUGCAAAAAUCUAGUGACUUUUUGGAGUUCAUGGGACACAUUGUUUUAAUAUAUGACCUGUCAACUUAAAUAGACUCUCAUUACCUCUUACUGACUAUUUUCUGAUAACCUUGUUUUUUUAAUUGGAGAAGCUGAGUGAAACAAAUAAGGUAAUGGAGCAAAACAAAAAAAUAUGACACACCUUAGGAAACAAAAUUUUUGCUAGAAUAAAAAUAGAAAAGGUAAGUAUUCUCAUGUUUCCCCUUAGAUUUUUGUGUUUCCCUGUAAGUGAUAUUUCCAUUGUGUAAUCAAUAAUUUCUCUUUAGAAAAGAUUCUGCUGAGGUGAUAUCUUUGGACUUAAGGUAAAGAUGUCUAGAGAUAUUUGCCACUUUUCCGACACUACGUGUGUUUAGAUAGCAGUUGUCAUAGGAAGAAAAGAUAGGAUGUGUUCUAGAAAUGCCUCCUUAAGAUUGUCUACGUUCUUAGCACGUGCAUCGAUUUCUUGUUAUUAUUCCCUUAGCUCUAUGAUUUGGAUUUGCUAGUGACAGCACAAUAAUCCACAACUUGGUUCAGGUUUAUCUAGAACACAAUGUCCAAAAUCAUUAACAAAAGAGCUAUGCAGCAGCUAGAGCUAUAAAGUAAAUUAUAAAUGAUGAAACCUGUACAAUUUUCUAUUAAUUUGCUAACGUGACUGCAGUUUGGUUUAAUGAGAGAGAUCAAAAAAUAGAAAAGUACUGUAGCCCUAAAAUACCCAAUUGCUAGCUGUGCCAUUUCACAUGCAUGCACACAUCCCCUUAAUUGUUGAAAAGCCAUUCAAUAUAGUUCAUCUAGUGUCAACAAAUGUUAUUCAGUCUUGGCAAUGACAAUAUUGCUGCUGUAAUGUUAAUCCGGGAGUGUUUAGCUUAGAGAAAAAGGACCAUAGGCGAGCCGACGAAAAUCCCAUUUCGUUUUAUUGAGACGGAUCGAAAAUUCAGGAUGUCACAAUAGGGGUAUUCCUUUGCAUGGAACAAUUGUGUGCUAUAUAUCUAAGUUGCCCGUAUAUAAAAAGGAUGAUCUACUAUCAUUUGGAGCAUCCUCAAUAUAGAACAAUCUUGUACGACACGUCUCAUUUUCCCACAUAGAAAGUAUGCCCUUAUGUUCCAGUAAUACCAACAAGUGUUAUGUUUUCCACAAGUGUUGGCCCUGAUUAUUUUGAUUUCUAGACUUCCUUGGCCUAUUAUUGGGUAGAAGUACAGUAUAAAUGUAAAAUUUUGGUAUGUAGAGACAUUUAAGUAUCAAAAGUUACACAAGGUACACAUAAGUGUCACUUUUUUUUGAAAAAUUGGACAUUUAGGGGGUGUUUGUUUGUAUUUUUUUUUGUUUAUGAACAAAAAUCCUUUUUUUUGUUUGUUCCAGAGAAUAAAAAAAGAACAAAAAUGUGUUUGUUUGCGUUUUUGUUCCAAAUCUAUUUUUUUUUGUUCCCGGGAACAAAUUUGAAACAGAAACAAGAAACAAAAAAACUUGUUUCUUGUUUCUGAAACACUUUUAAGAAACAAAUUUUCUCUCUCUUCUAUUUUUCUUCUCUUUCUUUCUUCUUCUUUUCUUUUUCUUUUUUUUUUGGCCGGUCACCGGCCUCGGCCAUGGCCGACGACCUUGCUAGAGCGUCGCCGGCCCCUAGCGAGGCUCGGCCUUGCCAGAUCCAAGAGAGCCUGAGCUCGCCCAGCCAAGGCGAGGCCGAGCCUUGCGCUGGCUAACGACACUCCGCCUUGCCUUGGUUAGGUGAGCUCGAGCUCGCCCAGAUCUGGUGCCGCCUGGAGGUGGCCCAGCGAGGCUCAGCCUCACCAAAUUUGAGCGAGCUCGAGCUCGCCCAGCCAAGGCAAGGCCAAGCCUCGCGUCAACCGGCGACGCUCGGCCUCGCCUUGGCUGGGCAAGCUCAAGCUCACCUAGAUCCGGCGAGCCUCGCCAUGGCUAGGCGAGGCCGCCAGCCCUCAUCGGCCGGUCACCGGCCAUGGCCGAGGUCGGCGACCAACUACAAGGAAGAAAUAAAGAAAAAUUAAAAAAAAUUAAAAAAUUAAAAGAAACAAAAAAAGAACACAAAUUUACCAAACAUGUUUUUGUUCUUUUUAUUUAUUUAUUCCUGGAACAAGUUUACCAAUUACGUUCUUCUGGUAAAAAAUUAUUCCCUAGAAUAGAAAUAGUUUUUUCUAUUUAUGUUUCCUAGAACAAUUUUUGAACAUAAAUGUUAUCACACGCACCUAUAAGUGCCAAUUCCGAUUAAAGAUGCUAGAAAUCCCAUAUAACAUAUUUUUUUAAUAAUAUAACUUGCCUACAUGGCUCACUGGACAGCUAAGUUAGCAAAGUAGAGCCAAAACAAUGUCAUUUUGCCCCUUAUUUGAAUUUUAAUAUGAAUAUUAAUUAAAUUAAAUUUAAAACUAAAUUUAAUAAAUAAAUAUUACAAAAAAAAACAUGGGUUUGCAACUCAGCCCUCACUGCCGCCUCCCCAUCAUUGCUGGGAAGGGCCGGCAAUGGUGGGAGGAGCGUUGCUUAGGGUCGUCGAGCCUUGGUUAGGGGAUGUAACCAGUGGCGACCCUGGCCAACUAGCAUCGAGGGCCUACAAGCCCUCACCCAAAUCUGGGGCAAGGGUCCCAACCUUCCCUCAGAUGCAGCAAAGGUCGCUAGCCCUCGCCUAGUCAAGCCAAAGGCCACCACUGGUUGGGUCACCUAACUAAGGCCUAGUGACCCUAAUCGACCCUCCCUUCACCAUCGCUAGCCCUUCUCAGCAAUGGUGAGAGGCUGCACCCUCGUUGUUCUACAAACCCAUCUUCCCCUUUUUUUUUAUAUUUAUUUAUUAUUUAUCAAAUUUAGUUUUAAAUUUAAUUUAAUAAUAUUUAUAUUAAAAUUCAAAUCCCAAGCAAAAGAACAUCGUUUUUGGCUUUUCUUUCCACGUUAGAGUGCAAAACGACAUCGUUAUACACUGAUCUCAUUGGAAAAAUGUUACGUUAAUAUUUUGACUGUAUUUUCUUGUCACUGGUACUUAGCUAAUCCAUUUUACUCCUAUUUUGGCACUUAUGUGUACCUUUCGAAACUUUUGGCACUCAAAUGUUUCCUCGUGUCAAAUUUUCGCACUCCAAGUGUCUGCGUCCCCUUAUUAUUGCCUCUCUAGUUAUUCCUGCUUUGAGUAAAAUUCCCAUUGGCAUGUUAGAGUAGUUUUAUUUAUGAAUAAACUUAGUUUAAUCGAAUCUUGUUUUGGAUAGUUAUCUACUUGCUUUUGAUAUAAAUUUCUUACCCAAUAUAUAAGAUUUUGAUUUUUUCUGCUCAAAGUAGUUUUCAUUGUUUGGUUUCCCAAUGUCAAGUGAGUGAUGCUUAUCUCUUCUUAGAUUUGGAAACCCAUGUAUUGAAACAAUUAAAAAGGAAAAGUGGUGUUUCAAGCAUAUUUGUUGCAUAAAGCUAGAUCAAGUAAUUACUAUCCGUUUGUUCAUUAGAUAUUGCAUAGUAAACCAUUUCUUAAAAUAGUUUGUGAGUUAAUUAUUUGUUAUAAGGUUUGGGAAAUGCUAUGUAAAAAGUAUUGUGCUUGAUGGAUUAAAUUAUGAAAGGCUAUAUGAUUUGUGAAUCCAAUUCAUGAAAUGGAUUCAGAAUUGGUUUUGUAGAUGGUUGGAUAAUGAGUCAGUUGUUUAUCAUAAUCACUAUGAUCUAAACCUUUACAGGGUUGAACAUAUGCAUAUUGUUCUUAAGAAUUGGUUUUGUAGAUGGUUGGAUAAUGAGUUAGUUGUUUAUCAUAAUCACUAUGAUCUAAACCUUUACGGAGUUGAACAUAUGCAUAUUGUUCUUAAGACAUGCCAUUAGGGCCAAGCCACCAGUUGUCAUUGGUGAAGGCAUACGUGACCAAAUAAACAUUGUUAAGCUACAUAAAACAACUAUUUUGUGAGAUAAUUGGAGCAAGGUUGGCAAAUCAUACAAAAAAGGAGUGCCAAACACCCUAAGUGCCAAAACUUGGCGUGGGUAAAUACUUAAGUACCAGAAUUUCUAAAAGGUACACUUAAGUACCAAAAUCAGAGAAGAAAAUAACAUUUAAGUGCCAGCGGCGAGAAUUUCCAACUAAACUAUUGAUGUGGCUCUUUCCAACAAGAUUUUUUUUUUUUUUUUUAUUGAUGUGGCAAUUCUUUUAAAAAACUUAUCCACAUGAUGCUAACAUGGCUAGAUAUGCCCAAAACGAUACUGUUUUGACUGAAAAUUUGAUUUUUAAAUUAAAAAACUAAAUUACAAAAAAAGAAAAAAAGAGGGAGGUAGUAUUCGGCGAGGGCCUCCCUAGCCCUUGCCGUCGCUGCUGCCACCCCACCAUCGUUGAAAAGGGCAAGCGAUGGUGGGAUGAGGGUUAGCCGAGGUCGCCAGACCCCAGCAAGUGGCCAACGACCUUAGUUGACUGCCAGCGAGGGCUUGUAGGCCCUCAUCCAAAUCUAAGGCGAGAGGUCGUGGGUGACCCCAUCACAGCUAAUGGUGGCCCUUAGCCCCUUUGGGCGAGGGCUAGUGAUCUCGAUCGACCUUUGCCCCACCAUUGUCGACCCUUUCCAACGAUGGUGGGGCAACCAUGGCAAGGGCUAUGGAGGCCCUCGACUCUCGUUUUUUUAAUUUAGUUUUUAAUUUAAUAUAAUUAAUAAUUAUAUUAAAAAUCAAAUUUGGGGGCAAAAAGAUGUCGUUUUACACAUUGAUUGCUAAGUAGACAACCUUUAGUGAGCCACACAGACCCAUAUUUAUUAUUAAAAUAAUGCCACAUUGGAUUUCUAGCUAUCUUCACUAGAGUAGGCAUUUAAUUGUCCAAUUUUUAAAAAUAGUUGCACUUAAGUGUACAUUUUAGAUAUCUUGGUACUUGAGUGUCCACCUGUGCCAAAUUUUUGCACUCAUAGUGUACUUUUGCCUACAAAAAAGGUUAAAAUUUUCAAAUAAUAGUAGUAAACUCAAGGCAUUGCCAAUAAAGGUAAAUAAAAAUUAGUGAAAGAUAAACAAAGGUUUUUGUCAAAGAUAGAAGAAGAUGGCAAUUUAAAAACAAAAACAAAAUAAAUAUUGGCAAGUAUCUUAAAUAAGAGGUGGUAACUUGAUUAGAAAAGCUAGUCCUUGUAAGUAAAAAUAAUUGACUAUUGAUAAGCAACUCAAAUGAGAGUUAGUAACUCAAAACUAGUUGGUAAUUUGACCCCUGAAAACUUUGUGAGGUCACGCAAACAAAGAUUGAUCAUUUCAUAUGGUAGUUGGUAAAUUUAAACCUUAAGUAAGAAAGGUAAAUAAACGUUGGUAAGUAAUUAGAGAAGCUUUUUUUGGUUAAAGAUAAGAGAAAUUGGUAAUUUAAAAGAAAAUCCCAAAUAAAUAUUGGUAGCUAACUCAAGUAGGAGUCGGUAUGCAAAAUAAGUUGGAAACUUAAUUAGUUAAAAGUAGGGAAUCGCUAAAAGUUUCUAAAAACAACCGGUAGAUUUAUAAAGUUUGUCAAGAAGGCAAACAAAAGAAGUGACUUAAUAAAAAUUUUAUAAAUAAAAAAAUAAAUGAACUUUGACAUAAGCAACUCAAAUGAGAGUUGACAACGCUAGCCACUAGGUUACUUAAUUGGAGUGACAUGUUAGUAACUAAAAAUAUAUGGUAGUUGAUAAAACAUUGGUGGUAAACAAGAGAAGUUUUUUUUUUUUAGGUCAAUCACAAGGGAAAGUUUUAAUUGAAAAUAAAAAAACAUCAAUAGCUAACUCAACUAAGUAUAUGUAAUGCAAAUUUUGUUAAUGACUUGAUUGGAUAAUGUUGAGAAUCACUACAAUUCCAAUUCCCAAUUGCAAUUUCUAAAAAGGAGUUGGUAGAUUUAACAAGUGGAUAAAGGAGGCAAAUCAAAGUUGGUAACUCAUUGAAAAAGUGGAUAAAUUUUUUAGAAAAAUAAACAUUGGUAGGCAAUUCAAAUGAAACUUAGUAAAUCAAAGCUAUUCAAUAAUCUAAUGGGAGAACAACUGUUAACUCACACAAUUAAAGGUUGGUGAAGUCAUAUAAAAGUUGAUAAAUUUAAGUCAUCCAUAAGAGAGACAAAUAAAAGUUGGUAAUAAUAAGAAAAUUUGAUAAAUUAAAGUAAGAUCAAAUAAAUAUCGGUAAGUAAUUCAAAUAAAAGCUGGAAAACCAAAACUAGUUGGUAAUUUGAUUGGAAAAAAAGUUGAUAAGUCACUCAAAUAAAUAUUAAAAGAUUCAUAUAUUUGUUGGUAAAUAUUAAUGAUUCAAAAUAAAAGUUAGUGUAAACUGCUAAAAGAGUUGGUAAUUUCAUGAAACUCUUGCUAAAUUACCAAUAAAUUACGGAAUAAUAAGGGACCGGUAGCUUAUUUCUACUUGUAUUUUUAUAUUUAUUAACUCUAUCAGAAAUCUACAAGCAAUGAACAAAAAUCAUUUUUUUAGCAAAAGAAUAGAAUUGUCCUAUUUACUUUUCAUCAUAAUUAUUUAAAAUAUAUAUACAUAACCAAAUCACUUAGUGGCUUGAGAAAUGAGAGAUUAACCCACUAAGCCAUGAGUGUUCUCAUAACUUUUAUUCUUAUCAUACGGAUACCAAUUCAAUUAUAAAUUAUUAUUUUUGUCAAUUAAGCCAUGAAUCUUGUAAAUAUCGUACUUUCAGUCAAUUUGAAUUAGAAAUUACUGACAUAGACGUUAGUUGUCUUAUGUGACACGAUUGUUGCUGACAUAGACAAUUUUUAUAAUUUUGUUAGACUUUUUGAAUUUUUUAUUUUAUAUAUUCUUUUUCUUUCUUACUUUUCCUUCUUUUUUUUCUUCUAAGUUUGAUGAGGAUCGUCGACCCUCACUUGCCAUAGAUUUGGCAAGGGCUACAAAGCCCUCCCCAAUCAUGGUCAAGGGUCGUCGGCCCUCUCUUGUGGUCGACAAGGGUCGAGUGGCCCUCAUUGAACUUGGUAAAAAAAAAUGGAAAAGAAAGAAAAAUAAUAAAAAUAAUAAUAAAUUAUAAAAAUUGUCCACAUCAUAGUGUCAACAUCAACAAUUUUCAAUUAAAAUUGGCCAAAAUGACUACAUUAGUAAAUCAUCAAAUUUUUUAGGAUUCAAUUUAUAAAAUUCAAAAACUUAAAACUAAAUUGACAUAUGUAUAAUAGGUUUAUGACUUUUUGGGUAAUUUUACUCAUUUGCUAUUGAUAAUGCUUUAAAAAGUUCAUUUAAUAUCUUAUUAAUCUUUCAGAAUGAGAAGGGAAAAAAAAAAGAAUCGAUUGGUUUUUAUUUUCCUUAAGGACAAUUAUUAUUUUUUUUUUGGUCAAUCAAACAUUAUGUAAGUCAAAUCCUUUUCAUGUAGACUCCUAGCAAGGUUUGGAUAACCAAGGAUACUGGAGUUGGCAAUUGAUUAUCUAGACCUUGCUAUAAGGCAGCCAGUCCAACAUAGUGCAUUUCACCCUCCCAUUUUCACCCUAGACGUGAAAGGCUAUUAUACCUGCCUAUCCGACAGUAGCCAGAGUGUUUCCACCCUAACGUGGUGUCUAUUUUCACAACUAAAGGGCCUCCUAAUUCCCUUCUCUAUCUUUUUCUUCCCGAAGAGGAGGGAAUAUGGGAGUGACAUUAUAGGGUCUUUCAUCUUAGGGUGAAUCUCUCGCCUAUUUCUUCCCCUUAAGUAUUUUAAGGACCUGCUUAGGUCCAAGUCUACUUUAUUUAGUAUCUUAUCAUAGUUGUUUUCUUUUCAUAAGUUCACACAUGUAUGUGUGUAUGUAUGUAUGUAUGUAUGUAUGUAUGUAUACACACGUAAUAUAUAUAAAAAUAGGUUUUCAUAAGCCUGGAAGAAUUUUAUACUAAUGGUGGUCAUCUUUAAUGAACAGGAUAAGAAAAACGCUUUAAUGUCAACACAAGAAAGAAAUUAGGAGAAACCCUUUCUUGUGCGAAGGAAAAGACGAAGAAGAAGAUAAGAAAUAAUCAAUCCAUUGUUUUAUAUUUUCCACUUACUUAUCUUAUGUUUAGUAUCCGUUGAAUUUUAGAUGUUAAUCAUUAUUAGAAUAUGAAACUAUUGAUCCAUUAUAUGACAUUCAAUCUUGCAAGAGGGACAUAGUGAUGCCACUCGAAUUUGGCUUGAAAAGGAAAUGGAUAAAGUCAAAUAAUAUUCUUCAAAUACACAUGCUAUGACUAGAAUGUGAGACAUGUUAUUUCUAACAUCGAUAUCCGAAAUAGAAUACAAGCAAGAAGCUUUUAAUAAUUAUUUAUCAUAUAUAACAUAAUUGAAUCGUCAAAACAAUAAUUCGAUUCUUUUUACUAAAUUAAUAUUGGAAAUCUAUAAAACCUAGAAAUCAAUUUCAGACAAUUGAACUUCUCAAGUCGUCUCUUGUUGAGAACAAAAGGUAUUUGUGCCAAUAUAUAAUAUGCUAAAAAAAAUAAAAUGCCUAGAACAUGGAAUUGAUCUUAAAAGUACUAUUUCUAUAUCAUGGCAGGAGAGAUAAUUAUCAAAUCAAUGCUAAAUCUAUUGUUUAAAUACUAAUUCAGUCCUAAAUAAUUUUGUCUAAUGUAAUUUUAAACCUUUGUGCAAAAUUUCGAAAUAGUUCUUUUAUCCAACUACCGCAAAAAACUGUUGAUGUCAUGCCUAGUCAUCUCCGAUCAUCCUACAUAGUAAAUGAUAGUGAUGGCUUUGCUCAAAGUAACAUCUUUUGUGGACCACAAUGUUAGCAAUUGGCCAGAAUGACUAUUUUGAAAUUUCGCACAAAGGUUUAUGUUGAUGCUCAAGUUUUUAUAGACGUUUUAAGUAUUCGCUCAUUUUAUGAGAUAUACAAAAUAAAUAUAAUAAUAAAGAAUGAGAAAAUUAAACAAAAAGUAAUGGUAAUAAAAAAAUAAAAAAGAGAUAUAAAACGAAGGAGAUAAAAAAAAAUGGUAAUAAAAUUCGGAGCCCAUAUUCCUUAGCAAAUUUCGGACCUGCCGAGCCCGCGUAACCAGCCCAUUUCUCUUAUUUCGUUUAUGUCUUUCAAACUCACUUUGCUUGGCCCAUUUUCCUUUCUUUGUUCACAUAAGCCCAUCAGAACUAAAAAGAAACAAAAAGCCCAGCCCAGCCCAGCCCAGCCCAGCUCAGCCUUUCCUCUGGCCUUGCUUCGGUAAGGAGCAGCGUGCUUGGGGAGAAGAAAAGGAGAAGCGACCGCAGCGACACAGCAGAAAGACAGGAGCGUUCGGCCAUUGUUGAGGGAGGGGAGAGCAAGGUUGGCUCUGCAAAAAAGUGACAACCAGAGGGAAGGAGGGACAGCCAAGGGAAAAGUUCACUAGAGACAUGUAGCUCGCUCGACGGAGGAGAGCUCAUUGGAAGCAGCCAAGGAGAAAGGAGAAAUCUGAGAGAAUGAGAGAGUGCCGCGGGUUUCGAUCUCAGAGAUGAACUCAAGAUGGGUUCGACGAGAUCGAAUCUGGCGGAGUCGUCGACUGCAGGGAGGAUGAAGUCAGAGUUGAUGGCGAGGUGAGCGAUGAUGUCACCGGCGAGAGGAUGGAGUUAGAGUUGACGGCAAGGAUGGACAGCUUCAGAGUCGACGGCGCUAGGGUUUUUGGUUGAAGCGUUGAGGAGAAGGAACGCCCCCAUCUGGUGAACGAAGAAGAUGCCCAAAUUGGAGAAAAGAAGAAACGAUUUCUAUUCAUAUUUCAGAAACUGAGAAGUUACAAUUUUUAGCUUCUGAUUUCUCCUCCAAAUCAAUUUCUGGAAUAGAAAUCUAUUUUAGAAAUAAAGAAAUCAAAUUGCAUUACCAAAGGGAUUUCUGUUCCAAACUUGUUCCGGGGAACAGAGAAAUAGAGAAAUCAAGAAACAGAAAUUUAUUAUGUGCAGCCUUAAGUACCAAAAUCAGAGAAGAAAUGAACAUUUAAGUGGCAAUGGCGAGAAUUUCCAACUAAACUGUUGAUGUGGCUCUUUCCGGCAAGAUUUUUUUAUUGAUGUGGCAAUUCUUAUAAAAAAUUUAUCCACAUGAUGCUAACUUGGCUAGAUAUGCCCAAAACGAUGUUGUUUUAACUCCAAAUUUGAUUUUUAAAUUAAAAAACUAAAUUACAAAAAAUGAAAAAAAAAAAGAGGGAGGCAGCAUUUGGCGAGGGCCUCCCUAGCCCUUGUUGUCGCCGCCGCCACCUCACCAUCGCAAAAAAGGGCCAACGACGAUGGGAUGACGGUUAGCCAAGGUCGCCAAACCCAAGCAAGUGACCAACGACCUUAGUUGACUACCAACGAGGGCUUGUAGGCCCCGUCCAAAUCUGGGGUGAGAGGUCGUGGGUGAUCCCAUCACAGCUAACAGGGCCCUUAGCCCCUUUGGGCGAGGGCCAGUGACCCCGACUAACCUUUGCCCCACCGUUGUCAACCCUUUUUGACAAUGGUGGGGCAACCAUGGCAAGGGCUAUGGAGGCCCUCGAUGAAUGCUACCUCUCUCCUUUUUUUAAUUUAGUUUUUAAAUAUAAUAUAAUUAAUAAUUAUAUUACAAAUCAAAUUUGGGGGCAAAAAGAUGUCGUUUUGCACAUUGAUUGCUAAGUAGACAACUCUAGUGAGCCAUAUAGACUAUAUUUAUUAUUAAAAUAAUGCCACAUUGGAUUUCUAGCUAUCUUCACUAGAGGAGGCAUUUAAUUGUCCAAUUUUCAAAAAUAGUUGCACUUAAGUGUACAUUUUAGAUAUCUUGGUACUUGAGUAUCCACCUGUGCCAAAUUUUCGCACUCGUAGUGUACUUUUGCCUACAAAAAAGUUUAAAAUUUUCAAAUAAUAGUAGUAAACUCAAGGCGUUGCCAAGAAAGGUAAAUAAAAAUUAGUAAAAGAUAAACAAAGGUUUUUGUCAAAGAUAGAAGAAGAUGGCAAUUUAAAAACAAAAACAAAAUAAAUAUUGGCAAGUAUCUUAAAAAAGAGGUGGUAACUUGAUUGGAAAUAUGCCAGUAAUCACUCUAAUGAAGUUGGCAAUUUCAAAAAAAGAGUUGGUAAAUUGAAAAUGUUAGUGAGUGAGGCCAAUAAAAGUGGUAACUCAAUAGAAAAGCUAGUCCAUGUAAGUAAAAAUAAUUAACUAUUGAGAAGCAACUCAGACAAGAGUUAAACUCAAAACUAGUUGGUAAUUUAAACCCCGUAACUUUGUGAGGUCACGCAAACAAAGAUUGAUAAUUUCAUAUAGUAGUUAGUAAAUUUAAACCUUUAGUAAGAAAGGUAAAUAAAAGAUGGUAAGUAAUUAGAGAAGCUUUUUUUAGUUAAAGAUAAGAGAAGUUGGUAAUUUAAAAGAAAAUCCCAAAUAAACAUUGGUAGCUAACUCAAGUAGGUUAGUUAAAAGUAGGGAAUCGCUAAAAGUUUCUAAAAACAACCGGUAGAUUUAUAAAGUUUGUUAAGAAGGCAAACAAAAGAAGUGACUUAAUAAAAAUUUUAUAAAUAAAAAAUAAAUGAACUUUGAUAUAAGCAACUUCAAUGAGAGUUGGCAACGCUAGCCACUAGGUUACUUAAUUGGAGUGACAUGUUAGUAACUAAAAAUAUAUGGUAAUUGAUAAAACAUUGGUGGUAAACAGGAGAAGUUUUUUUUUUUUUUUAAUUUUUUUUGGUCAAUCACAAGGGAAAGUUUUAAUUGAAAAUAAACAAACAUCAAUAGCUAACUCAACUAAGUAUAUAUACUGCAAAUUUUGUUAAUGACUUGAUUGGAUAAUGUUGAGAAUCACUCCAAUUCCAAUUCCCAUUAGUAAUUUCUGAAAAAGGAGUUGGUAGAUUUAACAAGUGGAUAAAGGAGGCAAAUCAAAGUUGGUAACUCAUUGAAAAAGUGGAUAAUUUUUUUAGAAAAUUAAACAUUGGUAGGCAAUUCAAAUGAAACUUAGUAAAUCAAAGCUAUUCAAUAAUCUAAUGGGAGAACAACUGUUAACUCACACAAUUGAAGGUUGGUGAAGUCAUAUAAAAGUUGAUAAAUUUAAGUCAUCUAUAAGAGAGACAAAUAAACUUUGGUAAUAAUAAGAAAAUCUGAUAAAUUAAAGUAAGAUCAAAUAAAUAUUGGUAAGUAAUUCAAAUGAAAGAUGGAAAACCAAAACUAGUUGGUAAUUUGAUCGAAAAAAAAAGUUAAUAAGUCACUCAAAUAAAUAUUAAAAGAUUCAUAUAUUUGUUGGUAAAUAUUAACGAUCCAAACAAAAAGUUAGUGUAAACUGUUAAAAAGAGUUGGUAAUUUCAUGAAACUCUUGCUAAAUUACCAAUAAGUUACAUAAUAACAAGGGACUGGUAGCUUAUUCUACUUGUAUUUUUAUAUUCAUUAACUCUAUCAGAAAUCUACAAGCAAUGAACAAAAAUCAUUUUUUUAGCAGAACAAUAGAAUUGUCCUAAUUUACUUUUCAUCAUAAUUAUUUAAAAUAUAUAUAUACAUAACCAAAUCACUUAGUGGCUUGAGAAAUAAGAGGUUAACCCACUAAGCCAUGAGUAUUCUCAUAACUUGUAUUCCUAUUAUAAGGAUACCAAUUCAAUUAUAAAUCGUUUAUUUUUGUCAAUUAAGUCAUGAAUCUUGCCAAUAUCGUACUUUCAGUCAAUUUGAAUUAGAAAUUACUGACAUAGAUAUUGGUUGUCUUAUGUGACACGAUUGUCGCUGAUGUAGACAAUUUUAUAAUUUUGUUAGACUUUUUGAAUUUUUUUUAUUUUAUAUAUUCUUUUUCUUUCUUACUUUUCCUCUUUUUUUUCUUCUAAGUCCGAUGAGGGUCGUCGACUCUCACUUGCCAUAGAUCUAGCGAGGGCUACGAAGCCCUCCCCAAUCAUGGUCAAGGGUUGUUGGCCCUUGCUUGUGGUCAACGAGGGUUGAGUGGCCCUCAUAGUACUCGGUACAAAAAAAAAAAAAAGGAAAAGAAAGAAAGAAAAUAAAAAAAAAAUAAUAAAUUAUAAAAAUUGUCCACAUCAUAGUGUCAACAUCAACAAUUUUCAAUUAAAAUUGGCCAAAAUGACAACAUUAGUAAAUCAUCAAAAGUUUUAGGAUUCAAUUUACAAAAUUCAAAAGCUUAAAACUAAAUUGACAUAUGUACAAUAUGUUUAUGACAUUUUGGGUAAUUUUACUCAUUUACUAUUGAUAAUGCUUUGAAAAGUUCAUUUAAUAUCUUAUUAAUCUUUCAGAAUGAGAACGGAAAAAAAGAAGAAGAAUCGAUUGGUUUUAUUUUCCUUAAGGAUAGUUAAUUUUUUUUUUUGGUCAAUCAAACAUUAUGUAAAUCAAAUCAUUUUCAUGUAGACUCCUAGCAAGGUUUAGAUAACCAGGGAUAUUGGAGUUGGCAAUUGAUUAUCUAGACCUUGUUGUAAGGCAACCAGUCCAACAGAGUGCAUUUCACCCUCCCAUUUUCACCCAAGAGGUGAAAGGCGAUUAUACCUGCUUAUCUGACAGUAGCCAGAGUGUUUCCACCAUGAUGUGGAGUCUAUUUUCACAACUAAAGGGUCUCCUAAUACCCCUCUCUAUCUUUUUCUUCCCGAAGAGGAGGGAAUAUGGGAGUGAUAUUAUGGGGUCUUUCAUCUUAGGGUGAAUCUCUCGCCUAUUUCUUCCCCUUAAGUAUUUUAAGGACCCGCUUAGGUCCAAGUCUACUCUAUUUAGUAUCUCAUCAAAGUUGUUUUCUUUUCAUAAGUUCACGAGAAUAGAAUAUAUAUAAACAUUUAUGUAUGUAUGUAUGUAUGUAUGUAUGUAUGUAUGUAUGUAUGUAUGCACACGUAAUAUAUAUAAAAAUGGGUUUUCAUAAGCCUGGAAGAAUUUUAUACUAACGGUGGUCAUCUUUAAUGAACAGGAUAAGAAAAACGCUUUAAUGUCAACACAAGAAAGAAAUGAGGAGAAACCCUUUCUUGUGAGAAGGAAAAGACGAAGAAGAAGAUAAGAAUAAUCAAUCCAUUGCUUUCUAAUUUCCACUUACUUAUCUUAUGUUUAGUAUCCACUGAAUUUUAGAUGUUACUCAUUAUUAGAAUAUAAAACUAUUGAUCCAUUAUAUGACAUUUCAAUCUUGCAAGAGGGACAUAGUGAUGCCACUCAAAUUUGGCUUGAAAAAGAAAUGGAUAAAGUCAAAUAAUAUUCUUCAAAUACACAUGCUAUGACUAGAAUGUGAGACAUGUUAUUUCUAACAUCGAUAUCCGAAAUAGAAUACAAGCAAGAAGCUUUUAAUAAUUAUUUAUCAUAUAAAAAAUAAUUGAAUCGUCAAAACAAUAAUUCGAUUCUUUUUACUAAAUUAAUAUUGGAAAUCUAUAAAACCUAGAAAUCAAUUUCAGACAAUUGAACUUCUCAAGUUGUCUCUUGUUGAGAACAAAAGGUAUUUGUGCCAAAAUAUUAUAUGCUAAGAAAAAAAGAAAAUGCCUAGAACAUGGAAUUGAUCUUAAAGUACUAUUUCUAUAUCAUGGCAGGAGAUAUAAUUAUCAAAUCAAUGUUAAAUCUAUUGUAUAAAUACUAAUUUAGUCCUAAUUUAUUUAUUUAUUUUGCCAAUGUAAUUUUAAACCUUUGUGCGAAAUUUUGAAAUAGUUCUUCUGUCCAACUGCCGCCGAAAACUAUUGACGUCACACCUAGUCAUAUCCGGUCAUCCUACAUAGUAAAUGAUAGUGACGACUUUGCUCAAACAACAUCUUAUGUGGCAAUUGGCCAAAAGGCACUAUUUUGAAACUUUGCACAAAAGUUUAUGUUGACACUCGAAUUUUUAUAGAUGUUUUAAGUAUUCACUCAAUUUACAAGAUAUAAAAAAUAAAUAUAAUAAUAAGAAAACAAGAAAAUUAAACAAAAAGUAAUGGUAAUAAAAAAUAAAAAAGAGAUAUAAAACGAAGGAGACAAAAAAAAAUGGUAAUAAAAUUCGGAGCCCAUAUUCCUUAGCAAAUUUCGGACCUGCCGAGCCCGCGUAACCAGCCAAUUUCUCUUAUUUCGUUUAUGUCUUUCAAACUCACUUUCCUUGGUUCUUUCUUUGGUCACAUAAGCCCAUCAGAACUAAAAAGAAACAAAAAGCCCAGCCCAGCCUAGCCCAGCCCAGCCCAGCCUUUCCUCUGGCCUUGCUUCGGUAAGGACCAGCGUGCUUGGGGAGAAGAAAAGGAGAAGCGACCGCGGCGACACAGCAGAAAGACGGGAGCGUUCGGCCAUUGUUGAGGGAGGGGAGAGCAAGGAAGGUUCUGCAAAAAAGUGACAACCAGAGGGAAGGAGGGACAGCCAGGGGAAAAGUUCACUAGAGACGUGUAGCUCGCUCGACGGAGGACAGCUCGCUGGAAGCAGCCAAGGAGAAAGGAGAAAUCUGAGAGAACGAGAGAGUGCAUCCCGUUUAGGAGCGACGGAAAACCGCAUCGCCGGAGCUCGCCGUCGAUUUUCAGAGCUCCGGUCAAAGGCCAAUCCGCGAGUUGUUCUUCACAGUUGCUCUAACCAGACGAUCUUCAUCGUCGUCAAUCGAGACCUCGAUCCGCCAAACAAACCGGGAACAAUCUCGCUCCAAACGCUCUUCUCUGUCUCAGUUUUGGCCGAGAAAGAAAUGCUCGACUCGAUCGAUUUUCUUGAAAGAAUCUUUGAUAAAACGAAUUUUUGUAUUGUUGCUAAAAAUGGUGUUUUAAGUCUGUACGUAACGUGUGAAGCUGAGGAUCUCGUUAAAAUCAAAAUCAGAGAACUGUUGAAAGAUCUGCAUAUUGCACGUUUGAUCAAAAUGCCUAACAGAGGGCCGAAAGUUCAAUCACGUUUAAACUCAAGAUCGAUUCGUACUUGCUGCGUCAUUUGUUGAAUCAUGUCUAAUACUAGCAUUUUCUCUGUGUUUCUAUGCGAUUUGAUGAAAAAUCUUUGCUCGAGUCCAACGUGCAUGCAUAUAUCUCCAAUGCUGGAAAGCUUUCCGUCGGAGAAUUCCAUCGCACCCAGCGAAGUCAGCGUUUCAAGGGCAUAUUAGUUAAGCCCAUCUCGCUUCAUUCUAAUGUAAGUUUUCUUGUGAACUUGCUGGGGUUGCUGCUGUUAAAAAAGUGGAUUCGGUAGGAUGGUUUUUGUUAAGUUUUCGGAUAGAUGGAGUGGGCAGCCGGAGGUGGUCAAAGUGGGUCGGAAUAGACGAUCGGCGGUCGGAGAUAGGUCGGCGGUGAUCUAAGCUUUCGUGAUAAACUCGUCGGUGAUGAUAUUUGUUUCGUUAAAAAGGAAUAUAAAAAAAAAAAAAAAAUUUGGCCGCGAAAGGUGGAGUUGCAGGUUGAAGAUGGUGUUCGGGUAGAGGAUGUCGAGAGAGGAAGGGAGAAAUGCAGGCAGAACGAGACAAAAACAGGAAAAGACAAAAACAAAUUAAAUAAAAAAAGGCAAAUCAAUUAAAAAAUUCAAAAGAAUAUUAGAAAUCGGUUUUAAUCCGACGCGGGUCGGAUCCGGCUAUACGGCUCGGGUCAUAGAUUCGGAUCGGAUUAACGGUCCGAACCCAUUCGCUGAAUAGAAUAAAAUAAAAUAAAAUAAACAAAUUCUGAAAAAAUUCUAAAAAAAUUCAUAAAAGAUAUAAAAAUCCUAAAAAUCAAUAAACAAUAGGAAAUUCGAAGAUAUAGAAAAAUUCCGAAAAUUUUUAAAAGUUAUUGUUAUAAAAAAUCGAAGAAUAGAAAAUUCUUAAAUAACAAUAAAAAUAAAAAAGUUCAGAAAAAUUCCAAAAAUAUUUAAAGAUUCAAAAAAAAAAAUUCCACAUACAUAGAUUUUUAAUCUCGAAAAUAAAUAAAAUAAAUAAAUAAAUAUUAAAAAUUCAGAAAAAUCAUUAAAAAUUCAUAAAAUUCUAGAAAAUGAGAAAAAAUUCAGAAAAAUUUGCAAAUUAUUUAAAAAAUUAAAAUAUAAAAUUAGACAACCCUUUAGCACUUUACAAUAGGAUUUUUAUUUUGAAUUUCCCAACAAAUUUAUGAUUCUUGGUGUACUUAUGCUUUGGAUAUUCUAUUUUUAUUGUAAAUAUCGCAAAUUAUAAAAUUCUAAUUGUUGGUAUAAUAGAGAUAUUUAAAUUUUUUUCUGAUUUUCUAUAUUUAUUUUGGUUAUCUAUAUCUAAUUAGAUUUUUUUUAUCUCCUUAAUUAUUCAACUACUCUUUUUUAGAACAUCGAAAUUUACAUAAACUUCAUAUUAAUCUCUUCCGCAUCAUUAUUCUUAACUUAAAAAAAAAAACAAAACUCUAAAGUUUUUUCACCACAAACCGUUCAGCUUCUCUCUAACAUUUUCUCUCUUCAUCACUCACAUCGUUCACUGUAAGCUCAAGCUCAAAUGCUCUCUCUCCGUUCAUCUUUGCUUUCACCAAUGCCUGUGCCCAGUGAGUGACUCGCUGACUGUGGUUCGUCUCUGUUCAUUGGUGGUGUCAUUUACUAUGGUUUUUUCUAUGUUCUUUUCUUCUUUUUGGUUUGGCUUUUUUAUAACUAGGAAUUGGAGUGAUUUAGGUUCAUGACUCGUGAAUCAACUCGAUAUCCGUAAAAUGUAUUUGCUGAUUGUCAAUUGUGAUGUGAACCCGUUUGUUCUGAUUUGCUUUCCAUUGAUUCUUGCAUUUUUUCCUUGCCUUGGUUCCUUUUCUUUUUCUUGGUUUGCAAGUUUUAACAUCUGUUAUUUUACUGAUAGAUUCUAGUUUCCUACUUGAAUUAUGAGGUUUUACCCUGCUUUGUCUUCUUUCCAAUUCGUGUAGUAUACGUGAUUUGAGUUCCAAUUGCUGUUCAUACUAUGCCUCAGUCCCAUUGUUUAAUGUCCUAAGGAUUCAUUCCGAGUGAGGUUUUGAACUUCUAAGAGCUCUUUCUUUAGGAUUCCGUGUUGGGUUUCUCUUGGAGGGGUUUAAGUCUAUUUAUUCAUGGCUUUGCCUCUCUUAUUGUGGCCAUUUUCUGUUAUAUUUACGAUCUUAUUGGAUAUUCGUGUGACCUUUGCCUCCAGCAGAUGAAGAUAAUAGAUGAGCAUUUUAAUCGAGUUGUGAUCUCUUACUAAGAAUUGUUAAUAUUUUUUGUCUUGGUGAUUUUUAUCCAUGGGAAACACAAGACGCAUGGUCAUAUGCGUGGGUCCACGCGUAGUGCAGAUAAGUUGUGAAUUAGAAGAGAAGGUUGAAAAAUCACACAUGGGUGUUGAGCUACGUUCUAAUUCAGAGACUGAAACUAAGCAGCCUCAAGAAUAGACUACAAAUGUGAAUGCAUCAGGUAAGACCUACCUACAUAUAUUUUGUGUAAUUUUUCAUCAUACUAUACUAAAAUGGUCAGUGUAUUGAUCUCGUUUCAUAAUAUUAGAUAUGUCUUUCAAUAUUUAGAAUUUCUUGUCUAGUAGUUGCCACUAGAAAAAGGAAGCGCACCUUUAUGUGUCUAUCGGGCAUAUGGAAUCUUCCUCCUGGGAAACACGUUAUUGUCAAGUUAGGGAAGAAAAUGCAGCCCAUUGGAGGUUUGGGGAGUUUCUCAGAACCAUUGGUAGCGAAUUGGCACCAUUGUUUACAACUUGAAACGAAUUACCAUGGAUAUGAGAAACAUUAUGAUUAAGAUUGUAGAGAUCGUUAGGUUGUACUCAUAUGAAAUCCCAUUCAUGUUGUAAAUAAAUUUAACACGAUUAUUAAUAUUUCUUUGUUGUAGUCUACGCUUGAUUAUCUUCAUACCAGCUAUGGAAAAAUGGAUUCUACAUUCCUUGAAUUCUAAAUGGAGAUAUUGGAAAAGUGAUCUAAAAGCUGCUCGCUAUUAUAGCUCUCAAUCUUUAUCGUAUCAUUUGAAGAAUCUUUUGGAGAGAUUGAGAAGAGAUAGAUGGAAAAAUCUCGUCACUUUUUGAAGUUCAAAGGAAGGGAAGGUAUGAAUCUCGUUCCAGCAUUGUUUUAAUAUGACCGGUCAACAUUAAGUAGACUUUCAUCGCCCAUUAUUGACCAUUUUGUGAUGAACUUAUUAUUAUUAUUAUUUUUUUUUAUCGCAGAAGCUGAGCGAUGCAAAUAAGGCUGAUAGAGCAAAACAAAAGAUACAACACACCUUAGGGAAUAAAAGUUUGUCUAGAAUAACUGCAGCAAAGGUACUCUCAUGUUUUCCGUUAAAUUUUUGUGUUUCCCUAUAAGUGAUAUUUCCAUUUUGUAAUCAAUAACUUUUCUUUAAAAAUAUUCUGCUGUGGUGAUAUAUCAUUGGACCUAAGGUAAAGAUGUCCCGAGAUUUGUGACUUUUCCAACAAUAUGCGUUUUAAUAGUAGUUGUCGUAGGAAGAAAACAUAGGAUUUGUUCUAGAUUGCCUCCUUAAGAUUGUCCACGUUCUUAGCACCUGCAUUGAUAUCUUGUUAUUAUUCCCUUAGCUUUGUGAUUUGGAUUUGCUGGUGACAGCACAAUCAUCCACAACUUGCUUCAGGUUUAUCUAGAACGCAUAGUCCGCCAUCGUUAACAAAAGAGCUAUGCAGUAGCCAGAGCUGUAAAUUAACUUAUAGAUUAUGAAACCUAUACAAGUUUCUAUUAAUUUGCUAACAUGACUGCACUUUGUAUAUGAGAGUGAACGAAAAAACAGAAAACUACUGCAGCCCUAGAAUACCCAAUUACUAGCUGUGCCAUGUCACAUGUAUGCACACGUCCCCACAAUUGUUGAAAAGCCAUUCAAUAUAGUUCAUCUAGUGUUAACAAAUGUUAUGCAGUCUUGGCAAUGACAAUAUUGCUGCUGCAAUUUAUUAGGAAUUUAUACAGUUAUCUGAGCAGAAGAUGAAUGGACCAAGAAAAGAGGGUAGGCUGGAAUAAAUAGUAUAAAAUUAAAACCAAAAGUCUAACUUCCUAGUGUGUGUUUUCAUAUGGUUUUGGUAGAUGACAAGCCAUAUAACAAUCCGCAAGAAACACCUAUAAAAAUAAAGAAUGAGAUUACUUUUCAAUUUGAUAUCUCUGGACAUCUUUUCUUGUUUUACAGGAAAGUCAGUUAUGCUGACUAACCAAGUUCUGGCACAUGAUAGGAAGCAGAGUUAAGAAUUCAGCUUAAAAUUACUCGACAAUAAAUAGUAACAUCAUUAUUUUAUUUUAUGUUACCGAAUUGCAAGGAAGCAUGAAUGAUCUCAUAGAUCUAUAUUUGGAACUUGGAAAGAGCAAUCCCCCCAUGAAAUACUGUUUUUCUAGUGUUGGGAAAAAAGAAACCUGGUGUAUCUGAUGCUAGGGCAUAGUCCAUGCCUGAAUGAUUUGGGGCCUCAAAAUCUAGUUGUCUUCCAACCGAGAACUUAAGGUCAAAGAAAAAGAAGGAUGAAGAGAUUCACAUUUUGAAGAAAUAUAGUUGUCUUCCAUCCGAGAAAUGAAGGUCAGACAAUGAGAAAGAUGAAGAGAUUCACAAGUUGAAGGGAAUACUGAAAGCAACAAAAGAGCAAUUACAAAAGACAAAAUGGAGACGUGCAAGAGUUACGGGCUCAAAAAGAUGUCUACUAUUAUACAAAAUUGUUAGCAUGCGGCAGACUCAAAGUGGUAUCACGAGAUCUAGAUGAGGUAGUAUGUCAUGAGCCAUGAGGUGUGACUAAUUUCAUUGAAUGUUAAAAUAGUGAAAGGUGUUUUAUUUACUAAAUACUGAGUGACCUAGAUAUUGGACACUAAGGGGGUUUUAAAGGGAAUAUAGGUGGGAUAGACUUGAAACAUGAGUAUGGUAUCGGGAUCGCUUCAAUGGAGCUUGGAAGUGGAAUACAAAUUUAGCAUAUUGUUACUAUGUUUUUUUUUUUUUUUUUUUUUUUUUUUUUUUUUUUUUUUGCUGUGACUAAAUCAUGUUUUGGGUUUACUUCUCUUGCAUCAUGCCUUGUCCUUUUUGCUAAUUUUGAAGUACACAAGUGAUUGCCCUUAUCAGUCACUGCUGGGUGUUGCUCCUUUUUUUUUUUAAGGUCACUUCUGAGCUCUUUUGUCCUUCUCUGUAUAGAUCCUGGGGUGUUAUAGCAUCUUUUAUAUUGAAGAGAAGUUGAAAUGUUGCCUGUUUUGGCACUUGAGAGUGGUUGAGGGACACGGUCAAAUGCUUGGAAAUGGUCUAUGUUGAUGAAUGGGUUUAUCAGAUGACCUAAUACCAUAUGUUGAUGAACCUUACGCUACUCUAUUUUUGGCCCUCAAUGCAUUUCUUCUUCUUCUUGCUCUUAAAGGUUAGGCUUCUAUUUUCAUAAUCAAACUUCUCGAGUUUGCUGGGUUACAGCAAUGAUUGUGAUUUGUGAACUGGUUUACAGCCAUUCAAUAUUGGUUGUAGUGUUUAUAAGAUGCUUUGGCCACUCACAACUAUGUUUUUUGCAAUGAAGUGAAUGGAGCUCCUUUGUUCACGUCUCUGCAUUUUUUUCAAGUGACAGGAAAUGUGGCUUAUCAUGUCUUGCUCAUUCUGUUUUAACAAAUAAGCUUCUCUACGUUUUGAUAUGCUUUACAGAUUAGUUAUGAGCUCCUACGUUCAUUUAUUUUAUUACUUUCUGUGAUCUAAGCUUCCUCUACAUCCUUCUCCAAUCCAAAUUAUUGAAGGUUUAAUUGUGCGAUGUUCAACUAGCGAUCACUCUCAUGAUAGCUUGUGCUGAUUUCACACCCAUUAUGCUUAAUCCUCUUUCCUGCACUCAUUUGCUUUGCUGGAUGAUGACCAUCAUAACCCACAAUAGAGAUCUCCAAAAAUCAGUUUAUGCUCUCCAUUGUCGAGUCAUGAGCCACACUCUAAAAGAUGGGGUUGGUGUUACCUCCAAAGGUACAGUGAUCAUUGUAGAGCCCGCAUUCUAUUUAUUUUUUGUUAUAAAUGUCUUAGGUCUAGUAAAAAAAGAACAAAACAGCUUCUUGUGCCCGUUGUUGAAGAAAGCUCAUUAAAGAACUAGUAUAGUUCCCGCAUCUUCAAGAUAUGAUGAGGCUAGAAAAGAUUUUAUAGCGAUGAUAGGACCUCUUUCAUGUGCAGUCGAACAUUAUGUCCGAGCUAUAGCUGAAAUUGCUUUAGAAUGCGAAAAAGGAAAACACAGCAACAUAGUGUUUUUGUUGCAGUGAUUCUCUCUUGGACAUAGGGUGUCUAUCUCUCCCUCUCUGAACCUACCUUGUUUAAUUAUUCCUUUCUUGCAUUGGAAUAGUACAAAGAGCAAUCUAGAGAGUCCAAUAACUUAUGGAUGUCGGUGAAAAAUUGACCAUUGUCCUUCAGUACAUCUAGACAAUUUUUGGAUUGCGCCAAAAAGGCGAAAGCCCAUGCUUGAGAAGUUUUCGCCUUUUUGUUGUGAUUUGUGUAACGUGAUCAAAUGGAUGAUUCAGGGGUUUCAUGGCUGUUGCGUGACGGCUAAGCAAGUUGAGCGUCAUAACUCCUGAGCACGUCAAUUUGUUGUUUUUUGAAUCUUAUGACUUUGAUAAGUUAAUAGAUUUAGCUUUGAGAAGAUUUUGGAAUAAAGUACUCAACGGAGACGAGGAUUUCGCAUUAUUCAUCCGUUGAUGUUUCUUGGGUGGAUAUGUGAUGCGUUGUCCUGAAGGAUGUUGAGGACAUGAGGCGAUUCUCUUGUUCCGUUUCCGAUUAUUAGCAAAGCCAACAUCUUGGGAAUCAUCUAUAGCAUAAGAGCUAAAAACAAAGAUAAAAGUAAAUAGGCGUGCGCUAUGCAAACGCAACAGACCUGAAAGAGUUUGUCAUAUACAUUUAUUAGUCAACCUUUAUAAUGCAAUAUUUGCUUGUGGUUAUCUAACUAAUUUCGAUGACAUGUUACAGGUGUCAAAUGUUGUAGGUGUCAAAUUUUGUAAUACUACAUUCAUGUGGCUUGCAUGUUGUGUUAAUAAUUUAAAGGAUGUUAGAAAAAUGAAAGCAUGAUAUUACUUUUUUUUAAUUUUUUUAUGAGAACUAGAGAUGGAGUUCAAGUUUCACAUUGUGGUUUAGUUUCUUAGUUAUCAAUAAUUGAGUAGAAUCAACUUUAAUCUUGGACGCAUAUGCUAUAUAGAGUUGAGCUUGAGCAUGGGAUUGAGAAACAAAGUUUUGGCAUACUAACAGUACAAUAUCAAACCAUCAAUUUGAACUUAAACUUUGUAUCAACAAACUACUUCAAAUGAAUUUAUAGCUUGACUGCAAUUUUAUAGCUUUUUUUCCCCAAAUGAAGUACGUUUUCUUAGACACUUUUAGUUCAUUGACCAACUAAAUAAUAUGCUACGACAUUCCUUGCAUGCCGACAAGAAUGAUGCUAGUGGUCUUCAAAACUUCACCAAGCCUCUCCAACGUAUACAAGUCCCGUGAGAGCUUGAUUCCUGAAAAAUAUAAUCACCAUCAAUCUUUCGAGAAAAUUUCAAAAUAAAAUUAAGAUAAUCAAACUAUGUAGUCAAAUCAACCAAAAAUACAUGUGAACUUAUUUUUACUGUGUUUAAUAUAUUUGUCAAUGUAUACUAUUUAUAACAAAUAUAUAGAAGAUGUUAACUGCAUUCAUUGAGACUGAAAUACUCGAAAGGAUGCUGAUGAAAGUAAAAAAUAAUUGCAUUCAUUGAGAUUGAAAUAUUAGAAAUGAUCUAUAUAUAAUAGAAAAUGAUAUCAUGUGAAAAGAUACAUAAAUCUGGUGAGAUUCGUAUUGCGAUUAAAGGAAUGGGAUUAUAUGUGCAGAUUUAAUAUAUCACAUAAGUUUAUUUCUUGCACCACCAAAUGCAAACAAUUUAAUACUAAGCCAUUCACCCAAUCUUUGGCUUGUACCCUACUUGGUCCAUGAGAUUAGUAAGGUAUGAUAUGGGCUUGACAUCUUAUCUGCACAAGAUAAGUUUCUUGGAAGGAGAAACAAUAUCUUAUUACCAGAAAAUGGCCAGUUUAUUUAUAAAUCAAGUAGAUAAAGCCCCCUCCUCCUUUCCCCCCUUUCUAUCUAGUGCACUUAUGGAAGUAGGUCAAUGAAAUUUCAUUUAUGUGAAUUAACAUACGCAUAAAUACACUUUUUUUGUUUUUUUUAACGACUUUUAUGAAAACUGGUUUUGUUCUCAAUCUAGCUAAAUUAAGAAAUUUUUAUGUUCACAAUCGACUAAAUUAUAGUAGAAGAUAAAACUAAGACUCAACCUAGGCAUCAAAAGUUUAAUGAGUAGCAGAAAUAGACACUGUACCUGACAUGAAUCCUUCAUGACUAAAAGAAUGAAUUCCUAGAAGAUCGACUUCUUUAACUCCUAUUUGAAGUGGCUUUUAAUCGAAUGUAAAAAAUGGGGAAGGACACAGAAAUACAUCAUCCACCAAUUAAUAAAGUAUUUUAGGUCUAAAGUUUGAGAGUGAAAGGAGAUGUGACAAGUUUUUCCGACCUGCCUAUAUCUCCUUUCCUUCUUCGUUCAUUCUACUGGUAAGCGGCUGCUAUUCUUCGGUCACUCCUGGUGAGCAUCCGGUGCUGUGGGUAUCCUUCCAUUGGCUUCAUGAUCUCUAAUUGCAAUCAUCAUCAUCGUGUUAUCCACUGUUUUUUUAGCUCCAGUUCUGAUUUGCUUCAUAUAUCAUGAGACUAAACUAACGACACAAAAAAGAAAACCUGUCUUUCAUGGGCAGUUACAUAUCUCGCUCUGCAGCUCCUUGGCGAGGUUUGCAUGUCUGUGUUCCUCUUAUGUUCUUGUCUUUUGGUAGUCACUGAUGUAGCAUUUGGCGAGCUCUUCUAAUAGAUUCUCUCUCUUUCACGCGUGCAUAAUGCGGCCCACUAAGGAAUAGAAGUCCAAGAAUGUAAACAGAAUAAGAAACAUAAUUCAAAUUGUUCGCAGGAUGUGAAGGUUCUGGGAUGAAUAUUCUCUUCGUAGCAUUAUAAUAUUCCAAAAAGGGAGUUAAACCUCACCUUCGCAUGACUUGGGUUGUAACGUGGCCAAAACCUUGCACUUAAAUGUCACCAAUUUCUUCGAUGCUCUUGUGAUCAGGCUAUACAUGGUAAUGUCUGUGAAUUCAUUAUUCUUCUUGCAACAACAAAGUCCACUUCUUUUUAUACAGAUGCUGUUCUUUUUGCUUUGCAUUGUCUAUGUUAUAGUGAAGAAGCUCCUAGCAGAAUCCUGAUAUAACCGCGAUAGUCAACAGAUGUUUCUUCUGUUGCAUUCAUCCGUUGCUUGUGUUGCAUUUAGUAGAGCCUUCAGUUGCCAAAUCAAAGAAUGUUGGCCAGAAGAUUGAGGGCGUUGAUGUCUAAAUCAAGUGGUGUAACUCCUAAUGAGAUUGACUCAGAGCUUAAUUGCUAUUGUGUUCUUUGAUCACCAAUUCUCAUCACAAAAACAAAGUAGGAAUUGGUUUUAUGGUUGUAAUAAGUUGUGGAUUGAUCUGAAUACACCAGAUUGAGCUAAGGACAUGAUAAUCAACAUCCUUGAAAUGAACCAAGCAUUGUGCAAAUCCAGCCAAUCAAGGCACGAGGAGGUUAAUGUGAGCUAACUUCAACUGAAAUCAAGGCUCAAAGGGCCAAGUAUAGACAUUAAAAGGAGCAAUUGCAUGAGUAAAGAAAAAAAAUGAUAAUAUCAAUGGUCAUUUGUUCUAUUAAGGUGUUGUGUCAUUGUGCUGGUUGUGUCUAACACGAGAGUUGGUGGGAAGUUUCUAAGCCUUCCAUAGUUUAUUUAGGUGUGAGUGUGUGCAUCUGUGUCAGGUUGAACUACUGGAAGUCCUGCUUCCCUCGUCUUCAGUACGCUUGUUCCGGCUUCAUGCUUCGGACUUGCUUUACCACUGAAAACUAGAUAUUCUCAUGGAAAGCUGUUGGCUCUUUGGCAAUAUGACAGAAGCUUUCGUCGUUCUUACCAUUCUUACUAAAGAACUUCUAAUACCUUUUCAUUCUGUUACGAAAAAUCUAGUGAACUUAACAGCUUUGGCCUCUUGUAUAGUCUAAUAUAUCACCAGAUGUAAUGGCACAUGCUAAUCUUGAUUCUAGAAGAGGCGCCUGUGAAGCGAGACAAUGAAAUGCCAACCCCCUCGAGCGGAAAACAUUCCAACAUAAACAGUGAUUUAAAAUUUGACCCUGAAUGGUCAGGGCAGGACGAAUGAAAUGAAGUCUCAUUGUUUUCUUUUUCUUAACCCAACGGUUUAUCAGAGGUCUAAAUACUUGUGUACUUCCACACUAAAGACACUUAAAUACGUGAUUUUCAACAAUACUUCCACAUCUCUGCAUAUUUGCAGACCUGUAGGGAAUACUCGUUCUCGUGCUGAAUAUGUUAGUUUUUUUUCUCUUAUUGAAAUCAUCGAACAGGUGCAUAUGUACAGCUUGGGACUCCACUUUGCUUUUGUUAGGUCCCUUCGCUCGGAUUCGUGGUCAUCGGUUUCACAGCACUUUUGGGCGUGUCAGACACAGGCCCUCAUCCACAUUAGAAAGCAAUUUCCAUAAUGCUAUGCCAUUUUGUAGGAUUAACUCCAUGUAUCGAGUCACAUAGGCAAGCCACCUUUAGGCUUUUUAGGUAGGUCCACGAUAUAUUUUGCCAGCCUCGUCGAUCAGAAUGCCGAAAUCUUGGGUGAUUGAUUUGGAUAUAAAAGCAUUCCUACUUGAAUGUCAAGUCUUCUAGAAGUCCAUGAUAUGUAGAGCAUCCCAUGAAUCAAAUAAGAUGCAAAUUCAAAAUCUCAAAAAUUCGUUCAACUAUAAAUUUUUUCACACAGGAUGAUACAAAUGACUGAAUAACCAAAAACGACAUGACUUUCAAGCUCAGCAGCCUCAAAGCAUUCUAAUUAUAAAUUAGACAUACAGAAACCACUAAAAAUUUGAGAGUAACCCUUUUUCUCAGAAUCAAUUUCUCUCAACACAGACACGAAUUCCGUCCAAUAGAAAAAAGCCACACCAGCUGCCAAUGCAAUAACCAAAAGCAAAUCAUAAUGAAAGAACUAGAUGUACCUGGACACGAGUAGUGGCGUCCUGACCAGACACGAUGCCGUGCCUCAUCUGCUUCACCAUUGCCUGUCUCUUGUUCCUCAGCAGAUUUAUACUCACCACUGUCAUCUUCGCUGCCGUUUUGCUGUUCAUUCCCAAAACAAAAUAACAAAAAACUCUCCAUGAAUAUAACUACAAAAAGCCCUCACCUAUUAUUUGCUAUUUACCAGAACAUAGAAAAGUAAACGCCCCCAAAGUAAACCAAUUUCAUGUGGGGAUUUUAUGUUGCAUACCUUGUGAAUAGUGGCCAAGCGUUUGGUCUCUUCCUUGAUCUGACCCAGGUGAGAGAGGAUGCAGUCGCAGAUCUCCAUCUUCUUCCUCUUGAUCCCCUCCUCCUUGGCCCUGAAAGUGGACGGAGCAGCCCUCGACAUCUCCUUGUCCUCCCUCAACAGCGACGUGUUGCUGCUGAAGCUCAAGUUCCCCGACGAGCCCUGCAGGAUCAGCAGCAGCUGUUGCUGCCGCUGCCGCUGGGCCUGUUGCAAGGCCUGCUGCUCGUGCACCUGCAUCAAGAUCUUCUUCUUCUUCUCUCUGAUCUUCAAGCAACAGAAACCCCUGUGACCUCUGAUAAACCAAGUGUAUAAACUUCAGUACCGUCCCCACUGAUAAACCAAGAAUAUUCCACCAUCUUUGCUGUCUAAUACUAAUAAACCAAGUAUUUGAACUUCAGGACAGUCUGCACCAAAUGCAACCAAACCAAGUGUUCAAACUUCAGGCAUAUGGCUAGCCUACCGAUGGAAAUUUACCUCAAAUGGAGCCAGGAGUUCCUCCAUCUUCCCUGGUACGCACAUUUGUUCUUGUGCGCUGCUCUCUGCAUGCGAAACCAAUGAUGGGUGCCAAAACAUCGACGGGUCUGUUAAUGCAGCCGGCACACUCUCUUCCUCCUGCAAAAACAGGGGACAUUAACAAACCCAGGGCAUUGUAUUUCGCCAUUUUUGUGGCCUCACCAGAGGAGGGAUGCCUAAUUACCACAUGUUGGUCCUACUCAAAUUCGAUUUGACAAAGAAAUGAGUACACCAAUUUUAAGAUUCACAAACAAACGUAUUUUAUCCAGGUUUUUGUUUAAUUGCCUGAAGGGCUCCAAGCAACAAAUUUGGCAACAUGAAAGAAGAAAAAAGAAUACCGUCUUCCCUAAGUCGCCAUCUAAUGUUGAUUACUGUAACACUGCAAACAUGCUUUUUAACCCAUAGCAUGAAUGGUGCUGUGCCAGUAAAAGCUUCAGCACCUCAGAUCAGACUGUCCUUGAAAAUUGGCACUCCAAAAAUAGAUAGCACCUUGGAUCAUCAAAUCAUGUAGACCAGUUCAAGCUCUAAAUUGAAAAUAUCCCAAAUACAAUAUUAAAGAAAUCGCACAUUCAUUGGAUAUUCUGGAGAUUCUAAGUGAACAAAUAGCACUUGUAAGUAAAGAUGACACCUUUAUUUUGACUCCACAGGCCAAAAGAUGGAUUCAUAAUAAUUUGGAAUUGAGUUUACAGGAAAUUUCCAUGGGCGUUAUGCAUGAUAUUCAAGCCAAAUCCCCAAUCCUUUUAGCAUGUUUCCGAAGCAGAGAACCGCGAAAUUGAGCAUUAAAUAUAGUUGCUCCCACCUUAAUCAACCGAAACAAAAGCAUGCGAACAAUCUGUGUCCUUUUUCUGUUUUGCUUUGGACGAUCCUAUCUCUUAUUUUGCUAAGAUUAGUAAGAUCGCAACAACAUCCUGCGUUUGGGCAUAUACCCAUUGACAUCAUUCCCAAACUUCAGACCUAUUCAAUCCACAAGAGAAAACAACUCAAAUGAGUUCCCAUACCUCCUUCGGAAUGAAAGCAGAGUACAAGAAAGGAGAUUAAGCCGCCCGGCUUUGGACGAAGAGGACCCGACGUCGCCGUCGGCCUCAUCGAGCUCUUGCGCAAGGACUCGAUGUCGUCGCGCUCGAACGAAGAUGAAAUUUGGGGAUUCGGCGAAGAAGAAAAAGGACACUCAGAUGAAGAAGAGGAGGAUCGAUGAAUGAGAAGCGGACUCCAUGAACAAGAAGUACACUAUGGACGAGAAAGACUGAUGAAGAUGUGACGAGAACUUGAGAAGAAUACUCAAUCAUUGCGUUUGAAGGCUCGAAGCUCUAUGCCACGUAGGAGUGUGAAAAGAAUAAACAAAAAUUUUCAUUUAACUAAUUGAACAAAAUUAAUAAAAUGACUCGAUUAUACUAAAUUAACAAGUUUUAUUACUCGAUUGUAAUUUUUUGUAAGCUUUAGGACUUCUAAUAUAUUUAUCUCUUUAAUGUUCUAUCUACACUGUAAAUAUUGCAAAUCAUUAAAGUCAUUGUCAUAAUGAUUGGUAUUAAGGAAGAAAUGAAGAAAAAAAAAGUGCAGUAUAUUACGUAGAAAAAACGCUAAGUAAAACCAAUUGUUUCUUAUAAAAUGAGAGAAAAUUUUAAAUAAUAGGCUAUAAGCUAUUAUAUAUAUCCUAUAAAAUGAAGUUUUUCCGAAUAUUUGUGAUAAAAUCUGAACCUCUUACUGCAACUAUGUAACUUUCUCAUAUACAGAAAAAAGGAAAAGCUAGAAAAACGCAGAGAGAGAAAACAUCACAUGCGUUAACUGGUUUUUAAAGUAAGUGAGACCGAGACUUAUUGUAUGAUUGUUUCUUUUUUUAUUUUCCACAAUUAUUAUAAAUCUCCUUAUAGUUGAAUUUAUGUUUGUGGAUGGUCUUGCUGACUUACCUUAUAUUGCUUGAAAUUUUGGACAGAGCCUUCGAAUCCUUGCUUAAGCCCAAGUAAUUUCGGGCAACCGGCAAUACUUAAGUAGCAAUCAUUUGGCAAUUCAGUGGUCGAUACAUUUUCCAACAAUGGGCAGUCAUUAAGGUAUAAGAACUUGAAAAACUCCAACUUGUCGAGGCCCUCGACAAUUCGUAGGUUAGGGUUGUACUCUAUGCACAAGCGCUCAAGGUUCUUUAAUUCUGACAAACCACCAAGACUUUGUAAAUGAUUACCAUAAACUGUCAAGUCUUGCAACGAUUCUGACGUACCAACAACUUGAAUACCGAGUAUCUUAUCGCAAAACCCUAUGCACAGUCCCCACAACUUAUUGAAGACUCUUGAUGCAAGGACUAGUGAAGAUUCAUGGGAAGAUUUCCAAUGUCUGUCAACGUACACGAACCUUCUGAAGGACUCACAUUCACUGAUAUCCAAAUUGCGCAACGAUUCCAGCACCCCAGCGAUGUGGAUCUCAUCUAAUUUUGGGCAGCACGCCACGUUGACCUCUUCUAGCUUCGUCAUGCUAGAUAGCAUGAAUCUCUCGAGGGAUCCACAGCAAAAAAUUAGAAGCUCCAUUAAAUUUGGAAGCUAAAGCCCAUCGAGUAUUAUCUCUUGUAUUUGAGAGCGAUAGAGCCUUAAAUUUGACAAAUUCUCUAAGUGGGAGGAGAGAAACGUGGUUGAAUUAAUAUUAUCAAGGGUUAGCUUUAAUAGAGAAGAGGGAAGUUGCUUGAGGGGUUGCAAGUUCAAUCCACACAAACGGAGUUUGUCAAGCCGAGUAAGAGAAGCCAACUCAGUGGGAGCAGGGGCAUGGAGGAGACACAAGCUUAAUUUUUUUAGUUUGGAUAACCCCCUGAUCCACUCUAAAUCACCAGUAUAAGUUUUAUCUUGUUCGUCAAUUUUGGAGCCGUCACUUAGUUUCAACCUAACUAAAUUAGUCAAGUUUGAAAGGUCCGGCAACUCUCGAAUUUCAUCAAACCCUUCUAACUCUAGUAUUUGAAGCCGCAGAAGCAAGCCAAUUUCAGAAGGGAGUUGACUUUUCAAAUUUCCUUCAACUUGAAGCGCUUUCAGAUUCUCAAACUUUCCAAACUCCAUUGGAAGUGCAAUUGAAAGCUGCAACUCCCGUAAUGAUUUCCACUUAAAUAUGAAAUCCGGUAAUUCCUUCAUUGGACGACAAGAUUGUAAAGAGAAGUGCUCUAGAUUCCGUAGGUCCCCAAUUUUUUCAGGCAAACCUUCAAGGCGAUUGCAAAGAUCAAACUUUAAAUCUUUUAGAUACUUUAACUUCCCAAUAGAGCCAUCAAUCUUCGUUAAGCCGUCGCAAGCCAAAAAAGUCAGCCUCUCUAA